RNAcentral lists this long non-coding RNA (89698 nucleotides) under Hordeum vulgare. RNAcentral's name for it is "long non-coding RNA (HVUL_LNC019990)". The stretch from base 41218 to 41353 matches the Rfam family "MIR1120/MIR1122 microRNA precursor family". The record is from RNAcentral. Lineage: Eukaryota; Viridiplantae; Streptophyta; Magnoliopsida; Poales; Poaceae.
CGCCGCUCCCCUGGAGGACGAGGCUGCAGAUCAUGGCCGGCGCCGCGCGCGGCCUCGACUACCUCCACCGAGGCCUCCCGGAAGUCCAGGUUAAUAGAGCGCCGGCAGAGUUCUUGAAUGAUUCCGAGCCGGUCGCUCCGGCCGGCGAGGCUGAUCCGGCGGUGUUUUAGUGUGGCAGGUGAUAUACAGGGACUUCAAGGCGUCGAACGUGCUCCUGGACGGCGAGUUCCGGCCGAAGCUGUCGGACUUCGGGCUGGCGAGGGAGGGGCCGACGGAGGGGCGGACGCACGUGUCGACGGCGGUGGUGGGCACGCACGGCUACGCGGCGCCCGACUACAUCGAGACGGGCCACCUCACGGUGAAGAGCGACGUGUGGGGGUUCGGGGUGGUGCUGUACGAGAUCCUGACGGGGCGGCGGUCGGUGGAGCGCAGCCGGCCGCCGGAGGAGCAAAAGCUGCUGGGGUGGGUGAGCCGGCACCCGCCGGGAGGGGACAGCUUCAGGACCAUCAUGGACCCGCGGCUGGGCGGGCGGUACCCGCUGGCCGCCGCGCGCGACGCGGCGAGGCUCNNNNNNNNNNNNNNNNNNNNNNNNNNNNNNNNNNNNNNNNNNNNNNNNNNNNNNNNNNNNNNNNNNNNNNNNNNNNNNNNNNNNNNNNNNNNNNNNNNNNNNNNNNNNNNNNNNNNNNNNNNNNNNNNNNNNNNNNNNNNNNNNNNNAGAUGGCGGAGGUCGUGGAGGAGCUCGAGCGGGUGCUGCAGAUGGAGCCGCCGCCGCCCCCGGCUCCGGCCACGCCCAGGAGGUGAUCGAUCAUUCGAUCGACGAAGACCGGCAGAAUACUGGUAGUAUUAGUCAGAAUCAGUGAGGACUCGCAGUCUCUCUGCUGCAUCCGCAAGUGCACUCGAUGGAUGCUGACCGAGUGAGAGCUGUAUACAUAUCUCAGGAGACACGAAGGUGUAUCGGUGCGACCGAUUAAGGUGCUAUUGCAUUUGGUUAUGCACCAUUGCCGCUACCCACGAUCAAGGUGAAUGCAACUUCAUGCACCUGAAUUCUUGCAACCGGUUCGAACCCUACGAGCUAGGGCGGCGGUGCCGAUCUACCUCCUCCCAGGCAAGAUCAGAGCCCCCUCUCCCCCCGUCGGCUGCUUCAACGAUGGAAGCGUCGCGGGGACCCGUUGUUUCGGACACAUGGCCGUGUUCGGUUGCUUUCAGCUAUAGUACCUGCAUUGCAUAUUUAUCUCCAAUCAGACAUGUUGUUUUGGACACAUGGUCAUGUUUGGUUGCUUUCGACUACAAUACCUGCGUUGCAUACCCAUCUUCAACCAACCUGUUUCUUCAUAUGCAGCAAAUGCAAUCUAUUUGGUCAGAGGCGGAGGCAGUGGGGGGCGAGCGGGGGCCAUACCCCUCCUAUGGUUCGGCCCCCUCAACGAGUUGUAGCGGGGACUAGCCUGUUCCCUGAUACUAUAUUAGGCUUAAUUAUUCGGCUAUUAGCAAGGAUGUGGGCUAAGCUACUAAUUUCAAGCCCAAAACAAUUCCGCAAGAAGGCAACGUGGGCGAAGGCUGCACGCACACAUCCAUCAUCGCCCGGAAACCACGUACUCUUUAAUCGAUCGAUGCACACGUACACACUCAAGCGUUGAGGCGAGUCCCUUCCUAUACUCUUUCUUCCGCUAGGGCUUCGUUUCGCCGGGCUACCGGGGGUCGCACCGACGCAGCUUGGUAAUUAGCAAAGCCGUCGUUUGCCAUGCGUCAAAUCUGAGUAAGAUCCUACAAGUCUAGCCUACGGACGACGGUCUGUCGGGCGGCCGCGAAACAGACUACCAGAUGCAGAGGUAUUGUCAAAUUGAUUACAUACACCUGGACACCAAUUAAUCAACUGUUUGUAAUUAGCAUAUUUUGUUACUUGCAAGAUUAAUUACAUGUCACAUAUUGCUUUUUUUGCGGGGUAGGUUACAUAUUUUCUUUGUACUAAUAUAUGGGAAUUGUAAGGCCAGGAAGAUGAAUAAACCAUGGAUAAGUAAUUUCUUCAAGCCAAUGCUUCAAACUCUAACUCCAGAGUUGAAGAUGCAAAUCUAACCAUGACGAUAGAUGUCACAUAGCAAGCUACUGCACAUAAUGUCCACAAUCUUAGUUCAAUUCAUAUGUGAACAUCUUAACAUAAUGUUCCCAGUCUCAGAUCUCAAAGGUAUCACUACCGACAACUAAAAUAGUAGUUACAUAUUUUAUUGAAGUGCUUACAAAUUGUUGACUACACAAAAAUAAAUUAAUUGAUCAAUGGGAAAUAUAAUUUAUUUAUUUGUCAUUAGGAUGGCUUCAUCAUAUUAGUUUUAUCUUUCAACUUAUUGUAUGUUUCUUAAUAAAAUAAUAAAAUCAAGUUGAUUUAUUGAAAAUGAAAGAUAUACCAUAUUUCAAUUUCAUCAUCUUGGAAUAAUGAAGACGAAGACUAGAUAAUUAAGUAGUUUGAUCGGUCUGCUAGCAAUUCAUAAUUCUACACGUAAUUUUAGAAAAGUAAUUUUCUAUAUGUAAAAAUUAAUUAUAUAUAUAUAUUGAUAAAUCUUAUAUGAUGAACUUCACCAUUAUGUUCUUCGCCCCCCUAUGAUCAAAUCCUGGCUCCGCCCCUGUGUUUGGUUGACUGCAUCGCAUGAAGGGGCACGGUUGUCGUUUUUGUGCUUAGGGUGUGAGCAGAUGCAAACUUCAGCUGUUUGGUUGCAAAUAGUGUUUGUGUUCUGCUCACCCCAUUCAAAUAUGAUGUCCUUACCACCACAUGAUCAGCACAAAGCAAGCAACGGGAAUCACAACAAACUACUUAAAUUAACAGCAAACAACUUAAAUUAAACAAAGCAAGCAACGGAAAUGACAACAACAACAAACUUAGAUUAACAGCAUGGGCAUCCUCCUUCCCCGCUCUACGCCAGGGUGCCGCUCCUAGCCAAAAUAUUAACAAGUUCACAACACAAGUACCAUAAGUUCUAGCUAGACAACAUAACAAGUUCAACACUAACACCUAAGUUAACUACGUUGCAUGUUCAAUGUUACCAACACAGAUGUGCUUGCUGCAACGAAACAUGCACAUGAUCGAGGAGUCAUGAUUGUAGAUUUGGACCUUUAGGGCGAGUCCUAAGAUGCGCAGAACGAGGAGGUCGUCGGGGACGAUCUGGUGGUGGCAGCAGAAGUAGUUCCAGCCCCGGCCAAGCGCCAUGUGCCCCUCGAAGUUCUGGACCUGCACCCAGAACUCGCACCACUUGUUCACCGAGAGCCUGACCAAGCGCGGGGGCCGCCUAAUGACCAGCCAAUCGUUCAUCACCUGCACUAACUUGCGAGGGAUGACGAGCAUGGCGAGGUCUUCGGCGUCCUUGAUCUGCUGGUAGAAGCGCAACGGCUCCCGGGCCCCCUCCUCAUGGCCGGUCCUCGGUGAUCGUCCCCUUGAACGAGGCAUGCUCAUGAAGGCGACCCUGCCAGGAAGGUCCACCCUCUUAAGCCACAUGUUCAUGGGGAUGAGAUCCUCGACGCCCUCAGCUCCGGACACCACCUGAGCUCCUCCACCCGCCACAUCCCAGUCACUCUUCAAUACCUUGUGAGGUAAGAUGACAAGUAUUAGAGGUGCUUGCAAAAUGAACAACCACUGAUCAGUUGCACUAGCACUACAGCAAAUGGCACUGACCAUAGACAUUUGCCCAAGAGCAAAUGCCACUGAUCAGUGCACAAACUCUUUGCCAAAUGCCACUUAUCAAUGGCACUUGCUCUUGAGAAAAUGCCACUGAUCAGUGGCAUCUGGUCUUGCUCUUGAGCAAAUGCCAUUGAUUAGUGGCAUCUGGUCUUGCUCUUAAGCAAAUGUCACUCAUCAGUGGCAUCUGGUCUUGCUCUUGAGCAAAUGCCACUGAUCAAUGGCAUCUGGUCUUCUGCAACUGCCACUCAUCGGUGCACUAUGCUAAGCAUGGAAACAUCUAAAAAUAGCACCCAUGCGCACCCAUGCACAUUUGACAACAUCCUAAAAUAGUCCUACUACAUGCACGUAUAACAAUUUGGAGCAUGCAACACAAACCCUAGCUUGAACAUGUAUGUAGCAACAUGAACAUGAUCCUAGCUUAAAAUGAACAUGACAUUUGCAUGAACACAGAUCCUAGCAAGAUCCUAGCAAGACCCUAGCACUAGCAGAAGAACAUUAUCCUAGAACACACACUGUAGCAAACAAUAACGGAUCGGUCGGAUUCGAUUCGAUUGGGAUCAAAUCGAAUCGGGUCUACUCGAAUCCUACAAAAGCAGUAGCACAUGCCUAAGAAAUAAACCCCUAAUAUACAUCUACGAGCAAGCAUUGGGGAUUCUUUGACUCACCGGAGCUUGCGCAGUUGCAGCAAACUGAGGUCGGGGUGAAAACCCCGGCGGGAAGGAGAGAGGUGGCGGAGCUGGCCCUGGCGACGACCGGCGACAUCGGCCCCGUGCUCAUGGCCACGCCGAAGAUCAAGGAGGACGGCCCGCCGACAGGAGGAAACCCUUGGACGAGGGUCAAGAAAACCCCCUGCCCAAUGUGGUCCCAAGAAGUGUCAGCUCCGUGGACGGCACCGGCGCCGAGCCCAGGACCACGAGGUCCGAAAUCGGCGCCGGAGUAGGAACGACCGGCACCGCAUUCGCCGGCCCUUGUGGUGUCCGGCAACAGAUGGGGGACGGCGCUCGCAGCACCGACGCCAGGUCCUUGCCCGAGUUCUGGACCCCGGCCACCCAUCAGUUCUGGAUGGUGGCGAUGCGCUUGUCGACGGGGAUGAGAGGACGGCACGAUGGUGGGCAAGGCGGAGCCAUCGGAGGAGAGGAGAGGGAGGGGUGAUGAGGCAGAGAGGUGGGAACAGUGCGGGGACGGUGACAAGAGAGUGGGAGGGGAGUUAUGAGACAUCCCCUCUAUCUCCCGUGGUGCCUGAGGCGUCCAACCUCCUCGCACGCGUGUCCGCGCCAAGCCACACUCGCGAGAAACUGCUGAUUCGGCAGUUUCCGCCGGGCCAGGCUCAUGCCUGCUUUAAGGUUCGUGCGGGCCACGGAUCGCAUGCAGCCCAGCCAACCAAACAGGCCACGCACAUCCUGCGCGGGCCUGGUUGGGCUACAUGCGGGGAACCAAACACGCCGAUAGUGGUAAAGGGUGAGGAUUUCAGAAGUUAAGGUGAGGAUUUCAGUGCCCUAGUCAUCGGCGGUGAGGCAUUGCCAUCGUCGCCCGCAUGGAAUAAGUCCUCCUCGCCUCAUCCUCAUUCCCAUGGUUGUUCUUAGCAUCUUUGGGAGAGGUGAUCGAUCAUUCGAUACUAGUAGUAGUGGUCAUAAUCAGUGAUGAGGACUCACAGUUUCCUGUUGCAUCUGCAAGUGUACUCAAUCGAUGCUGACCAAAGUGAGAGUUGUAGAGAGAUCACAAAAGACACGAAAGUGUAUAGGUGCGACCAAUUAAGUAUUAAAAGAUUAGGCAAGUUCAUGAUUAAUUUUUAUAAAUAAUUUAUUAGUAUAACAACUAAUAGCAUGCAAUACUCUAUUAAUCUAGAAGAGCAACCGAACAUGUAGAUCAUCACCGCACACGAAGUAGCAACUACAACGAGAAGCAUUAACAGAUCACGAGUAACGUACUGCUCUUUAGCUGCUGCAGGAACGACCGUGUUGAUGACGAUGUUAGCGACGAUCUUUUGUUGAUGGUGACGGAGGUGACGAUGAGUAGCACCGUCCGACUUGGACGCUAGACGACCCGUGAUGACGAAUUUGAGCAGUCGUGCAGAGCGCUUCUUGAAAACCUAAUUUCUCCUCUCCCGGUGCAGGAUCGCAAAGACGACCGGUUCCGGAGACCUGCUCUCUCGCACGUCGAUGCACGCCGGUGUUCGAGAUGAGUUAGACUACGAUGGCAACACAAGUUGUGAGACGAGGCAAAACCCUAUGUGUUUUCGGUGUGUCUUUGGCCGACCACAGUAAGCAGUAUAUAUAGGAGGAUUAGAGUCAGUAUUGUGUCGCGAUCAUCAUCUCAAACUAUCUUGGUUUUUAAGUCAUAUACUUACCGAACAAGAAAUACUUAACUUGUCUGUCAAGACAUAAAAAUAAAACGCCAAAAGGAAGCCCUACCCCCGCAAGCCAACGAACCGGAAUUCGGCGGACCAUUCACGCGCAUGAAGCACGCACGCGCCACCCCGCCCUGCCCCGCUAGACGAGCGAGCGCGCGUGUGGUCUUCUCCUUUCUCUUCUCAGCACACACUUAGACUCUUAGAGUGGUGGGGAGAACUCAUUAUAUAAAGAGGUCCAACUCUUCCUCAACUAGCGAUAUGGGACUAAAGUUUAGCACCACGACACCACCACUUGCCAUUUUACUCAUGGGCUCAUUUGAGAUUUCAGAAUUUUGUAGAUGGGUCAAGCCCAUUAGUUCUAACAUUAAGGUGCUAGUGCAUUUGGUUAUGCGCCAUUGCCGCUACCCACGAUCAAGGUGAAUCCGUUAAUGCAAUUUCAUGCACGUGAAUUCUUGCAACAGGUUAAGAAAUUGGCAUCGGUUAAAACCUACGAGCUAGGGCGGCGACGCCGAUCUACCUCCUCCCAGGCAAGAUAACAACCCCCUCUCCUCCCAUCGGCUGCUUCAACGAUGGAAGCAUCGCGGGGACCCGUUGUUUCAGCUAAUGGUGGUAAGGGUGAGGAUUUUAGAAGUUAGGGUGAGGAUUUCAGUGCCCUAGUAAUCGGGCAUGAGGCAUUACCAUCGUUGUCUGCAUGUAAUAAGUCAUCCUCGUCUCGUCAUCAUUCCCAUGGUGGUUCUUAGAGCAUAUCCACUCCCCCGCUGACACGUCUCCAACGUAUCUAUAAUUUUUGAUGGUUCCAUGCUAUUAUCUUGUCAACUUUGGAUGUUUUAUAUGCAUGAAUAUGCUAUUUUAUAUCUUUUUGGGACUAACCUAUUAACUCAGUGCCAAGUGCCAGUUUCUGUUUUUUCCGUGUUUUUGACCUUUUUCAUAGAAGAAUAUUAAACGGAGUCCAAAUGGAAUAAAGCCUACGGGAUGAUUUUUUCCGUAACAGAAGAUACGCAGGGGACUUGAGAACCAAGGCAGGAUACCUCAUGGGAGAUCACAAGCCCCCUAGCCGCGGCCUAGGGGGGUGGCCGCGCCUGGCAGGCUUGUGGGCCCCACGUGGCUCCUUUGCCCUACCUCUUUCGCCUAUAAAUUCGCUAAAAUCCUGAAACCAAAGAAGAGAGCCACGAAAAUACUUUUCCACCGCCGCAAGCUUCUGUCUCCGCAAGAUCCCAUCUGGGGACCGUUCUGGUGCCCUACGGGAGGGGGAUUCGGACAUGGAGGGCUUCUUCAUCAACACCAUUUCCUCUCCGAGGAUGCGUCAGUAGUUCACCACAGACCUUCGGGUCCAUAGCUAGUAGCUAGAUGGCUUCUUCUCUCUCUUGGAUCUUCAAUACAAAGUUCUCCAUGAUCUUCAUGGAGAUCUAUCCCAUGUAACUUUCUUUUGCAGUGUGUUUGUCGAGAUCCGAUGAAUUGUGGAUUUAUGAUCAGAUUAUCUAUGCAUAUUAUUUGAGUCUCCUCUGAUUUCUUAUAUGCAUGAUUUCGUAUCCUUGUAAUUAUCUUUGAGUUAUUGGUUUUGUUUGGCCAACUUGAUCUAUAAUUCUUACAAUGGGAGAAGUGCUUGGUUUUGGGUUCAUACCGUACGGUGUCCUCACCUAGUGACAGAAGGGGUAGCGAGGCACGCAUCGUGUUGUUGCCAUCAAGGGUAAAAAGAUGGGGUUUAUACCAUAUUGCAAGAAUUUAUCCCUCUACAUCAUGUCAUCUUGCUUAAGGCGUUACUCCGUNNNNNNNNNNGUUGAUGUGUGGAGUAAUAGUAGUAGAUGCAGAAAGUAUCGGUCUACUUGUCUCGGACGUGAUGCCUAUAUGUAUGAUCAUUGCCUUAGAUAUCGUCAUGACUUUGCGCGAUUGUAUCAAUUGCUCGACAGUAAUUCGUUCACCCACUGUAAUACUUGCUAUCAUGAGAGAAGCCUCUAGUGAACACUAUGACCCCCAGGUCUAUUUUACACAUCAUAUAUUCAGAUCUACAUACAAAAAUACCAAAAAUACUUUGCUGCACUUUUAUUUCUGUUUACCUUUUAUCACCUUCAGAUCUCACCUUGCAAGUAAUCGUGAAGGGAUUGACAACCCCUUUAUCGCGUUGGGUGCAAGUUUGUUUGUUUUUGCGCAGGUUCAUUUGGUGCCUCAUCUUGAUACUCCUACUGGAUUGAUACCUUGGUUCUCAAACUGAGGGAAAUACUUAUCUCUACUUUGCUGCAUCACCCUUUCCUUCUCAAGGGAAAAACCAAUGCAAGCUCAAGAAGUAGCAGGAAGAAUUUCUGGCGCCGUUGCCGGGGAGUAUUCAAGUGAAGCAUAUCUACCAAGUACCUAUCGCAAACCCAUCUCUUGCAUUUACAUUAUUUGCCAUUUGCCUCUCGUUUUCCUCUCCACCACUUCUAAAACGAUUUUCCGAAAAUACCAAAAAGAUUUUCCUUUUUAUUCACUAUUCUCCCGUUCGCCUUUUUGUUGCUAUGUUUGCUUGUGUUGCCAUGUGCCUUCUAUUUGCUUGCAUCUUCGCUUGCUAAAAAUCUAUUGAUAUGGGUCCUCAUCCACUUGCUAAUCUUUUCAAAAGACCAAAUUAUGAUGAAUAAUUUGCUAGUGAGUUGAGUGCACUUGACUAUCUCUAUGGAGUUUUGUUUGAAAAUCAUGAAUGUGAAAUUUUUGAUGAAGUGUUGAAAGAAGAAAAUUAUAAAGUGGUUCAUGAUAUCUGCUUGAAUGAAAAACAUGAUUGCCAUGUUGUGAGUAUGAAUUCUUUGAAUAUCUAUGAUGCUAAUGAUAUGCAAAACCACAAGCUUGGGGAUGCUAUGCUUGAUGAAGAUGAUAUUUUUUUGUUUCCCAAGUUUUGGUGAUGACCCUUAUGCUAUAAUUGAUCAUGAAAAGAAUGCUUUGUGUGAUAGUUAUAUUGUAAGAUUCCUUCAUGAUGUUACUAAAAAUUACUAUGAGAGAGGAACAUAUGCUUUUACAUAUUGCAAUGAUAUCAAGCUUCCUCUCUAUGUGUUCAACGUUUUGAAGUUAUGCUUGUUUUGCCUUCCUAUGCUAGUUAAUUCUUGUUCCCAUAAAUUGUUUGCUCACAAAAUGCCUAUGCAUAGGAAGUAUGUUAGACUUAGAUAUGUUUGUCACAUGUUUCAUGAUGCUCUCUUCGUGUCCGAUUGCUAUCUUUUAUGUGAGCAUCAUUGAAUUAUCAAUGCCUAGCUAAAAGGCUUUAAAGAAAAGCGCUUGUUGGGAGGCAACCCAAUGAAUAAAUUUAUUUUUGCUUUUCACUUUCUGUUUUGUUGAGUCCACACCAUCAUAAUUCUGUUAUGAUUGUGUUUGUUAUGUUUUAAUUAGUGUUUGUGCCAAGUAGAACCUUUAUGAUUAGUUUUGGUGAUAGUUGUUUAAUCAUGCUGAAAAAGACAGAAACUUUGUGCUCACGAAAUUAUUUUUAAUUCCUAUCCACAAAGAUCUUUUGAGUUGAUUCUUUUUUGCUUCUGGUUUAUAUGCAAAUUUCCCUAAUUUUACUAAAUUUUCAGAAUUUUUGGGAUACUAGAGGUAUACGAAGUAUACAUAUUACUACAGACUGGUCUGUUUUUGACAGAUUCUGUUUUUGUUGUGUUGAUUGCUUAUUUUGAUGAAACUAUGGUUAGUAUCGGGGGGUACUAGCUAUGGAAAAGUGAGAAUACAGUAAUAUAACAUCAAUCUAAAUAUAAAUCAAGUUUACUACACUACCUAAAAAGUUGGUAGUUUGUUUUCUUAUGCUAAUGAUAUCACGAGUUUCUGUUUAAGUUUUGUGUUGUGAAGUUUUCAAGUUUUGGGUGAUAUUCUCAUGGACAAUGGAAUAAAGAGUGUAAAGAGCUUAAGCUUGGGUAUGUCCAAGACAUCCCAAGCCAAAUUCAAGGACACCAAAAAGCCUAAGCUUGGGGAUGCCCCGGGAAGGCAUCCCCUCUUUUCGUCUUCAAUCCAUCGGUAACGUUACCUGGAGCUAUAUUUUUAUUCACCACAUGAUAUGUGUUUUGCUUGGAGCGUCGUGUAUUAUAGGAGUCUUUACUUUUUGUUUUGUCACAAUCAUCCUUGUUGCACACCUUUUUGAGAAGGAUAUGCACUCAUCGUGGAUUUGUUAGAAUACUCAAUGAGCUUCACUUAUAUCUUUUGAGUUAGGCAAUUUAGCUCGCAUGUGCUUCACUUAUAUCUUUUAAGCUAGAUAACUUUUCUCUAGUGCUUCACUUAAAUCUUUUUAGAGCACGGCGGUGUCAUAUUUUGUAGAAAUAAAAACUCUCGAUCUUCACUUAUAUCAUUUUGUGAGUGCUAUCUCUAAGUAACUUGGUAAUUGGCGUGUGCUAUGAAAUUAGUCCUAAAUAUGUUAGGCAUCCAAAGAGGAUAUAAUAAAAACUUUCAUAUUCAAGUGCAUUGAUUAGUAAGAAAAGUUUGGUUCCUCACAAUUAGUUUUGAGAUAUGGAUAUGGUAAUAUUAGAGUUAUGUUAGUAGGGUGUUGUGAAUCUAGAAAUACUUGUGUUGAAGUUAGUAAUUCCCGUAAAUGAUGUUUUGCUGUGUAUCCCUUGCAAUGGCGCCAGAAAUAGUUGUGUCGACGACACCAGGAAUCCUUCAGCUACGGCUACGCCUUAAGGGACUUCCUAGGCAAGUAUGCAAAGGAUUUCCCCCGUGGCCUUGGAGCCUUGUGUUGGUGUUCCCUCGAAGCGGAAAGGGUGAUGUAGCAUAGCGACGGUAAGUAUUUCCCUCAGUUUGAGAACCAAGGUAUCAAUCCGGCGGAAGAGUAUCUCAAGAUCCUGCACACACACAAAAGCUUGCACCCAACGCUAUGAAGGGGUUGUCAAUCCCUUAUAGAUUGUUUGCCAAGUGAGAACUGAAAGUAACAAAGUAACAAAGCAAAGUAAAAGCGGAGGUGUAAACGAUGGAUGUGAAUAGACCCGGGGGCCGUAGUGUUUACUAGUGGCUUCUCUCAUGAAAGCAAGUAGACGGUGGGUGAAAAAAUUACUGUCGAGCAAUUGAUAGAACUGUGCAGAGUCGUGACGAUAUCUNNNNNNNNNNNNNNNNNNNNNNNNNNNNNNNNNNNNNNNNNNNNNNNNNNNNNNNNNNNNNNNNNNNNNNNNNNNNNNNNNNNNNNNNNNNNNNNNNNNNAAGAGGCAGCCUCAAACCCUCAAGGUUUGGCCGAAAUUGGAGGUGGAGGAGUCCUACUCCAAUCCUACUUGGAGUAGGAUUCCACCUUCCCACUUGGAAACUCUUUCCACCUUGUGUUUUUUCCUUCUCAAACCUUAUGGGCCUUAGUGGGAACUUAUUCCAGCCCACUAGGGGCUGGUUUAUCUCUUCCCAUAGCCCAUGAGACCCCUUGGGGCGUGACACCCCUCCCGAUGGUCCCCGGCACCCCUCCCGGCACUCCCGGUACACUACCGAUGAGCCCGAAACUUUUCCGGUGACCAAAACAGGACUUCCUAUAUAUCAAUCUUUACCUCCGGACCAUUCCGGAGCUCCUCGUGACAUCCUGGAUCUCAUCCGGGACUCCGAACAACAUUCGGUAACCAACCAUAUAACUCAAAUACGCAUAAAACAACGUCGAACCUUAAGUGUGCAGACCCUGCGGGUUCGAGAACUAUGUAGACAUGACCCGAGAGACUCCUCGGUCAAUAUCCAAUAGCGGGACCUGGAUGCCCAUAUUGGAUCCUACAUAUUCUACGAAGAUCUUAUCGUUUGAACCUCAGUGCCAAGGAUUCAUAUAAUCCCGUAUGUCAUUCCCUUUGUCCUUCGGUAUGUUACUUGCCCGAGAUUCGAUCGUCAGUAUCCGCAUACCUAUUUCAAUCUCGUUUACCGGCAAGUCUCUUUACUCGUUCCGUAAUACAAGAUCCCGCAACUUACACUAAGUCACAUUGCUUGCAAGGCUUGUGUGUGAUGUUGUAUUACCGAGUGGGCCCCGAGAUACCUCUCCGUCAUACAGAGUGACAAAUCCCAGUCUCGAUCCAUACUAACUCAACGAACAUCUUCGGAGAUACCUGUAGAGCAUCUUUAUAGUCACCCAGUUACGUUGCGACGUUUGAUACACACAAAGUAUUCCUCCGAUGUUAGUAAGUUAUAUGAUCUCAUGGUCAUAGGAACAAAUACUUGACACGCAGAAAACAGUAGCAACAAAAUGACACGAUCAACAUGCUACGUCUAUUAGUUUGGGUCUAGUCCAUCACAUGAUUCUCCUAAUGAUGUGAUCCCGUUAUCAAGUGACAACACUUUCCCAUGGCCAGGAAACAUUGACCAUCUUUGAUCAACGAGCUAGUCAACUAGAGGCUUACUAGGGACAGUGUUUUGUCUAUGUAUCCACACAAGUAUUGUGUUUCCAAUCAAUACAAUUAUAGCAUGGAUAAUAAACGAUUAUCAUGAACUAAGAAAUAUAAUAAUAACUAAUUUAUUAUUGCCUCUAGGGCAUAUUUCCAACAGCCGCUACUGCCGCGUCUGUGGACCUCUUGGCAUCGAGCCUUCUCCACCGGUCCAUUGUGACCGCCUGCCGAUUCUGGACAUCCACCAUCCACUAAGCGUCCGACAUGCCCAUUGGCCUAGCCAUCGGCGCCCUCGGCUUCCUUUACUUCGGUCGGGUGGAAUCAGCGGCGGCAGCAAAGCGAGGGGCAGUAUACUUCUUCGGUGGCAUGGCGACCGGAUGGCGGGAGCGGCCGGGGGGAGAAGCGGAAGCAAGGAGGAAAUGGAGGGAGAGGGGGAGAAAACGGCGGGAAUAGGCCCGUUUGUCGCCAACAGCACGGAUCCACUCGACUUUUUGUUUCGGCCGGCACCCCGAGGCGCACCCCGGGGGCUAGGUUCGGCUCGGGUUCGUUGUGUGUUUUUUCGGCCCAAACCGGCGCUGAACGAGGAGUUAGGGGCGCUGGUGGGCCGAUUUUUCGCCGUCGGCGCUAAAAAAGGCGUCUUGUGGGGCCUAUUGGUGGGCGGGUGCUACUUCUUGAGCUUGCGUUGGUUUUUCCCUUGAAGAGGAAAGGGUGAUGCAGCAAAGUAGAGAUAAGUAUUUCCCUCAGUUUGAGAACCAAGGUAUCAAUCCAGUAGGAGUAUCAAGAUGAGGCACCAAUGAACCUGCGCAAAAACAAACAAACUUGCACCCAACGCGAUAAAGGGGUUGUCAAUCCCUUCACGAUUACUUGCAAGGUGAGAUCUGAAGGUGAUAAAAGGUAAAAAGAAAUAAAAGUGCAGCAAAGUAUUUUUGGUAUUUUUGUAUGUAGAUCUGAAUAUAUGAUGUGUAAAAUAGACCCGGGGGCCAUAGUGUUCACUAGAGGCUUCUCUCAUGAUAGCAAGUAUUACUGUGGGUGAACGAAUUACUGUCGAGCAAUUGAUAGAAUCGCGCAAAGUCAUGACGAUAUCUAAGGCAAUGAUCAUACAUAUAGGCAUCACAUCCAAGACAAGUAGACCAAUACUUUCUGCAUCUACUACUAUUACUCCACACAUCGAUCGCUAUCCAGCAUGCAUNNNNNNNNNNNNNNNNNNNNNNNNNNNNNNNNNNNNNNNNNNNNNNNNNNNNNNNNNNNNNNNNNNNNNNNNNNNNNNNNNNNNNNNNNNNNNNNNNNNNNNNNNNNNNNNNNNNNNNNNNNNNNNNNNNNNNNNNNNNNNNNNNNNNNNNNNNNNNNNNNNNNNNNNNNNNNNNNNNNNNNNNNNNUGUAGAGGGAUAAAUUCAUGCAAUAUGAUAUAAACUCGAUCUUUUUACCCUUGAUGGCAACAACACGAUGCGUGCCUCGCUACCCCUUCUAUCACUAGGUGAGGACACCGCACGGUAUGAACCCAAAACCAAGCACUUCUCCCAUUGCAAGAAUUAUAGAACAAGUUGGCCAAACGAAACCAAUAACUGGAAGAGAAUUACAAGGAUACAAAAUCAUGCAUAUAAGAAAUCAGAGGAGACUCAAAUAAUAUUCAUAGAUAAUCUGAUCAUAAAUCCACAAUUCAUCGGAUCUCGACAAACACACCGCAAAAGAAGAUUACAUCGGAUAGAUCUCCAUGAAGAUCAUGGAUAACUUUGUAUUGAAGAUCCAAGAGAGAGAAGAAGCCAUCUAGCUACUAGCUAUGUACCCGAAGGUCUGUGGUGAACUACUCACGCAUCAUCGGAGAGGCAAUGGUGUUUAUAAUAAGCCCUCCGUGUCCGAAUCCCCCUCCGGUAGGGCACCAGAACGGUCCCCAGAUGGGAUCUUGCGGAGACAGAAGCUUGCGGCGGUGGAAAAGUACUUUCGAUGAUCUCCUGAUUUUUUCUGGGAUUUUAGGGAAUAUAUAGGUGAAAGACCUAGGGCAGAGGUGGCCCAGGGAGCCCACAAGCCUGGGGGGCGAAAGCCCUAGGUAUUUCGCCUAUAUAUUCCCUAAAAUCCCAGAAAAAAUCAGGAGAUCAUCGAAAGUACUUUUCCGCCGCCGCAAGCUUCUGUCUCCGCAAGAUCCCAUCUGGGGCACGCUCUGGUGCCCUGCCAGAGGGGGGAUUCGGAUACGGACGGCUUCUUCAUCAACACNNNNNNNNNNNNNNNNNNNNNNNNNNNNNNNNNNNNNNNNNNNNNNNNNNNNNNNNNNNNNNNNNNNNNNNNNNNNNNNNNNNNNNNNNNNNNNNNNNNNNNNNNNNNNNNNNNNNNNNNNNNNNNNNNNNNNNNNNNNNNNNNNNNNNNNNNNNNNNNNNNNNNNNNNNNNNNNNNNNNNNNNNNNNNNNNNNNNNNNNNNNNNNNNNNNNNNNNNNNNNNNNNNNNNNNNNNNNNNNNNNNNNNNNNNNNNNNNNNNNNNNNNNNNNNNNNNNNNNNNNNNNNNNNNNNNNNNNNNNNNNNNNNNNNNNNNNNNNNNNNNNNNNNNNNNNNNNNNNNNNNNNNNNNAGUUUCUUCUGAUCUCUCUUAUGCAUGAUUUCAUAUCCUUGUAAUUAUCUUCGAGUAAUGGGUUUUGUUUGGCGAGCUUUAUCUAUGAUCCUUGCAAUGGCAGAAGUGCUUGGUUUUGGGUUCAUACCGUGUGGUGACCUCACCCAGUGACAGAAGGGGUAGCGAGGCACACAUCGUGUUGUUGCCAUCAAGGGUAAAAAGAUGGGUUUUUCAUCAUUGGUUUGAGUUUAUCCCUCUACAUCAUGUCAUCUUGCUUAAGGCGUUACUCUAUUCGUCAUGAACUCAAUACACUAGAUGCAUGUUGGAUAGCAGUCGAUGUGUCGAGUAAUAGUAGUAGAUGCAGAAAGUAUCGGUCAACUUGUCCCGGGCGUGAUGCCUAUAUGUAUGAUCAUUGCCUUAGAUAUCGUCAUGACUUUGUGCGGUUCCAUCAAUUGCUCGACAGUAAUUUUUUCACCCACCGUAAUAUUUGCAAUUUUGGGAUAAGCCUCUAGUGAACACUAUGGCCCCCGGGUCUACUCCACACCAUAUUUUCAGCCUUACUCUUUUCUUCAUUGCACUUUCCGCCUUCAUAUCUUACUUGGCAAUCAAUCUUGAAGGGAUUGACAACCCCUUUAUAGCGUUGGAUGCAAGCUCUUUUGUGUUUGUGCAGGUACUCUGGACUUGACGAGAUUCUCCUACUGGAUUGAUACCUUGGUUCUCAAACUGAGGGAAAUACUUACUGCUCCUGCGCUGCAUCACCCUUUCCUCUUCAAGGGAAAAGCCAACGCAAGCAAGUCUCCGUCAACGUGUCAAUUUAUGGCGCUGUUGUUUGAGAAGUAGCAUCCACCCCCACCAAAGGGUGAUCAUGUGUUCGAUCUUAAACAGUUGCCUGAUACUCUUAAGUAUACUUAUCUUGAUGAAAAAGGGAUAUAUCCUGUUAUUAUUAGUGCUAGCCUCUCAGAGCAUGAAGAAAAGAGGUUACUAAAAACUCUGAGGAAGCACCGUGCUGCUAUUGGAUAUACUCUUGAUGAUCUUAAGGGCAUUAGUCCCACUCUAUGCCAGCACAAGAUUAAAACUCAUCCUGAUUCCAAACCAGUUGAUGAUCAUCAGAGGAGAUUAAAUCCUAAGAUGAAAGAAGUAGUGAGAAAAUAAAUACUAAAUCUCCUGGAAGCGGGUAUCAUCAAUCAUGUUGCUCAUAGUGAUUGGGUGAGUCUGGUGCAUUGUGUCCCUAAUAAGGGAGGCAUUACCGUUGUCCCUAAUGAUAAGGAUGAAUUGAUCCCACACAGGAUUAUUACUGGCUAUAGGAGGGUGAUCGAUUUUAGGAAAUUGAAUAAAGCUACUAGGAAAGAUCAUUACCCUUUGCCUUUUAUCGACCAGAUGCUAGAAAGACUGUCUAAACACACACACUUCUGCUUUCUAGACGAUUAUUCUGGUUUCUCUCAAAUACCAAUUGCACAAUCUGAUGAGGAUAAAACCACUUUCACCUGCCCUUUCGGUACCUUUGCUUAUAGACGCAUGCCUUUUGGCUUAUGUAAUGCACCUGCCACCUUUCAAAGAUGUAUGAUGGAUAUAUUCUCUGACUUUUGUGAAAAUAUUGUUGAGGUUUUCAUGGAUGACUUCUCCGUUUAUGGGUCUUCCUUUGAUGAUUGCCUCAGCAACCUCGGUCGAGUCUUGCAGAGAUGUAAAGACACCAAUCUUGUCUUGAAUUGGGAGAAAUGCCACUUUAUGGUUAAUGUAGGCAUCGUCUUGGGACAUAAAAUUUCUGAAAGAGGUAUUGAAGUCGAUAAGGAUAAAGUUGAUGCGAUCGAGAAAAUGACAUACCCCACAGAUAUCAAAGGUAUAAGAAGUUUCCAUGGUCAUGCUGGUUUCUAUAGGAGGUUCAUUAAAGACUUCUCUAAGAUUUCUAGUCCUCUUACCACCUGAUUGGAACUUACCUUUUGAAAUCAUGCGUGAUGCUAGUGAUUAUGUCGUUGGUGCUGUCCUAGGGCAAAUAGUUGAUAAGAAGAUGAAUGUUAUUCACUAUGCUAGUAAAACUCUAGACAUUGCCCAACGAAACUAUUCCACUACGGAAAAGGAAUUUUUAGCAGUCGCGUUUGCAUGUGAAAAGUUCAGGUCUUACAUAGUUGAUUCCAAAGUCACUAUUCACACUAAUCACGCUGCUAUUAAGUACCUCAUGGAGAAGAAGGACGCUAAACCUAGACUUAUCAGAUGGGUUCUCUUGCUACAAGAAUUUGAUUUGCACGUUGUCGACAGGAAGGGUGCUGAUAACCCCGUAGCAGAUAACUUGUCUAGGUUGGAGAACGUUCUUGAUGACCCACAACCUAUUGAUGAUAGCUUUCCUGAUGAGCAAUUGAAUGUCAUAAAUCCUUCACAUAGUGCACCAUGGUAUGCUGAUUAUGCAAACUAUAUCGUUGCCAAAUAUAUACCACCUAGUUUCACAUACCAGCAAAAGAAUAAAUUCUUCUUUGACUUGAGACAUUACUUUUGGGAUGAUCCUCACCUUUAUAAGGAAGGAUUAGAUGGUGUUAUUAGAAGUUGUGUACCUGAACAUGAACUGGGACAGAUCCUACAGAAGUGUCACUCCGAGGCCUACAGAGGACACCAUGCGGGAGAUAGAACUGCACACAAGGUAUUGCAAUCAUGUUUCUAUUGGCCCACUCUCUUCAAGGAUGCCCGUAAGUUUGUCUUGUCUUGUGACAAAUGUCAAAGAAUAGGUAAUAUCGGUAAACGUCAGGAAAUGCCUAUGAACNNNNNNNNNNNNNNNNNNNNNNNNNNNNNNNNNNNNNNNNNNNNNNNNNNNNNNNNNNNNNNNNNNNNNNNNNNNNNNNNNNNNNNNNNNNNNNNNNNNNNNNNNNNNNNNNNNNNNNNNNNNNNNNNNNNNNNNNNNNNNNNNNNNNNNNNNNNNNNNNNNNNNNNNNNNNNNNNNNNNNNNNNNNNNNNNNNNNNNNNNNNNNNNNNGGUAUACUCACAUCUUAGUUGUUGUUGAUUAGGUCACUAAGUGGGUAGAAGCUAUCCCCGCUAGUAGUGCUGAUGACAACACAUCUAUUAGGAUGCUUAAAGAAGUUAUUUUCCCUCGAGUUGGAGUCCCUAGAUAUCUAAUGGCCGACGAUGGUUCACAUUUCAUUUAUGGUGCUUUCUAUAAAACGCUUGCUAAGCACGAUGUCCACCAUAGAAUUGCGUCUCCCUAUCACCCUCAGUCCAGUGGUCAAGUAGAGCUAAGCAAUAGAGAGAUUAAACUGAUUCUGCAAAAGACUGUCAAUAGGUCUAGAAAGAAUUGGUCUAAGAAGCUCGAUGAUGCACUGUGGGCUUAUAGGACUGCCUAUAAGAAUCCCAUGGGCAUGUCUCCGUACAAAAUGGUGUACGGUAAGGCAUGUCAUUUACCUCUUGAGCUAGAGCACAAAGCUUAUUGGGCAAUCAAAGAGCUCAACUUUGAUUUCAAACUUGCCGGUGAGAAGAGGUUAUUUGAUAUUUGCUCGCUUGAUGAAUGGAGAACUCAGGCAUAUGAGAAUGCCAAGUUUUUCAAAGAAAAGGUUAAGAGGUGGCAUGAUAAGAGGAUACAAAAGCGUGAGUUCAAUGUAGGUGAUUAUCUCUUGCUAUAUAAUUCUCUUUAAGAUUUUUUGGAGGCAAGCUUCUCUCUAAAUGGGAAGGUCCCUAUAUUGUUGAGGAAGUAUAUCGUUCUGGUGCUAUCAAGAUCAAAAACACGGAAGGUAAUUGUCCGAGAGUGGUAAAUGGGCAGAGAAUCAAGCAUUAUAUCUCAGGUACUCCCACAAAUGUUGAAAGCAAUAUCAUCAAUACCAUAACUCCGGAAGAAUACCUAAGGGAUAUUUAUAAACCUGUUUCAGACUCUGAAAACGAAGAGGUAUGUGAUUCGGUAAGAAAACAGACUCCAAAACUUUUCCAGUAGGAAUUUUUCUCCGUUUUGGAAUAUUUGAAAAAAUAGAAAAAUUGGAAGUAUUCCGGAAAGCGCGCGAGGAGGCGACAAGCCUGCCAGGCGCGGUCCAACCCCUUGGCCGCGCCUGGGGGGCUUGUGGCCACCUCGUGUGCCUCCCGGACUUCGCUUUCGAGCGGAGUACUCCUUCUGGUCAGAAAAAAAUCAUUAUAUAUUCUCCCGUAAGGUCUUACCCUCGUAUCACACGAAUUUCCUUUGUUUUCGUUUCGAGCCUGUUUUGUGCCGCAGAUUUAGAGCAAGAUGUCGUCCCAGGAAUCUGUGGGGGAGAACAAUCUCCCUCAAGUCUAUGAAGAAGUAAAUGCUGAUCUGAAAAGAAUGGAGGCCAAAGAAAGGCUACCUAAAGAAACCAAGGGCAAAACUAAGGAGAAGAAUUAGGCGUGGGAUGAAGCACAAUCUGUGUUCAACAAGGAAGAAGUUGAAGAAGUGGAUUUGUUCCAACCCUAUCUCCACCUAUUGUCUCCAUCCUUGAUUGAAGUGUUGAGGUUUUGUGAAACAACUCGUGCUCGCAAUACUUAUCUCACUCGUGAAGUUGUUUUGCUGGAGAAACAUAUCACGCAUCUCCAAGGUAUAAAUCAAAGAUUGAUGGCCCUCUUGGAAUCAAAGGGCAAAGCAACUCCACCACCAUCACCUCCAAAGGAAGACAACUAAGCAUGGGUAUGGGCAAUACCGUUGGCUUGUGCCAAGCUUGGGGAGUUGCCCCGGUAUCGUAUCACCAUCACAUCUUUUGCCUUUACCUUUGUUUUAGUUUGUUCCCUUUCAGUUUUCUCUUUCUCUAAUAGAAUAAAAGUCUUAGUGUUUUAGUCUUGAAGUUUUGCUUUGUGUCACCCCCGAUGUAUUUGAGCUCGUGAGCCAUAUAAUAAAGAGUGUCUUAGUUGAGGGCUUUGUCUCUUGCCAUGAUCAAAAGAUUGAGAAAAGAACAAAAGCAUGAAAGAUCAUGUGAUGAUCUUAUGGGAAGUGAUGGCUUCACAUAUAAAAAGAAUGUUGAUUGAAACUUGUUGAGGUAGACAAACGUAGACCUUGGUCAUUGUUGCAAUUAAUAGGAAGUGAUAAAGAAUGAGAGGAUGACAUAUAAAUAUAUCAUCUUUGACACCAUCUAUGAUUGUGAACACUCACUAAACUAUUACAUGCUUAGAAGUAGAUGUUGGACAAGGAAGACAACAUAAUGAAUUGUGUUUGCUUGGUUCCAAACAAUGUUAUAUGAUUAGAGAUCCCUUAGCAUGUGACGAUUGCUUCCACCUCAUAUUAUCCAAAACUCCCGCACCAAGUAGAGAUACUACUUGUGCAUCCACAAACCUUCAACCCAGUAUUGCCAUGAGAGUCCACCAUACCUACCUAUGGAUUGAAUAAGAUCCCUCAAGUAAGUUGUCAUUUGUGCAAGCAAUAAAAAUUGCUCCCUAAUAUGUAUGAUCUAUUAGUGUGUCGAAAAUAAGCUUUGUACGAACCUGUGAUGAGGAAGACAUAAAAGCGACAGACUGCAUAAUAAAGUUCUUUAUCACAGGAGGCAAUAUAAAGUGACGUUCCUCCGCACUAAGAGGACACGCAUCCAAACCUCAAAAGCGCAUCACAACCUCUGCUUCCCUCUGCGAAGGGCCUAUCUUGUACCUUUACUUUUUGCCCUUGAAAGAGUCAUGGUGAUAUUCACCAAUUCCUUGUUUCGCCCUUAUCUUGGCUAAUGUCAUAUGCUUGGGAAAGAUCUAUAUUCAUAUGUCAACUUGGANNNNNNNNNNNNNNNNNNNNNNNNNNNNNNNNNNNNNNNNNNNNNNNNNNNNNNNNNNNNNNNNNNNNNNNNNNNNNNNNNNNNNNNNNNNNNNNNNNNNGAUGUUGUGAUAAAUUGCAAUUGCAUCAAUGACUAAAGGCUAUCGGUUGUUAUUUCUCGGUAAGGUUCUUGAUCCAUAGUUUACUUUGUGAAGGAAUUUUCACUUUAGCAUAAGAGAUUAUAUGUUGGUAUUGCUAUUCUGAUCAUGAUCAUGAUGCAUGUAUGUUCGUAUCUUGUUUUGUCGACAUCUCUCUCCCUAAACAUGUGGGCAUAUUUAUUGAGCUCGGCUUUCGCUUGAGGACAAGCGAGGUCUAAGCUUGGGGGAGUUGAUACGUCCAUUUUGCAUCAUGCUUUCAUGUUGGUAUUUAUUGCUUUUUGGGCUGUUAUUUCACUUCACGGUACAAUACUUCUGCCUUUUCUAUCUUAUUUUGCAAGGUUUACAUGAAGAGGGAGAAUGCCGGCAGCUGGAAUUCUGGCCUGAAAAAGGAGAAAGUUUGAGAUGCCUAUUCUGCACAACUCCAAAAGCCGUGAAAAUCAACGUGGAUUUUUUUUGGAAUAUAUAAAAAAUACUGGGCCGAAGAAGUGCCAGAGGAGCGCAACCAGGGGGCCACAAGCCUGGUAGGCGCGGCCACCCCCCCUGGCCGCGCCUAGGGGGCUAGUGGGCUCCCUGCUGGCCCACUGGCUCCCCUCUUCUGCUAUAUGAAGGGUUUCGUUCUGAAAAAAAUCAGGAGGAGGCUUUUCGGAGGAUUCGCCGCCGCCACGAGGCGGAACUUGAGCAGAACCAAUCUAGAGCUCCGACAGGACGAUCCUGCCGGGGAAACUUCCCUCCCUGAGAGGGAAAUCAUCGCCAUCGUCAUCACCAACACUCCUCUCAUCGGAGGGGCUCAUCACGAUCAACAUCUUCCUCAUCACCAUCUCAUCUCCAAACCCUAGUUCAUCACUUGUAACCAAUCUCCGUCUCGUGACUCCGAUUGGUACUUGUAAGGUUGCUAGUAGUGUUAAUUACUCUUUGUAGUUGAUGCUAGUUGGAUUACUUGGUGCAAGAGUUUAUGUUCAGAUCUUUGAUGCUACUCAUUACCUCUCUGGUCAUGAAUAUGUUUAUGCUUUGUGAGUAGUUACUUUUGUUCCUGAGGACAUGGGAUAAGUUGUGUUUUAAGUAGUCAUGUGAAUUUGGUAUUCGUUCGAUAUUUUGAUGUGUUGUAUGUUGUUUUUCCUCUAGUGGUGUUAUGUGAACGUCGACUACAUAACACUUCACCAUUAUUCGGGCCUAGAGGAAGGCAUUGGGAAGUAGUAAGUAGAUGAUGGGUUGCUAGAGUGACAGAAGCUUAAACCCUAGUUUAUGCGUUGCUUCGUAAGGUGCUGAUUUGGAUCCACUAGUUUAAUGCUAUGGUUAGACUUUGUCUUAAUUCUUCUUUCGUAGUUGCGGAUGCUUGCGAGAGGGGUUAAUCAUAAGUGGGAUGCUUGUCCAAGUAAGGGCAGUACCCAAGCGCCGGUCCACCCACAUAUCAAACUAUCAAAGUAAAGAACGCGAAUCAUAUGAACAUGAUGAAUACUAGCAUGACAGAAAUUCCUGUGUGUCCUCGGGAGCGUUUUUCCUCCUAUAAGACUUUGUACAGGCUUGUCCCUUGCUACAAAAUGGAUUGGGCCACUUUGCUGCACCGUUGUUACUUUUGUUACUUGCUACUCGCUACGAAUCAUCUCACCACACAACUACUUGUUACCAAUAAUUUCAGUGCUUGCAGAUAUUACCUUGCUGAAUACCACUUGCCAGAUCCUUCUGCUCCUCGUUGGGUUCCACACUCUUACUUAUGGAAAGAACUACGAUAGAUCCCCUAUACUUGUGGGUCAUCACAUAUCAAGCAUCCCCAAGCUUAACUCGUCCUCGAGUAGGGAAGUGAUAAAGACUGAAUUUUUUAUGUGGAAUGCUACCUAUCAUAUUUUUAUUUGUAACUUCUUUCUUGUGGCAUGAAUGUUCAGAUCCGUAAGAUUCAAAACAAUAGUUUACUAUUGACAUGAAAACAAUAAUACUUCAACCAUACUAGCAAAGUAAUCGUGAACUUUUGAAAUAACAAGGCCAAAGAAAGUUAUCCCUACAAAAUAAUAUAGUCUGGCUAUGCUCCAUCAUCCCCACACAACGAAUUUAAAUCAUGCACAACCCCGGUAUUGGCCAAGUUAUUGUUUUCGCACUCUUACUUUCUCAAACCUUUUCAACUCUCACGCAAUACAUGAGCGUGAGCCAUGGAUAUAGCACUAUAGGUGGAAUAGAGUGCGGUGGAGGUUGUGAGGCAAAAAGGAGAAGAUGGUCACAUCGACUCGGCGUAUCAAUGGGCAAUGGAGAUGCCCAUCAAUAUAUAUCAAUGUGAAUGAGUAGGGAUUGCCAUGCAACGGAAAGCUCAAAAAGAAAACUAGUGGGUGUGCACCCAACUUGCUUGCUCACAAGACCUAGGGCAAUUUUGAGGAAGCCCAUCAUUGGAAUAUACAAGCCAAGUUAUAUAAUGAAAAUUCCCACUAGUAUAUGGAAGUGACAAAACAAGAGACUCUGUAUCAUGAAGAACAUGGUGCUAUUUUGAAGCACAAGUGUGGAAAAAGAUAGUAGCAUUGCCCCUUCUCUCUUUUUCUCUCAUUUUUUUUGUUUGGGCUCUUUGGCCUUUUUUUAUUUCCUCACAUGGGACAAUGCUCUAAUAAUGAUGAUCAUCACACUUUUAUUUACUUACAACUCAAUCUUAGAACAAUGAUGACUCUAUAUGAAAUGCCUCCGGUAGUGUACCGGGAUGUGCAACGAUCUAGCUUAGCGUAUGACGUUGAAAAAUCUCGCUAGCUAUCUUACAAUCAUGCAAUGGCAAUAUGAAAGUGACGGCACAUGUCAUGGGAUGGAACGGUGGAAGUUGCAUGGCAAUAUAUCUCGGAAUGGCUAUUAAAAUGCCAUAAUAGGUAGGUAUGGUGGUUGUUUUGAGGAAGGUAUAUGGUGGGUUUGUGUACCAGCGAAAGUUGUGCGGCACUAGAGAGGCUAGAAAUGCUGGAAGGGUGAGAGUGCGUAUAAUCCAUGGACUCACAUUAGUCAUGAAGAACUCAUAUACUUAUUGCAAAAGUUUUAUUAGUAAUCAAAACAAAGUGCUAAACACAUACUCCUAGGGGAAGGGUUGGUAGGUGUUAACCAUCGCGCGAUCCCGACCGCCACACAAAGGAUGACAAUCAAUAAAUCAAUUAUGCUCCGACUUCCUAACAUAGCGGUUCACCAUACGUGCAUGCUACUGAUACGUCUCAAACGUAUCUAUAAUUUUUGAUGGUUUCACGCUGUUAUCUUGCCUUCUUUGUGUGUUUUAUGUAUCUUUUUAUAUCUUUUUGGGACUAACUUAUUAAUUCAGUUCCAAGUGCCAGUUCCUGUUUUUCCGUGUUAUUUGACUCUUUUCAGAUCGGAUUUUGGAACGGAGUCCAAACGGAAGAAAAACCCCGAAAUGAUUUUUUCCUGAACGGAAGAAUUCCAGGGGGCUUUUGGGCCAAGCCAGGUGGGCUCGAGGGAGCCCACAAGCCCCCACUCCACCACCAGGGGAGGCGGCGGUGGGCAGGCUUGUGGCCUCCCUGGUCGCCCCUGACCUAGGUCUUUGGCCUAUAAAUUCCCAAAUAUUCCGCAAAAAAUUAGGGGAGCCUCGAAGAUACUUCUUCGCCACCGCAAGCUUCCGUUUCUGCGAGAUCCCAUCUGGAGACCCUUCCCGGCACCCUGUCGGAGGGGACUUUGGAGUUGGAGGGCUUCUUCUUCAUCAUCAUCGCCCCUCCAAUGACUCGUUAGUAGUUCACUUCAGACCUACGGGUCCGUAGUUAGUAGCUAGAUGGUUUCUUCUCUCUCUUGGAUCUUCAAUACAAAGUUCUCCAUGAUCUUCAUGGAGAUCUAUCCGAUGUAAUCUUCUUUGGCGGUGUGUUUGUCGAGAUCCAAUGAAUUGUGGACUUGUGAUCAGAUUAUCUAUGAUAUAUAUUUGAGUCUUUGCUGAUUUCUUAUAUGCAUGAUUUGAUAUCCUUGUAAGUCUCUCCGAGUCUUGGGUUUUGUUUGGCCAACUAGAUCUAUGAUUCUUGCAAUGGGAGAAGUGCUUGGUUUUGGGUUCUGCCAUGUGGUGACCUUUCCCAGUGACAGUAGGGGCAGCAAGGCACACAUCAAGCAAUUGCCAUCAAGGGUAAAAAGAUGGGGUUUUUAUCAUUGGUUUGAGAUUAUCCCUCUACAUCAUGUCAUCUUGCUUAAGGCGUUACUCUGUUCUUAUGAACUUAAUACACUAGAUGCAUGUUGGAUAGCGGUCGACGUGUGGAGUAAUAGUAGUAGAUGCAGAAAGUAUCGGUCUACUUGUUUCGGACGUGAUGCCUAUAGAAAUAAUAAUUGCAUNNNNNNNNNNNNNNNNNNNNNNNNNNNNNNNNNNNNNNNNNNNNNNNNNNNNNNNNNNNNNNNNNNNNNNNNNNNNNNNNNNNNNNNNNNNNNNNNNNNNGAUCUCCAUGAAGAUCAUGGAGAACUUUGUAUUGAAGAUCCAAGAGAGAGAAGAAGCCAUCUAGCUACUAGCUAUGGACCCGUAGGUCUAUGAUGAACUACUCACGCAUCAUCAGAGAGGUCAUGGUGUUGAUGAAGAAGCCCUCCGUAUCCAAAUCCCGCCUCCGGCAGGGCACCAGAACGUGCCCCAGAUGGGAUCUUGCGGAUACACAAGCUUGCGGCGGCGGAAAAGUAUUUUCGUGGAUCUCCUGAUUUUUUCUGGGAUUUUAGGGAAUAUAUAGGCGAAAUACCUAGGGUAGGGGAGGCCCAGGGAGCCCACAAGCCUGGGAGGCGCGGCCCCCCUGGCCGCACCAUGAGGGCUUGUGGGGUCCCUGGUGACCCUCUGCCUUGGUUCUCAAGUCUCCCGAUCGUAUUUUGUUUCGGAAAAAAUCUUUUCGGAAGUUUGAUUUCGUUUGGACUCCGUUCAAAAUUCUCCUCUGAAAAGGGUCAAAAACACGGAAAAAAUAGGAACUGGCACUUGACACUGAGUUAAUAAGUUAGUCCCCAAAAAGAUAUAAAAGGCAUACAAAACAUCCAAAGUUUGACAAGAUAAUAGCAUGAAACCAUCAAAAAUUAUAGAUACGUUGGAGACGUAUCACUCGGCAUGCCAGCUCUUACACCGACUGUUAUGAUCGGUUGAAUGAAGUUGGUGCCUACUAUGAGAAUAAUUAGCCUGUUGGACCACCGCAGUUUUGAGUAUCUUGAUGGCAUUCCUAGCCUCAAUGUUUGCUGGACUAUUUCCCCUGAUCAGGAUUGCAGCAAGAUUUUGAGUCACCGCAAGCAUGUUAUCAACCAUGUUGGAGUAAUGAAACGGUGGAGUAUGGAAAUGUCGACGUGAUUGCUGAGCCGGGGUAUGUUGAUAGAUCGGCCUGUUUGUGCCUGGAGGCACUGCUCGCAUUAAUUUAGGUAUGACAGGGGUCUCUCCAGGCAUGCCGGCUCCUGCUCCUCGAAUAGUCGUGUCAAGCUGAAUUUCAAACAAACGAGUCGGCUCAAAGGUUGACGACAACCGACUCUGGUGCCUUCUUGUGUGAACCAGGGAGUUCUCGUUUUGGCGAAAACCUAAGUGGACUGCUUUUGACAGUAAGCGCUCUGACUCUUUGUGGAUGUUGACCUGCAUAUUUACCAUACGAGUGUUCUUUGUGUUGAUCUCCUCCUGGAUUAUGGCCAUCUGCUCCUGAAGUUUCUUAACCUCAGCGCUGCGCUCUGUCAUGUUCUCCUCGAUAAUGGGUGAUACUAGAAGGGUGCUCAAUGUAGUUGCGAGUUCUAACAGAGUUUGAGUCGAAGGUUUACUUGAGCUGGCUCCGUCUAGAGCUGCGGUCUCGCCUUCGGUCCUCGUACCAACGACAACGAAAUUUUGAAUCAUCGAUGUCCCUAGCGUGUGCUUUCCUACCAUAAAAACGGUUGCGCGAUGUGACGGCUCAAAAACCUCUGUGGUGGUCUCCACGUCAGUAUAGCACUUGGGUCGGUCGUCAAAAAGUGGAAGGAUUGACUCGGUAUCGCCGAUUGAUGUCUUUCCAUCAUAGUAGGCAAGGGUGUCACCGCCAGACACAUAAUUUCCUGAUAGAUCGACUCCCUGAGUGAAUCCAACAAAGACUUGGUUCCACGCGGCUUGUGACGAUCUAGGUUGAGAGCAUUGAGUCGGCUCGACGAUGUCGGUGAAGGUGUCCGGCUUGAGCUCAGAUUUGCUGAUUUUGCCAAUGAUGAGGUGCUUCCGGGCGGCUUGUGUCGGGUCGGGUUGAGAGCGUCGAGCCGACUUGAUGAUGCCGGUGAAGUUGUCCGACUCGAGCCCCGAUUAGACGAUCUUGCCGAUAAAGAUGUGGAUUUAAAUUACUGUAAAUCCAUACCUAGAUGGAAAUUCAUGAAACUUGGAAUGGUGUCAUGACAUGGCCCAUAAAGGCGUUGUAUGAUUUUGUUUUCCAUUUUGAGACAUGUUUUCCAAUUUAUUUCACCUGGGCCAAACAUUGAGCAUAUUGGUUUAAAUUAUAGUAACCACAAAAGUCAAACAAAAAUCAUGAAAUUGGGCAGGGCAUCAUGAUAUAGCACAAAUAUGUUGUGGUAUUUUUUGUGUCCACUUUGAGUGAAGGUGCAAACGUUAAUAGCCAACUGAUACGUCUCCAACGUAUCUAUAAAUUUUGAUGGUUCCAUGCUAUAAUAUUAUCAUUCUAGGAUGCUUUUUGGGUGUAUAUAUACCAAUUACUAUUAUGUUUGUGCACUAACCAAUUAACCCAGUGUCAAGUGCCAGUUGUUAUUUUCUGCAUGUUUUUGGCUUUUUAGAUUUAUAGUACCAAACGAAGUCCAAUUGCCCGGGAACUUUUUUAUGAUUUUUCUAGACCAAAAGAAGACAUGAAAGCACGUGAUGAGACCGGAGGCUGCACGAGGGACGCAUCACACAUCAGGGUGCACCAAGGGGGUGGUUGCAUCCUAUUGUGUAUUGGCCCCCUCGACCGUUUCGUGGCAUACCUCUUCAUCCUAUAAAUUCUCAAACACCCCAAAAACCCUAGGGAGCAACCCGAAACACUUUUUUCGCCAUGGCAAGUCUUUGUUCCAUCAUGAGGCCAUCUAGAGCCCUUUUCCAGUGCCCUGUCAGAGGAGGGAUCGAUCAUGGAGGACCUCUACAUCAACCUUGAUGCUCCCAUGGUGAUGUGUGAGUAGUUUACCACAGACCUACGGGUCCGUAACUAGUACAUAGAUGGUUAUCUCUCUCUCUCUCUUGAUCUUCAAUAAAAUGAUCAUCACAUCUUCACUUUGAUCAAUCUAAUGUACUCCUAUUGUGCGAUGCAUUUUUUGGGAUCCGAUGAAUUGUGGGUUUAUGUUCAGAUUAUUCAUGAUAAAGAUUUGAGUCUUCUCCGACUUCUAAUUAUGGUUCCUAUUUGUAUGAUUAUCAUAGAUUCGUAAAUCUCUCUCAUCUAUUGAAAUAGUCUGGCCAACUGGACUGAUAUUUCUUCGGUGAGAGGGGUGCGUUGUAGUGGGUUCAAUGUGAUGGGUUUCUAUAUCCCAGUGAUAGAAGACGCAAGAUAUGUCAUUGUAUUGUUACCACGAAGGAUAAAACAAUUGGGUUUAUUCAUAUUGACUGAGUUCUCUUUGUCUACAUCAUGUCAUCAUUCCCCAACCAUUACUCUGUUUUCCAUGAACUUAAUUCGUAGAGAUACAAGCAUAGAAGCGCUCUUGAAGUGGAGUAAUAGUAAUAGGUGCAUGCGGAAUUCGGCCUAUUUUCUUACGGACGUGUGUUGGGGAACGUUGCAUGGGAAACAAAAAAUUUCCUACGCACACGAAGACCUAUCACGGUGAUGUCCAUCUACGAGAGGAGAUUUGGAUCUACGUACCCUUGUAGAUCGUACAGCAGGAAGCGUUAAGAAACGCGGUUGAUGUAGUGGAACGUCCUCACGUCCCUCGAUCCGCCCCGCGAACCGUCCCACGAACCGUCCUGCGAUCCGUCCCACGAUCCGCUCCGAUCUAGUGCCGAACGGACGGCACCUCCGCGUUCAGCACACGUACAGCUCGACGAUGAUCUCGGCCUUCUUGAUCCAGCAAGCAAGAUGGAGAAGUAGAUGAGUUCUCCAGCAGCGUGACAGCGCUCCGGUGGUGGUGAAGGAUCUACUCCUGCAGGGCUCCGCCCAAGAUCCGCAGAAAUACGAUCUAGAGGUAAACUAUGGUGUCUAGAUCUGAGUUGCACGUGGCAAAGUUGUCUCAAAUCAGCCCUAAAUCACCAGUAUAUAUAGGAGGGAGGGGGAGGGGCUUGCCUUGAGGGACAAGCCCCCAAGGUGCACCGGCAAAGAGGAGGAGAAGGACUCCUACUCCAAUCCUACUCAAAAUAGGAUUGGAAAGUGGAGUCCUUCCCUUCCUUCCCACCUUUUUUUCUUUCUUUGGUUUUCUCUCUAUGACACAUAGGCCUUAUUGGGUUGUCCCACCAGCCCAUUAAGGGCUGGUGCGCCACCCGUAAGUGCUUUGGGCUUCCCCUGGGAGGGUUGCUCCCCUCCCGGUGAACUUCCAGAACCCAUUCGUCACUCCCGAUACAUUCCCGGUAAUGCCCGAAAACUUUCCGGUAACCAAAUGAAGUCAUCCUAUAUAUUAAUCUUUGUCUCUGGACCAUUAUGGAAACCCUCGUGACGUCUGUGAUCUCAUCCGGCACUCCGAACAACAUUUGGUAACCACGCAUAUAACUUAACUAUACUAAAACAUCGUUGAACCUUAAGUGUGCAGACCCUAUGGGUUCGAGAACUAUGUAGACAUGCCCCAAGGUACUCCUCGGUCAAUAUCCAAUAGCGGUACCUGGAUGCCCAUAUUGGAUCCUACAUAUUCUCCGAAGAUCUUAUCGGUUGAACCUCAGUGUCAAGGAUUCAUAUAAUCCCGUAUGUGAUUCCAUUUGUCCUUCGGUAUAUUACUUGCCCAAGAUUCGAUCGUAGGUAUCCGCAUACCUACUUCAAUCUCAUUACCGGCAAGUCUCUUUACUCGUUCUGUAAUACAAGAUCCCGUGACUUACACUUAGUCACAUUGCUUCCAAGGCUUGUGUGUGAUGUUGUAUUACCGAGUGGGCCCCGAGAUACCUCUUCGUCACACGGAGUGACAAAUCCCAGUCUUGAUCCAUACUAACUCAACGGACACCUUCGGAGAUACCUGUAGAGCACCUUUAUCGUCACCCAGUUACGUUGUGACGUUUGAUACACACAAGGUAUUCCUCUGGUGCGAGUGAGUUUAUAUGAUCUCAUGGUCAUAGGAACAAAUACUUGACACGCAGAAAACUAUAGCAAUAAAACGACACGAUCAAUAUGCUACAUUCAUAGUUUGGGUCUAGUCCAUCACAUGAUUCUCCUAAUGAUGUGGUCCAGUUAUCAAGCAACAACACUUUGCACAUAGUCAGAAAACCUUGACUAUCCUUGAUCAACUGGCUAGCCAACUAGAGGCUUGCUAGGGACAUUGUUGUGUCUAUGUAUCCACACAUGUAUCUAUGUUUUCAUUCAAUACAAUUAUAGCAUGGAUAAUAAACGAUUAUAUUUAAACAUGAAAUAUAAUAAUAACUAUUUACCAUUGCCUCUAGGGCAUAUUUCCAACAAUGUGAUGCCUAUAUACAUAUGAUCAUUGAUACGUCUCCAACAUAUCAAUAAUUUAUGAACUAUUCAUGUCAAUAUUCUACAACUUCCAUAUACUUUUGGCAACAUUUUAUAUUAUUUUUUGGGAAUAACUUACUUACCGAAUGUCCUUUGCCAUUUUUAUUUUUUGUGUGUUUUUGUUUCACGGAAAUUCCAUAUCAAACGGAGUCCAAAUGUGAUAGAAAUUUAGGGAGAUUUUUUUAUAAUAUAUGUCAAUUUUGGGAAAAAGAAUCAAUGCCACAUGAUGCCCGAGGCUCUCACACGACAACAGGGCAUGGCCAGGGGGGUGGUCACACCCUGAUGCCUUGUGGCUCCCCCUUAAGUCGGUUGGGGCCCUAAUUUCACCGCAAGAAAGAUAUUUCCCUGAUAAAAAACCCUCAAAAUUUUAGCCUGAUCGGAGUUAUGGAGCUCCGGAUAUUUAAGAAACAGUGAAGGGCCAGAAAACAGGAGAGAAACUAAGAGAGAGAGAUCCAAUCUCGGAGGGGGUGUUGCCCCUCCGGGAGCCAUGGUGGCCAAGGACUAGAGGAGUGAACCUCUCCCCAUCUAGGGAGAGGUCAUGGAGGAGGAAGCCUAAUGGGGGACACUCUCUCCCCCUCUCUUCCGGUGGCGCCGGAGUGCCGCCGGGAGAACCAUCGGCGCAGUGAUCGUCAUCAUCAACAUCACCGUCUCCAUCACCUUCCCUAGUCUAUCUAUGGCGGUCCACUCUCCCGCACCUUUCUGUAAUCCCCUACUUGAACAUGGUGUUUCAUGCCACAUAUUAUUAAUCAAUGAUGUGUUGCCAUGUUAUCAUGUUUUAGUAGAUUUAUGUUGUCCUUUGGGUUGAUUAAUUUGAGUGUAUGUUUUAUUUUGGUGUUGUCCUAUGGUGCCCUUCGUGUCAUGCACACGUGAGGGAGUUCUUACUGUAUGGUUCGCAAUAUGUUCAUGAUUUUAUUGUAGUGGGUGGCUAGAGUGACAGAAGCUUACACCCGAGUAAGGGAGUUGUUUGCAUAUGGGAGUAAAGGUGACUUGAUGUUUAAUGUUAUGGUUUGGUUUACCUUAAUGAUUUCUAGUAGUUGUGGAUGCUUGCUAGAGAUCCAAUCAUAAUUUCAUAUGAUCCAAGUACGGAAAGUAUGUUAGCUCAUGCGUCUCCCUCAUAUAAAAUUGCAAGAAUGGUUACCGAUCUUGUUAUAAAUUGCCUAGGAUGAUUCCGCACACCAUACCAUCAUUAUUCCACACUCGCUAUUUGUAAUAUAUUGUGAUAUAUUCUAACUUUAUUUAGCAAGAUACUAUUUUCAUAUUUUAGUUCUACAAUAUCAUGCAAACAUAUCCUCUCUAUGCCCACAACGCGGAUUUAUUUCUCGUUACAAGAUAGAAGCAAAUGUUUGGUGUAUGUAGAGUCGUAUCGGUAGCAGAUAGGACUUGAGAGAAUAUUGAUCUUACCUUUAGCUCCUUGUGGGUUCAACACUUCAUACUUACCACUUCCAUAUUUGUAAAUUGCUACGAUGAUUCAUUCCACUUGGGGAUUCUCAAGCUCUAUAAGGCUUGCCCAACUGAUCCCUUUGCCCUCCCACGUAUUGACCAGAUCAUUGACGCAACGGCGGGUUACGAGAGUCUGUGCUUCCUGGAUGCUUAUUCUUGUUAACAUCAGAUAAAGAUGCUGGUUGAAGACGAGGAAAAAGAAACUUUUAUCACGCCCUUUGGAGCUUUCAGUUAUGUAUCUAUGCCUUUUGGGCUCAAGAGUGCUCAGGUGACUUACCAGCAUCGUGUUCAGAAUUGCCUUCAUGGACAGAUUGGGCGCAAUGUUCAUGCUUAUGUUGAUGAAAUUGUGGUAAAAUCAAGGAAGAAGGAAACCUUGCUUGAAUAUUUGAAGGAAACCUCUGACAAUCUCCGGGUGUACAAGAUGAUGCUUAACCCGACCAAGUGCGUCUUCGGGCUAUGUGCAGGAAAACUACUAUGUUUCCUGGUUUCAAAGAGAGAUAUUGAAACUAACCCGAAGAAAAUUGUGGCCGUCACUUCCUUAUCUAAGCCGGCAUGUAUCAAUGACGUGCAACGCCUGGCAGGUCACAUUGCGGCCCUGAGCCGGUUCAUAAGUUGCGUGGGUGAAAAGGCGAUUUCUCUAUACCAAAUGAUGAAAAAGAGUGAUCAUUUUGUCUGGAGUGAUGCUGUUAAUGAGGCUUUUGAAGCACCUAAGAGCAGUUGGUUGAGUCGCCCGUCUUGGUGGCUCCGAUCGACAAAGAGCAUAUGUUCCUAUAUGUGGCGACUAAUAAUCGGGCCAUCGACGUGGCAGUUGUCGUGGAAUGCAAGGAGGCAGGGAAGGAGUGCCCAGUCCAACAGCCGGUUUAUUAUGUCAGCGAAGUCUUAUUAGAGUCCAAGCAAAGAUAUCCACAUUGGCAGAAAUUGGUGUUUGGAGUGUUCAUGGCUAGUCGCAAGUUAAAACAAUACUUCCUUGGGGAUCCAAUCACUGUUGUCAGUUCGGCUCCUCUCGGAGAUAUCAUCCAAAAGAGAGAAGCUAUAGGCCGGGUUGCUAAGUGGGCAACUGAGCUUGGGCCUCAUCAUUUGAAAUACGUGCCCAGGACUGCUAUCAAGUAUCAAGCCUUGGUAGAUUUCAUCAAUUACUAGACAGAGUUACAAACACCCGAGGAAAAACCACAUAAUACAUACUAGACGAUACACUGACGGAUCUAGACAAUUGGAAGGCUCGGGGGUUGGAGUUAUUUUAUCUUCCCCACAAGGUGACAAGUUUUGUUAUGUCCUCCGUCUUAUGCUUCCAUGUACUAACAUGUAGAUGAGUAUGAGGCUUUAUUACAUGGGAUCCACAUGGCUAAGGAAAUGAACUUAAGCAAACUCAGAUGCUUGGGCGACUCAGAUCUUGUGGCACAACAAGUUUCAAGGAAGCGGGACUCUAAAGACCGGCUCAUGGCGGCUUAUCUUCAGGCGGUGACUAACAUUGUGUUAGAGCAUAUAUCUCCAUAUGUGGUUUUGGUAAUUGAUGGCAAUUCCUAUGGACUAAUGGUUGCCUUAAGUUAUAUUUAUAGGAUUUGUCCAUAGGCACUUCUUGAAGUCCAUCUGUUGGGUUCAAGGAGUUUAUAUGAUGACCAAGAUGGUAUUCAAGGUAUUAUCCAAAGAAUGGUCAUAGAGACACAAGGUUGAUCAAGAUCUCAUACAAAGAGUAAAUCAAGAUGAUCAACACACAAAGCGUACAAGAUGUACCGAGAGGGAUCAAGUGAUCCCAUGGUAUGGUAAGCAUUGUCCAUUACGUGUUUGUGUACUAACCCAUGGUCUUCGUGAGAGUUCUAUGUGGGGGUUAGGUGUGUUUCCAUGGGCUUGCGUUAAAAGGAAGAUCUCAUACAACCCAUGAAGGAUGACGUCAAGUGGUGAUCGUCAUCAAGAUUGCGGUGUGCAAGUUCAAGUGGAUCGGCACGAAUAUAUCAUGCUUGAAGCUUGUCGUCCAUUGUGGUGGCAAUGGACUUGUGAAGAUAUGCUGAAGAGUGGCUCACCCAUAGUGAGUAUGGGGGAGCAAUCAACUAGUCUUCAUCAAGCCAACACAAUCAAGAAAGUUGGUCCAUCUUGAGGAAGCAAAGAUCAUCAUCAUCUAGCUCAAGAGGUCGAGGUACAAGGUAUAGGUUUGCCCUUGAUAGGUUUUCUGUUUUAGGAUAGAUUGUUGUACUAUCAAGGGGGGCUCUCAAGUGAGUAGCUUGAUCGUAUCGUUCAUUGAGAGCUCAAACCAUUUGCAUCCUUGCGUCAUACUUCUUGGUUCUUAUUUGGUGUUUCUCUUUGUGAUUUUUAGAGCUUAUGGUCAUCUUCAUGACAAGCUCGAGUUCAUCGAAAACGGAGUCCAUAUGCAUCUACUAUGAUGUUUUCGAUGUUGGAGUUUUUGCCGGUUCUUCAUUCAUAGAGGUCUCACAUCUCUAUAUCAUUGGCAUUUUCAUAUCUGCAAGUUUGGAUAGCUCUUGUCGUCCUGAAUCCAACAAGCUUGGGUUUGCUCGAUUCGGAGCUCGUAUGCGAAAGUUAUGGUUGUUUCAGUGGCGAGCGGUAGUACUGCUGGACCUAGCGGUAGUACCGAUGGCCCUAGCGGUAGUACUGCUAGAGCUGGCAGUAGUACCGCUGUCCUAGCGGUAGUACCGCCCCUGGUCAGCGAUAGUACCGCUCCAAGACUUUAGUACCGUCAUCCUUGCGGUUGUACUACGUCGGAAUUUUUGCGAAGACGUUCUUGGCGGUGGUUGGCCCGGUAGUAUCUUUGCGCUACCAUGGGCUCAGCGGUAGUACCGCUGCAGCCAGCGGUAGUACCGCUGCAGGGUCAGCGGUAGUACCGCUGGGCUCGGGCUGUAAGUGGGGGUAACGGUCUGAUUCCUUCCCCCACUAUAUAAAGGGGGUCUUCUUCCCCCUUGGCCUUAUCCAUAUCUUUAGCUCAUGUUCUUCCCCCAUUGUUGACCUUCUUCGAGCUUGCUAACUCUCAAUCCCUCCAAUGAUUCUUGCUAGUUCUUGAGGGAAAAGAAAGAGGAGAUCUAGAUCCACAUUUCCACCAAUCACUUUCUCCUCUAACUGAGGGGAACCCCUUGAGUCUAGAUCUUGGAGUUCUUCGUGUUCUUCUUCGUUCUUCCUCUCAUUUUCCUCCCUAGCAUUAGUUGCUUUGGUGGGAUUUGGGAGAGAAGGACUUGGGCACUCCGUGUGCCCUUGCCAUUGCAUUAGUUGCAUCGGUUUGAGUUCUCCACGGUGAUACGUGGAAGUGAAGUUUGAGAAGCUUAUUACCUUUGGUACUUAGUACCCUAGAUAUUGUUCUUCGUGGAUGCUUUGGAGUCCUAGAAGCUUGGUGGUGUCUCGAAGCUCAAUCAUUGUGGUGUAAAGCUCCGGGCAAGUGUCGGGGUCUCCAAUUAGGUUGUGGAGAUUGCCCUGAGCAAUUUGUACGGGUACCGGUGACCGCCCCCAAGGUUUUCCAUUUGUACGGGUUCGGUGACCGCCCUCAAGGGUCCCUUGGUGGAAUCACGGCAUCUUGCAUUGUGCGAGGGCGUGAGGAGAUUACGGUGGCCUUAGUGGCUCUUGGGGAGCAUUGUGCCUCCACACCGCUCCAACAGAGAUUAGCAUCGGAAAGGGUGUGAACUUCAGGAUACAUCAUUGUCUCCGCGUGCCUCGGUUAUCUCUUUCCUGAACCCUUUACUUAUGCACUUUACUUUGUGAUAGCCAUAUUGUUUAUUCUCAUAUAUCUUGCUAUCACUUAGUUGUUUAUCUUGCUUAGCAUAAGUUGUUGGUGCACAUAGGUGAGCCUAGUUGUUGCAAGUUUUGUGCUUGACAAAUUAAACGUUAGUUUUAUUCCGCAUUUGUUCAAGCCUAAACCGUAAUUAUUUUAAAGCGCCUAUUCACCCCCCUCUAGGAGACAUCCACAUCCUUUCACAUUGCUACUCACUUAAAAGGAUAUCAAGUGGAUCAUAUAGACCGAUGUCUUAAUGAGGCGCCAGAUGCUUUAUCGCGGUUAGGUUCUCAGCGUAAUCCGGUCCCCCCCCCCAAUGUGUACCAUUUCAACAGCUCAUCCAUCACUCCCGAGGCAUAUCACGUGUCACCACUCGACGGCCAUGGGCACACAAGGUUCUCCACGUUAGCGGACUUCAGCAUGGUUGCUCUGGGCAUGCCCUCGGGCAUCAUCGACCUCAAUGUCAUGUCGGGGUACAGUGGCGCUGGCUAGCCGCCCGACGGGAUGCAAAGGAAGUAGCUCCGGUCGCUCCCUUCGGCAAACAUGGCCCCCACAUGCAGGUUGUUUGACGAAAUGCCACUAUCGACGCCAACUAUCGAUGACCCUGACUAUGCGAUAUUCAUGGAGAACGUCGUCUUCGGGGGCCGUGGUGAGGACUUCCACGUCGAUGGCCAAGGCCAAGCUUUUGAUACCGAUGCAACCCAAAGCCAGGACGGUCGAGGCCGCUAUGAAGACACUCAAUUCGACGACCACUAUGAAGACACUCAAUUCGACAGCCAUGAGGACGACCAUGGAAAUUCUUGGCAUGAAGAUGAUGACUUGUAUUGUGUAGAUGAGAAAGAAGAGGUCGACAUUUUGGCAGAUCCAUUGGUGUUCAUGGACGAGCUCACCCAAAGGGCCGAGGCACAAAAGAAGAGGCAAAGCAUUCACACGUGAUCAUGCACUCAACUAGAGGACACGUUGAUUUGCGAGACUUGGAUGGAGAUAGGCCAAUAUCCUAUGAAAGGUUUUGAGAAAAAAGAUUCGUCUUUUGGAAGAGAGUUCGCAACACCUUUCAUGAGCGAAGGAAGUUUCCCCCCUACCAAUUCGCAAGCACACGACAUCAAUUAAAUCCAAAAGAGAUGGGGAUUCAUCCAACAAGAGUGCGACAAAUAUUGUUCCACGCUUGAGAGCAUUCAAGCCCGUCUCGUGAGUGGCCUAGGCAUUGGUGACUUGGUAUGAACCACUAGUUUUCUCGUCAUGUGUCCAUUCAUGUUGGCAUGCAAUUUAUGUUUUGAUGUACUUUGUGUCCUUCCAUGUUACAAUUGUGGCCGCAUCUUUGGUUGUGUAGGCGUUCCAAUCUUUGGAAGCCUUCAACGCUCGACACAAGAAUAAGUCCUUUACUCUCACGUAUUGUUGGUCGUUCAUCAAAGAUUGCCUCAAGUUCAAAGACCAAUAUGUUGCUCGUAAAAAUAAAGGAGGGAAGGCGGUUGUGGCUGACGAAGGAGGCUUACUCAAGAGGCCGAAGGGGAAUACAAUCUCAAAGGCCGAGGAGAAGUGUGAUGCAGCUUCUAUAGCCUUGCAAGGAACAUUGGAGAACAUGAUGAGCCAAAAGGAAGUGACGUAAUAGUGGAGGAGCAAAGGGAAGGAGGAUAAAAUAAAGAUCUACCUAGAUCUCCAAACGAAGAAGCUUGACAUGGAGGAGGUCGUGAAGAGGAGGAAGCUUGACAUCGAGGAGGCCUCUCAACUCAAGAAGCUCGAGAUCGAGGCCACCAAUGCCGAGAACAAAGCAACAGAGGUGGCACUCGUGUUCACGAGUGUCGACAAGAACAACAUUUCAUGAGAGACGAAGGCUUGGUUCGUGAACCGGCAGAAGGAGAUGUUCGCCCGCGACAACCCGAACUAGGUGAGAUCUUGGUCGCGACCGCCAUCCAUUUAAAAGGUUGGCUGGUGUGCCGGCCGCUCGCCUUGUUGACGGCACCAAAAACCUGUCCAUUUUGAAGGUUGGCUCGUGUGCCGGCCACUGGCUUUGUUGCCGGCCCAAAACUUGUCCAUUUUGAAGGUUGGUUCGUGUGCCCGCACUUGGCUUUGUUGCCAACGUGAAAGUUGGAUGACCAUUCUGUAGGCCGCUAGCUUUGUUGCCGGCCAGCAUGAACUCAUGUGAACACGGUCGCUCGCAUAAACUAUGCCCACAGCCAUUUAGCUACAUCCUUUAUUCUUUUCAUAUUUGUAAGCAGAGCGGACGAGAUGCGACCGAAAUGCAAUCGCGUGUUGGGCGCACGAGUGACGCAUCCACAAAUCCGGACACACAUUCUCCCAAUGCCAUUACAAACAAACAAAAAAUAGAUAAAAUGGAUGUCCGUUUGAGAUCGUGCAUUAGAGUUUCCCUUAGAUAAACUCCAACGCGCUCAUCCAUUUCGUCCGCGUGCGUCCGUUUGGGUCGCGGCGGACAAAAGUGACGGCCCAACGCGCCAACCCAAACCCAAAUCACGUCCGCUUCGCCUCCGCGCGGACCCAUUUUCAGCCCAAAAUUGCACGUGAAAUGCGUCGGUGCAAACGUGAAGCGGACGCGACACGCGCCUUCUCACGUCCAAGCCCAUCCACACGUGGCGCCCGGUCAAAGCCAACGGCAUCUUUAUUAACAACGAUCGCCCGCUGCAGUCCCACGCGUCAGCGACCCACUCGCGUCCUUUUUUAAUCCGAGCGUGAGGGGGGCUCAUCCUCUUCGAGAAGCCACCCCAUCCACAUCUAGCCACUCCUGCUCCCCCGCCGGCGGCAAACCCUAGCCACCACCACCAUGGGGUUCUUCCCCGCGAAGGACAAGGAAAAGUCCCUCGCCGUCCCUGUCUGCGCGUCGGAGUCUUCCCAUCCACCUCACCAGCGGGUCAACGUGCCGGUGCACCAGACGAGGUGGCAUUGGGAGCACCGUGUCCUCCUCCCCUACCCUGAUAUAAUGCUACCGCAUGACUGGCUGACGCUAGAGUAGUGGCGCAGCCCCGUCUACGUUGCAGACUCCCCGAUUGGUACGCUGGUUUGCUGGGAGCACGAUGAGCAACAUCGGCAUGGCGUCUGCGACGUGGCGGCUGGACCACUACCGCCCCUCGUCAUGCGCGAAGAGGACCAGAAGGCGGAGGCGGCGUACCAGAACGCGCUUGCGGCCAUCCUGCGCGCAAUCGAGGAGGGAGCGUGCCUGAAGGAGGAGGAGAAGGCCGCCUACGAGAAGGAGCUGGCGGAGGCCAUUGCGUUCUCCGCUGCCGACGACACACUCGUGCGGCCGUUGGCCCCGUCGUCCCCCUUAGGAGGGUGUACGCCUGGGACGGGGUGGUGCGCGAGUGGGUUAGCGCGCCACCCGUCUGGUUGGGUGCAACGCCGGAGCAGGAGGGGUCUACCUGGAACACUGGCGGCAGCGACGGGUGAGGAAGGAGGGCGAAGAGGCCCGAUGGAUCAAGUUGCUCGACUGCGAGGCUGAAGCCGAGGAGGAGCGUCGCGCUGCCCAGCAAGCGGCGGUGCAACCACCGACGGACGCGGUUGCCGUCGCCUGGGAGACGUCUUCCCUUGGGCUGGCCCGACGCCGACGCUCGUGCCGUCUAAAAAUGGGUCGUUGGUCGCGUUAGACGCAAGCGUCGACCCAAUUACAAAAGCGGAUACAAAUGUCCGUCGGACUAAUUCAAACAGAUAAAUACGAACAAAACACCGUUAGUUUAAAUCGACCUUGAAGUUACUCUUAAAUCCCGGAUGGAAUGAAGAUAUCACGAUCUCUAUAAUCAUUCAACCAUAUAUUGAUUUACGUGAGACACGAAUCUUUGAUUGAGUGAAUCAAGCUAGCAAUGAAGAAUAAAAGGACGAGGAAAGGUCGGCAGAUGGCGUGUAGCCCCGCAUGUCAUUCGCAGUCCAUCUAUCCGCGUCUGGAUAACUUCGUAUCGAAGUCAAGCACUGUUCCUUCAAUUUCUUUAAUCUGAGAGGAGCUCUGUUCUUAUGAUCUUAUCUACUUUCUCACCCUACCGCCUCCCUUCAGUACUCACACAAAACACCCUUAAAAUAAUAUUUUAUCACAUCGCGCACCAUCCCACACUUGCCCAACACGAGAGAAGCCUUACACGGCCCACCCAAGAAAAGCACAGGGCCUUUCUUGCAAAUUGUCCCCCGAUUUUUUCGGACGACGCAAACGAAAGGGAGAGAGAGGAGAGGAGAGGCGAGACGCCACCGAGAGAGGAGAGAGAGCCAUCAGCCAUGGGAGGAGGCGUCAUGCGCACCGCUGCGAAGGUCGGCCUCGCCGGGGGCGCCGCGGCGGCGGCGGGCCGCUUCCGCAACGUCGCCCCGUCCUUCGCCACGGCCCCCGCCGCCGAGGCCGCCGCGGCGGCGCCGCUGCUGUCCGCGGCCGGGGAGGUCCCCGCGGUGGCCCCGGCUGGGUCGCAGUGGGCGUCCUGGGAGGUGGACGACUGGGAAUUCGCGGACUGGAGGUCCGAGUCGGCGACGUCCGAGGCGGACGUGGCGGNNNNNNNNNNNNNNNNNNNNNNNNNNNNNNNNNNNNNNNNNNNNNNNNNNNNNNNNNNNNNNNNNNNNNNNNNNNNNNNNNNNNNNNNNNNNNNNNNNNNNNNNNNNNNNNNNNNNNNNNNNNNNNNNNNNNNNNNNNNNNNNNNNNNUCUUCGCCCCGCCGUCGCGGGAGGAGGCCGAGGAGGCCACCGCCGAGCUUCGGGAAGCUAUUGACAGGUGACUCGGGUGCAUCUCUUCUUGGGAUUUUCCGAAUUGGAGAUCGAUUUGCUCCGGGGCAAUUAUUUUCUUGUGGUUGCUUUGGGCGAUGGUCUGGGAUACUAACAAGCUUUAUGCUCUCUUGGUAAUAUGUCCGUCCUGAUUUGAUGGUAUCAGGUUGGUUUGUGAGAGGCUAAGAAUUCGAUUCGUAUACUGCUUAAAUUUAAGAUCCUAGGCCAUGUGAAUAGGUGUAANNNNNNNNNNNNNNNNNNNNNNNNNNNNNNNNNNNNNNNNNNNNNNNNNNNNNNNNNNNNNNNNNNNNNNNNNNNNNNNNNNNNNNNNNNNNNNNNNNNNNNNNNNNNNNNNNNCAUGUGAAUAGGUGUAAGCGUCCCGCUCAUGUGAAUAGGUGUAAGCGUCCGGCGCGUGGUAGAGCAGCGAUGCCAGCCUUAAGCCAGGGAAAGAAUCCCAAUCUGGCAAAACGGCCGCCAUCUUCUCCCCAAGAAUCUGUAGGUAGCAUCGCUUUGUAGAUGGCCUUAUUUUAUUUCUCAGUCAUACCUCACUGUAUCUACUUCAGUCCUUCCACGAUCAAGAGAAGAAUCUCUUCUAUAGUUAGAGUUUUAAACGUGAGAUUUAUGUUCAUCUUGUAUGUGAUGGGUUCAAUUCCUGGAAACAGCCUAUUGCAGAAAUGCAGGGAAAGGCUGCGCACAGAAGACCCAAAGUGGUCGGACUCUUCUGCGGACCCUUCUGCGGACCCUGCGUAAGUGGGAGCUGCAUGCACCCGGCAGCCCCUUGUAUGUGAUGGGUCAGUUAUGGUGCAGUUGAGGGGAUUGUUCAAUUUUCACUCAAAAAGUAUCAAAUCAAAAUUAGUUUUAUCAGUGUCAAAAAGGAAAUAAAGAUGCCAUGAAAGUUCGAAAGACCGUUGAAGUUUUUAGCAAAAUUAUGGUUCCAUUCUUCACUUAUCACUAAGAACUCAAGACUUCAUGAGUAGUAAAUAAAUGAAGGCGACCCCAGUUUGUUUCCUUUUACAUUACUCCAGUUGACCAAUUCAUGUUGGUUCAUUCAACAUGCUAACCUUGAACAUGCUAUGAUAUCGUCAGUUCGUCACAUCCUUACAACUCUGCUCCUUCAGUUCUCUUGUAUAUUGCAGGAGAAAACCCUCUGUCCAUCUUGUACAAACAUUGUGUUUGUUUAUAUUAAUCUUUUUGCUACCUUCAUGUUUUAGAAUUUUUUGUAUUUGCACAUUGCUUUUUUCUUCAUGUACUCUUAUGUUAUUACUCCCUCCGUCCCGAAAUUCUUGUCUUAGCUUUGUCUAGAAAUGGAUGUAUCAAAAUACUAAAACUUAACUAGAUACAUUCAUAUCUAAACAAAUCUAAGACAAGAAUUUUGGGACGGAGGGAGUAUAUCCGAACAUUCUUUUAAGAAGCCUUACAAAACGAUUGUUUGUAGGGUUUAUUUUCCAGAGACUCCAGUAGAAGCUGUUAAGGAACAUGAUCAAGAGCUUAGCAAGCUUGGAGCCGAUGCAUUAAUUCCUGCUAUGCCAGGACAUGUAGUGCAGGCUUUUACAUUGUUAAAAUCAAGCCCGGAGGCUCAGGUCUGUAACUGCAUUGCUUCAAUCAGUUGUUAUUAUCAUCUAUACUGUAUUCGUAAAAUAUUAGUGAAGUUGCUUUUGAAAAGAGACACUUAAAGUCAAAUUCACACACCUGUUAUCAGUUAUCACUGAGGAUUUGUUGUGUUGGCAUCAUACUGUGGCAGUCAUCAAUCGGUUUAUAGCUUGUUAUCGUUGCUCUAUGAUGUUUCCUUGUUAAUUCUGGUAGGUUGUGUACUUUUAGUUUGUAUAUGUGUGUUGUAGUGUAGUGUUAAUGAUUUCUGUAUGUAAUGGAUUUCCAUUCUUUAGCUGCGUGUUUCCAGAAGCAUGGCACCUUGUCACUGGAUAACUGGUGUCAGGUGAAUUUGUAUGUAGCAUAUAAACAUUUAGUUACAAUGUCAAUGAAAUUAUUUUCAUCUUUUAGUUGCAGAGUUUCCUGAGGCACGGCACCUUGUCAUUAGAUAAUUUAUGUCAAGUGGUUAAUUAUAUUUAGCAUAGCAAGAUUUAGUUGAGCCGAGUCCUUCAGAUAUCCCAUUUCUGUUGCUUAUGUUUUUUCAUCGUGAUCUCCAGAGCGUUGUUGCAUCGCUUGCAUCAGAUAAAAAUGUAUGGGAUGCAGUGUUGAAAAACGAGAGGGUUAUGGAAUUUUACAGGAGUCACCAGCAAAGUAUGUUUCACUUAAUCUCAAAGUUACACCUUGCCUUCAUUGUUUCUUGCGAACUGUACUGCCAUUAUUUUUCUGUUUUGAGGGUAUUGUAUGACAAUUACUAUCUUGUCUUGUGAUACAGCUCUGAUCAAUACUUUCCCUGAGGGCACCGACUCUACUGACUCAGUAGAGUCACCGGAGAAAUUUGAAGAGGCGUCCACAGAAUAUGCACUGCCCACUGCCUCACCUUUCUCGGACUUCGUGGACAAUGCGAAGAAGACGAUGAUAGAGAUGGUUGACAACAUAACCAACUUUUUCCAAGACCUGUUCCACAACCCGGCGGAAGCUGAGGCUGGACCGGGCUCAUCCUCUAAGAAGCAUUCGUUUGCGGAGAUGGCGGCUGGUGGAUCUUUCAUGGCUCUUGCCAUGGCGGUCAUCCUAGUUGUUCUGUUCAAGAGGGCAUGAACGUAUACUGCAAGUUCAAACGCUCUUCGUGCCUAUUGGGCCUUAAAUCUGUCGAAAAUAACUCGUGUUAUGAAGAACUAUGGAUGUAAUGUACAGUGUGUGUCUCCUGCCGUACCGUGUCAGUUAAAACUUCCGAGUGUUGAGACCAGUAUAAUAAGGACAUGUUAUGCUCCUGGUUAGUUGGUAAUGCUGCGCUGAAGCAUGGAUAUUUUGCCUGUGAUUUUCUUCCAAGAAGGGCAUAUGACAUAUAGACUAACUUCUACCAGGACCAAAAACAUUAUCCCCCACAGAGACCAAUGAUCCUCCUGAAGCGAAGUUGACGGGGGGGAUGUCUUAAGAAGAAAAGAUUCCAUAAUUGGUAGCCUUCCAAAUCAAGUAGGCAUGUUUUUUUCUUUCUCAGGAAAAGCUUUCUAUCUAAUUCAUCGUCUUCCAUGGCACACGAACAUCAUAUCCAGGUUCUUGUAGACUACUCCCUUUGUAAAGANNNNNNNNNNNNNNNNNNNNNNNNNNNNNNNNNNNNNNNNNNNNNNNNNNNNNNNNNNNNNNNNNNNNNNNNNNNNNNNNNNNNNNNNNNNNNNNNNNNNNNNNNNNNNNNNNNNNNNNNNNNNNNNNNNNNNNNNNNNNNNNNNNNNNNNNNNNNNNNNNNNNNNNNNNNNNNNNNNNNNUCUUUACAAAGGGAGUACCUGCCAAUGACUACAAGCUGAAGGCAAGCCGCCCUCAUCGUCCUUCACAGGACCAACGCAUUAAAACAACAAUCAUCGUCGAUGAAAAGAAGCAUGGAUAAAAAUACUAAUCUGUAAACACACGAACAAAGACUAGAUUCACAGAAAUCCAUCUCAAAAACAACAACAACCGAAUCCUACAAGAUCUGCAUGAAACACGCUCUCCAAUGACAUUAGACCCAAACGGUGGCCACAAAGUUGUUAGGGUGUGUUUGGUUGCAUUCCCUACCUAGCAUGGUUGUUCCCACCUAAGACAUGGUCAGUGUAAACAUGUUGAGUAGAUGCACUUGUUGUUGUUUGGUAGUAAGUAUGUGUUGAUACAUUCUGAGGUGAGACUUUGUUUGGUAGGCUGCACCUGAACAUACAUGUUGGACUGAGACCGUGUUUGGUACCUUUGUAUGGUCGUCCUCCCCACUCUGCCCCGGCCCCUCACCUCUAUCGACCUUCCUCCCGAUCCCCUCUGCUCGCACCUCCUCCACCCAUGGCGCCGCCCAACCUCCACCAGCCAUGCCCCCACCACCUCCCGCCGGCAGCCUAGAAACCCCGCGCCGCCCGACUCCAACCCACUCCCCCCUGUGCCUCGAUCCAUGGCGAUGGAUCCGGGCGGAUCCAGCCCCUGCUGCGCCCCUAGGCGACGGGAGCGAGCAACACACGUCGUUGACCCGGCGUGCCCUCGUCGGAGAAACCUCCUCCGGCCCCCGUGUUGGAUCUUGUCGCGGGGACGCAGCGGCGCGGCCACUUCUUGCUGGAAUUUUAUUCAAUUGUUUGGGCCAGCCCAAUAUAUAAUUCCUAAUAAAUCCUAGAGGCCCACACAACCCCAUUUGUGCAAGGCAAGAGGUGGAANNNNNNNNNNNNNNNNNNNNNNNNNNNNNNNNNNNNNNNNNNNNNNNNNNNNNNNNNNNNNNNNNNNNNNNNNNNNNNNNNNNNNNNNNNNNNNNNNNNNAAUCUUAUUUGAGUUUCGUCUGAUCUCUCUUAUGCAUGAUUUCAUAUCCUUGUAAUUCUCUUCGAGUUGUGGGUUUUGUCUGUCCAACUAGAUCUAUGAUUCUUCCAAUGGGAGAAGUGCUUNNNNNNNNNNNNNNNNNNNNNNNNNNNNNNNNNNNNNNNNNNNNNNNNNNNNNNNNNNNNNNNNNNNNNNNNNNNNNNNNNNNNNNNNNNNNNNNNNNNNNNNNNNNNNNNNNNNNNNNNNNNNNNNNNNNNNNNNNNNNNNNNNNNNNNNNNNNNNNNNNNNNNNNNNNNNNNNNNNNNNNNNNNNNNNNNNNNNNNNNNNNNNNNNNNNNNNNNNNNNNNNNNNNNNNNNNNNNNNNNNNNNNNNNNNNUUGGUUUGAGAUUAUCCAUCUACAUCAUGUCAUCUUGCUUAAGGCAUUACUCUGUUCGUCAUGAACUCAAUACACUAGAUGCAUCCUGGAUAGCGGUCGAUGUGUGGAGUAAUAGUAGUAGAUGCAGAAAGUAUCGGUCUACUUGUCUCGGACGUGAUGCCUAUAUGUAUGAUCAUUGCCUUAGAUAUCGUCAUGACUUUGCGUGGUUCUAUCAAUUGCUCGACAGUAAUUUAUUCACCCACCGUAAUACUUGCUAUUUUGAGAGAAGCCUCUAGUGAACACUAUGGCCCCGGGGUCUACUCCACACCAUAUUUUCAGCCUUACACUUUUUACUUCGUUGCACUUUCCGCCUUCAGAUCUCACUUUGCAAUCAAUCUUGAAGGGAUUGACAACCCCUUUAAAGCGUUGGAUGCAAGCUCUUUUGUGUUUGCGCAGGUACUCUGGACUUGACGAGAUUCUCCUACUGGAUUGAUACCUUGGUUCUCAAACCGAGGGAAAUACUUACUGCUCCUGUGUUGCAUCACCCUUUCCUCUUCAAGGGAAAAACUAACGCAAGCCCAGUCUCCGUCAACGUGUCAAUUUCUAGCGCUGUUGUCUGUUGCCGUAGCAGAAGAAUUUCAAGCGCCAUUGCCGGGGAAGAUCAAGUCAAGAAAUCAUCCAAGUAGGUGUCGCAAACUCAUCUCUUGCAUUUACUUUGUUUGCCAUUUGCCUCUCGUUUUCCUCUCCCCCACUUCACCAAUUUGCCUUUUUCGUUUGCCUUUUCAUUCGCCCUUUCUUUCGCUUGCCUUUUGUUUGCUUGUGUGCUAUGUGCCUUCAAUAUUCGUGCAUCUUCGCUUGCUAAAAAUCUAGUGAUAUGGAUCCUCAUCCACUUUCUAAUCUCUUUAAGAGAUCCAAUUAUGUUGAUCCAAUUUCUAGUAAGUUGAGUGCACUUGACUUUCUCUAUGGAGUUUUGCUUGAGAUGCGUGAAUCUGAAAAUCGUAAUGAAGAAAUUUAUGAAAUGAUUCACGAGGACUCCUUGAAUGAAAAGCAUGAUUGCAAUGAUUUUAUUUAAAAUUCUAUUAAUGACAAUCAUGCUAAAAAUAUGCAAAACCCUAAGCUUGGGGAUGCUAGUUUUGCUAUGUCCACUACUUGUUGCAAUGAUAUUUUCAAUAAUAUUGAAAGUGGGUUUGGAGAAGUCAUGACUUUAAUUGAUGAUUAUCCCACUAUUUUUGAAGAGCGUUGAUGACCCACAAGUAUAGGGGAUCAAUCGUAGUCCUUUCGAUAAGUAAGAGUGUCGAACGCAACGAGAAGCAGAAGGAUUUGACAAGUGGUUUUCAGCAAGGAAAUAUCUGCAAGCACUGAAAUUAUCGGUAACAAGUGAUUGUGUGGUGAGACGAUUCGUAGCGAGCAACAAGUAACAAAAGUAGCAAUGGUGCAGCAAAGUGUCCCGAUCCCUUUUGUAGCAAGGGACAAGCCUGGACAAAGUCUUAUAGGAGGAAAAACGCUCCUGAGGACACACGGGAAUUUAUGUCAUGCUAGUUUUCAUCAUGUUCAUAUGAUUCGCGUUCGUUACUUCGAUAGUUUGAUAUGUGGGUGGACCGGCGCUUGGGUACUGCCCUUACUUGGACAAGCAUCCAACUUAUGAUUAAUUCCUCUCGCAAGCAUCCGCAACUACGAAAUAAUUAUUAAUACAAAGUCUAACCAUAGCAUUAAACUAGUGGAUCCAAAUCAGCCCCUUACGAAGCAACGCAUAAACUAGGGUUUAAGCUUCUGUCACUCUAGCAACCCAUCAUCUACUUACUACUCCCAAUGCCUUCCUCUAGGCCCAAAUAAUGGUGAAGUGUUAUGUAGUCGACGUUCACAUAACACCACUAGAGGAAAAAACAUACAACACAUCAAAAUAUCGAACGAAUGCCAAAUUCACAUGACUACUAUUAGCAUGACUUAUCCCAUGUCCUCAGGAACAAAAGUAACUACUAACAAAGCAUAAUCAUAUUCAUGACCAUAGAGGUAAUGAGUAGCAUCAAGGAUCUGAACAUAAACUCUUCCACCAAAUAAUCCAACUGGCAUCAACUACAAAGAGUAAUUAACACUACUAGCAACCUUACCAGUACCAAUCGGAGUCGCGAGACGGAGAUUGGUUACAAGUGAUGAACUAGGGUUUGGAGAUGAGAUGGUGCUGAUGAAGAUAUUGAUGGUGAUGAGUCCCCUCCAAUGAGAGGAGUGUUGGUGAUGACGAUGGCGACGAUUUUCCCCUCCGAGAGGGAAGUUUCCCAGGCAGGAUCGUCCUGCAGAAUAGAUAUAUCAACUUUGCUCCUCUUUCAGGCCAGAAUUCCAGCUGCCGGCAUUCUCCCUCUUCAUGUAAACCUUGCAAAAUAAGAGAGAAAAGGCAUAAGUAUUGUACCGUGAAGUGAAAUAACAUCCCAAGAAGCGAUGAAUAUCAACAUGAAAACAUGAUGCAAAAUGGACGUAUCAACUCCCCCAAGCUUAGACCUCGCUUGUCCUCAAGCGAAAGCCUAGCUCAAUAAAUAUGUCCACAUGUUUAGGGAGAGAGGUGUCGACAAAACAAGAUACAAACAUGCAUGCAUCAUGAUCAUGAUCAGAGUAGCCAUACCAACAUAUAAUCUCUCAUGCUAAAGUGAUAAUUCCUUCACAAAGUAAAGCAUGGAUUAAGAACCUUACCGAGAAGUAACAACCAAUAGCCUUUAGUCAUUGAAGCAAUUGCAAUUUAUCACAACAUCAAAAAGAGUCAAAUAAGAGCUUGUAAAACUAAUGCACAGACUCAAUCAUUCUUUCGUUCUCUACAAUUGCUACAACUCACGUGGUACUCCUGAGAUCAAAGUUUCAGCUAGACACACAGAAAGAUAGGGGCUUGCAGUUUUUGCCUCCCAACUGCUUACCUCAAGGGUAAUGUCAACAAUAAUAAUUCAUGAAUACUUACUUCCAAGUUGACAUAUGAAUAUAGAUCUUUCCCAAGCAUAUGACAUUAGCCAAGAUAAAGGCGAAAUAAGGAAUUGGUGGAGAUCACCAUGACUCUUUCAAGGGCAAAAAGUAAAGGUACAAGAUAGGCCCUUCGCAGAGGGAAGCAGAGGUUGUCAUGCGCUUUUGAGGUUUGGAUGCGUGUCCUCUUAGUGCGGAGGAACGUCACUUUAUAUUGCCUCCUGUGAUAAAGGACUUUAUUAUGCAGUCUGUCGCUUUUAUGUCUUCCUCAUCACAGGUUCGUAUAAAGCUUAUUUUCCACACACUAAUAGAUCGUACAUAUUAGAGAGCAAUUUUUAUUGCUUGCACGGAUGACAACUUAGUUGAGGGAUCUUAUUCAAUCCUUAGGUAGGUAUGGUGGACUCACAUGGCAAAACUGGGUUGAUGGUUUUAUGGAUGCACAAGUAGUAUCUCUACUUAGUGCGGGAGGUUUGGCUAACGUGAGGUGGAAGCAAUCGUCACAUGCUAAGGGAUCUCUAAUCAUAUAACAUUGUUCGGAACCAAGAAAAGACAAUUCAUUUCGUUCUCUUCCUUGUCCAACAUCUACUUCUAGGCAUGCAAUAGUUUAGUGAGUGUUCACAAUCAUAGAUGGUGUCAGAGAUGAUAUAUUUAUAUGUGAACCUCUCCCUCUUUAUCACUUCCUAUUAAUUGCAACAAUGACCAAGGUCUACGUUUGUCUACCCUCAACAAGUUUCAAUCAUCAUCCCUUUUUAUAUGUGAAGCCAUCACUUCCCAUAAGAUCAUUACAUGAUCUUUCAUGCUUUUGUUCUUUUCUCACUCUUUUGAUCAUGGCAAGAGGCAAAGCCCUUCAGCUAAGACACUCUUUAUUAUAUGGCUCACGAGCUCGAAUACAUCGGGGGUGACACAAAGAAAAACUCAAGAAUAAAACACUAAGACUUUAAACUGUUAGAGAAAAAGAAAAAAACUAAAAAGGAACAAACUAAAACAAAGGUAAAGGCAAAAGAUGUGAUGGUGAUACGAUAUUGGGGCAACUCCCCCAAGCUUGGCACAAGCCAAGGGGAUUGCGCAUACCCAUGUUUAGUUGUCUUCCUUUGGUGGUGAUGGUGGUGGAGUUGUUGCAACAUGGGCUUGAUCCUCCGUCUUCCAAGGCAUAGGUGCUCCAUCAUGGAAAGAUGAACGAGUCUCCGGAAUCCUCAAAUCUGCAACCAACCGUAUUGAUUUAAAUCUAUACUCAUACCCACAGUUUUGGUUCUACAGGUCAUAGAUCUGGGCCUGGAGUUGAUCAAUCCUGUCAUAGAGCGUGGAGAGGUGCUUCCCAAUGUCAUUGGCAUCAAUCUUGUGCUUGUUGGUGAACUCCGUGAUCAUGAUGUGGUUGGCGUUGAGUCCACGCUCCACCAUCCCUUGGCACUUGAAGACUUGUUGCUCCAUUGCUUCGAGCCUCGUAUCCACGCUUCCGGAGUUAUGGUAUUGAUGAUAUUGCUUUCAACAUUUAUGGGAGUACCUGAGAUAUAAUGCUUGAUUCUCUACCCAUUUACAACUCUCGGACAAUUACCUUCCGUGUUGUUGAUCUUGACAGCACCGGAACGAUAUACUUCCUCAACAACAUAGGGACCUUCCCAUUUAUAGAGAAGCUUGCCUUCAAAGAAUCUUAAACGAGAGUUAUAUAGCAAGACAUAAUCACCUACAUUGAACUCACGCUUUUGUAUCCUCUUAUCAUGCCACCUCUUAACCUUCUCUUUGAACAACUUGGCAUUCUCAUAUGCCUGAGUUCUCCAUUCAUCAAGCGAGCUAAUAUCAAAUAACCUCUUCUCACCGGCAAGUUCGAAAUAAAAGUUGAGCUCUUUGAUUGCCCAAUUAGCUUUAUGCUCUAACUCAAGAGGUAAAUGACAGGCUUUACCGUACACCAUUUUGUACGGAGACAUGCCCAUGGGAUUCUUAUAGGCAGUUCUAUAAGCCCAUAGUGCAACAUCGAGCUUCUUAGACCAAUUCUUUCUAGACCUGUUGACAGUCUUUUGCAGAAUUUGUUUAAUCUCUCUAUUGCUUAGCUCUACUUGACCGCUGGACUGAGGGUGAUAGGGGGACGCAAUUCUAUGUUUGACAUCGUACUUCGCAAGCGUUUUACGGAAAGCACCAUGAAUGAAAUGUGAACCACCGUCGGUCAUUAGAUAUCUUGGGACUCCAAAUCUAGGGAAGAUAACUUCUUUAAGCAUCCUGAUAGAAGUGUUGUGAUCAGCACUACUAGUGGGGAUAGCUUCUACCCACUUAGUGACAUAAUCAACAACAACUAAGAUGUGAGUAUACCUGUUGGAUUUUGGAAAAGGUCCCAUAUAAUCAAAGCCCCAAACAUCAAAUGGUUCAAUGACAAGUGAAUAGUUCAUAGGCAUUUCCUAGCGUUUACCGAUAUUACCUACUCUUUGACAUUCAUCACAAGACAAGACAAACUUACGGGCAUCCUUGAAGAGAGUGGGCCAAUACAAACCUGAUUGCAAUACCUUGUGUGCAAUUCUAUCUCCCGCAUGGUGUCCUCCGUAGGCAUCGGAGUGACACUUCUGUAAGAUCUGUCCCUGUUCAUGUUCAGGUACACAACGUCUAAUAACACCAUCUACUCCUUCAUUAUAAAGGUGAGGAUCAUCCCAAAAGUAAUGUCUCAAGUCAAAGAAGAAUUUCUUCUUUUGCUGGUACGUGAAACUAGGUGGUAUAUAUUUGGCAACGAUAUAGUUUGCAUAAUCAGCAUACCACGGUGCACUAGGUGAAGCAUUGAUGACAUUCAAUUGCUCAUCGGGAAAGCUAUCAUCAAUAGGUUGUGGGUCAUCAAGAAUGUUCUCCAACCUAGACAAGUUAUCUCCUACUAGGUUAUCAGCACCCUUCCUGUCAACAACGUGCAAAUCAAAUUCUUGUAGCAAGAGAACCCAUGUGAUAAGUCUAGGUUUAGCAUCCUUCUUCUCCAUGAGGUACUUAAUAGAAGCGUGAUCAGUGUGAAUAGUAACUUUGGAAUCAACUAUGUAAGACCUGAACUUUUCACAUGCAAACACGACUGCUAAAAACUCCUUUUCCGUAGUAGCAUAGUUUCUUUGGGCAUUGUCUAGAGUUUUACUAGCAUAGUGAAUAACAUUCAAUUUCUUAUCAACUCUUUGCCCUAGAACAGCACCAACAGUAUAAUCACUAGCAUCACACAUGAUUUCAAACGGCAAGUUCCAAUCAGGUGGUUGAACAAUAGGUGCGGUUAUCAAAGCCCUGUUAAGUAUUUCGAAGGCUUCCUCACAAUCAUCGUCAAAAACAAAAGGAAUAUCCUUUUGCAAGAGAUUGGUAAGAGGCCUAGAAAUCUUAGAGAAGUAUUUAAUGAACCUUCUAUAGAAACCAGCAUGACCAAGGAAACUUCUUAUACCUUUGAUAUUUGUGGGAUAUGGCAUUUUCUCGAUUGCAUCAACCUUGGCCUUAUCGACUUCCAUACCUCUUUCAGAAAUUUUAUGUCCUAAGACGAUGCCUUCAUUAACCAUAAAGUGGCACUUCUCCCAAUUCAAGACAAAAUUGGUGUCUUUACAUCUCUGCAAGACUCGAUCAAGGUUGCUGAGGCAAUCAUCAAAGGAAGACCCAUAAACGGAGAAGUCAUCCAUGAAAAUCUCAACAAUCUUUUCACAAAAGUCAGAGAAUAUAGCCAUGAUACAUCUUUGAAAGGUGGCAGGUGCAUUACAUAAGCCAAAAGGCAUACGUCUAUAAGCAAAGGUACCAAAAGGGCAGGUGAAAGUGGUCUUCUCCUGAUCAGAUUGUGCAACUGGUACUUGGGAGAAACCAGAAUAACCGUCUAGAAAGCAGAAGUGUAUGUGUUUAGAGAGUCUUUCUAGCAUUUGGUCGAUAAAAGGCAAAGGGUAAUGAUCUUUCCUAGUGGCUUUAUUCAAUUUCCUAAAAUCGAUCACCAUCCUAUAGCCAGUAAUAAUCCUCUGUGGGAUCAGUUCAUCCUUAUCAUUAGGGACAAUGGUAAUGCCUCCCUUCUUAGGGACGCAACGCACCGGACUCACCCAACCGCUAUGAGCAACAGGAUAGAUAAUACCUGCUUCCAGGAGCUUUAGUAUUUCUUUUCUCACUACUUCUUUAAUCUUAGGAUUUAAUCUCCUUUGAUGAUCAACAAUUGGUUUAGAAUCAGGAUCAGGUUUAAUCUUGUGCUGGCAUAGAGUGGGACUAAUGCCCUUAAGAUCAUCAAGAGUAUAUCCAAUAGCAGCACGGUGCUUCCUCAGAGUUUUUAGUAACUUCUUUUCUUCAUGCUCUCAGAGGCUAGCACUAAUAAUAACAGGAUAUAUCUCUUUUUCAUCAAGAUAAGCAUACUUAAGAGUAUCAGGCAACUGUUUAAGCUCAAACACAUGAUCACCCUUUGGUGGGGGUGGAUCCCCAAGCAGUUCAACAGGCAAGUUAUCCUUAAGCCUAGGAUAUUGUUCUAAGAAAACUCUAUCUAUCUCAUCCCUUUCAUCCAUAUGCAUAUCAUUUUCAUGCUCAAGCAAAUAUUGCUCUAAGGGAUCAGUAGGAGGUACAGCAAUAGAAGCUAAGGCAAUUGUUUCAUCCCUACUAGGCAACUCCUUUUCAUGAGGUUGUCUACCAAACUUAGAGAAAUUGAACUCAUGUGACACACCUUCAAAGCCAACAGUGAUAGUUUGCUUCUCACAAUCAAUAUGAGCAUUGACAGUAUUGAGAAAAGGUCUACCAAAUAUGAUGGGACAGAAGCUAUCUUGUGCAGUAGCAAGAACGAGGAAAUCAGCAGGAUACUUUGUUUUACCACACAAGACUUCAACGUCCCUAAAAAUUCCCACCGGGUAGAUAGUAUCUCUAUUGGCAAGCUGAAUAGUGACAUCAACAGGCUCUAUCUCAACAUGUGCAAUCUCAUCUUUGAUUUCAUCAUAUGAGGAUUGAGCUAUUGCACUAACACUAGCACCCAUGUCACAUAAACCAUGAUAACAAUGAUCUCCUAUCUUAACAGAAACAACAGGCAUGCCCACAACAGGCCUAUGUUUGUCUCUAGCGUGAGGUUUAGCAAUUCUAGCAGCAUCUUCACAGAAGUGAAUAUUAUGUCCCUCAACAUCGUCGGACAGAAGAUCUUUGAUAAUAGAAAUGCUAGGUUCAACUCUAAUUUGCUCAGGGGCUGUAGGUGUUCUAAUGUAGCCUCUACGUAUCACAGUUGAAGCUUUAGAAUGAUCCUUUAUCCUAACAGGGAAAGGUGGUUUCUCAAUGUAAGCACUGGGAACAACAGGAUCAUUAUAGGCAAUGCCUUUCUAUUCAACUGGAUUGGGUUUAACUACAUUGAAUUCUAAAGGAGGAUGAUAUUUAAACCACUUCUCUUUGGGGAGAUCAAUAUGAGCAGCAAAGGAUUCACACAAAGAAGCUACUAUCUCAGAGUCAAGUCCAUACUUAGCGCUAAAAUCACUAAAGGUAUUUGUCUCAACAAAGGAUUUAACGCAAUCAAACAUGAAAUUCAUACAUGACUCCUUACCUUCUUCAAGCUCCCAAUCUUCAGAGUUGCGUUUAAUUCUCUCCAAUAAAUUCCAUUUGAAGUCAACAUCUCUCUUCAUAAAAGAACCGGUACAAGAAGUGUCAAGCAUGGUGCGAUCAUCAUGAGAAAGCCGAGCAUAGAAGUUCUGAAUGAUAAUUUCUCUCGAGAGCUCAUGAUUGGGGCAUGAAUGUAGCAUUGAUUUAAGCCUCCCCCAAGCUUGAGCGAUGUUUUCUCUGUCAUGAGGCCAAAAGUUAUAAAUAUAAUUCUGAUCACGAUGUACUAAAUGCAUAGCAUAAAACUUUUGAUGAAAUUCCAAUUUCAACCGAGUGUAGUCCCAUGAUCCAGUAUCAGCACAUAGCCUAUACCAUGUCAACGCCUUAUCCUUCAAAGAUAAAGGAAAAACCUUCUUCUUGACCUCAUCCUCGGGCAAACUGCAAGCUUAAAUAAACAACAAACUUCAUCUACAUAGAUUAGAUACAAGUCUGGAUGUGAUGAUCCAUCUCCUGUAUAAGGAUUAGCCAGCAGUUUCUCAAGCAUACCCGAAGGAAAUUCAAAGCAAAUAUUUUCAGUAAGUGCAGCAUGUUGAGGAGCAACUCUUUGUGCUUCUGUUCGAGGUGAAGAUACCCUGAACAAGCCCCUCAAAGGAUUAGUAUCCAUAGUGACAAGUGACAAUAAAUUUCAGCACACUAUAUGAAUGUUUCCUUACCAAGUUCCACUUACCAAAGGCGCUUCACUCCCCGGCAACGGCGCCAGAAAAGAGUCUUGAUGACCCACAAGUAUAGGGGAUCAAUCGUAGUCCUUUCGAUAAGCAAGAGUGUCAAACCCAACGAGGAGCAGAAGGAUUUGACAAGUGGUUUUCAGCAAGCAAAUAUCUGCAAGCACUGAAAUUAUCGGUAACAAGUGAUUGUGUGGUGAGAUGAUUCGUAGCAAGCAACAAGUAACAAAAGUAGAAACGGUGCAGCAAAGUGGCCCAAUCCCUUUUGUAGCAAGGGACAAGCCUGGACAAAGUCUUAUAGGAGGAAAAACGCUCCCGAGGACACACGGGAAUUUCUAUCAUGCUAGUUUUCAUCAUGUUCAUAUGAUUCGCGUUCGUUACUUUGAUAGUUUGAUAUGUGGGUGGACCGGCACUUGGGUACUGACCUUACUUGGACAAUCAUCCCACUUAUGAUUAACCCCUCUCGCAAGCAUCCACAACUACGAAAGAAGAAUUAAGACAAAGUCUAACCAUAGCAUUAAACUAGUGGAUCCAAAUCAGCCCCUUACAAAGCAACGCAUAAACUAGGGUUUAAGCUUCUGUCACUCUAGCAACCCAUCAUCUACUUACUACUUCCCAAUGCCUUCCUCUAGGCCCAAAUAAUGGUGAAGUGUUAUGUAGUCGACGUUCACACAACACCACUAGGGGAAAAACAACAUACAACACAUCAAAAUAUCAAACGGAUACCAAAUUCACAUGACUACUAUUAGCAUGACUUAUCCCAUGUCCUCAGGAACCAAAGUAACUACUCACAAAGCAUAAUCAUAUUCAUGACCAUAGAGGUAAUGAGUAGCAUCAAGGAUCUGAACAUAAACUCUUCCAGCAAAUAAUCCAGCUAGCAUCAACUACAAAGAGUAAUUAACACUACUAGCAACCUUACAAGUACCAACCGGAGUCGCGAGACGGAGAUUGGUUACAAGUGAUGAACUAGGGUUUUGCGAUGAGAUGGUGCUGAUGAAGAUGUUGAUGGUGACGAGUCCCCUCCAAUGAGAGGAGUGUUGGUGAUGAUGAUGGCGAUGAUUUCCCCCUCCGGGAGGGAAGUUUCCCUGGUAGGAUCGUCCUGCCGGAGCUCUAGAUUGCUUCUGCUCAAGUUCCGCCUCGUGGCGGCGGCGAAUCCACGAAAAACUUCUCCCUGAUUUUUUUUCCAGACGAAACCCUUCAUAUAGCAUAAGAGGGGGGCCAGUGGGCCAGCAAGCUGCCCACAAGCCCCCUUGACGCGGCCUGGGGGGUGGCCGCGCCGUGCAGGCUUGUGGCCACCUGCUGGCACCCCUGUGGCACUUCUUCGGCCCAGUAUUUUUUAUAAAUCAGGAAAAAAAUCCUCGUUGAUUUUUACGGCGUUUGGAGUUGCGCAGAAUAGAUAUAUCAACUUUGCUCCUCUUUCAGGCCAGAAUUCCAGCUGCCGGCAUGCUCCCUCUUCAUGUAAACCUUGCAAAAUAAGAGAGAAAAGGCAUAAGUAUUGUACCGCGAAGUGAAAUAACAUCCGAAGAAGCGAUAAAUAUCAACAUGAAAACAUGAUGCAAAAUGGACGUAUCAAGCGUCAACUUUGUAUGCGUGUGGAUCAUGAAAAGAAUAUCCUUUGUGAUAGCAAUUUUGUUGAAUUUGAUUAUGAUCCCACAUGUAAUUUCUACGAGAGAGGAAAAUAUUGUGGUAGAAACUUUCAUGUUACCAAAUUACUGUUGGGGAACGUCGCAUGGGAAACAAAAAAUUUCCUACGCGCACGAAGACCUAUCAUGGUGAUGUCCAUCUAUGAGAGGGGAUUUCCGAUCUACGUACCCUUGUAGAUCACACAGCAGAAGCGUUAAGAAACGCGGUUGAUGUAGUGGAAUGUCCUCACGUCCCUCGAUCCGCCCCGCGAACCAUCCCACGAACCGUCCCGCGAUCCGUCCCACGAUCCGCUCCGAUCUAGUGCCGAACGGACGGCACCUCCGCGUUCAGCACACGUACAGCUCGACGAUGAUCUCGGCCUUCUUGAUCCAGCAAGAGAUACGGAGAGGUAGAUGAGUUCUCCGGCAGCGUGACGGCGCUCCGGAGGUUGGUGGUGAUCUAAUCUCAGCAGGGCUCCGCCCGAGCUCCGCAGAAACGCGAUCUAGAGGUAAAACCGUGGAGGUAUGUGGUCGGGCUGCCGUGGCAAAAGUUGUCUCAAAUCAGCCCUAAAACCCCACUAUAUAUAGGAGGGAGGGAGGGGAGGAGGCAGCCUCAAAACCUAAAGGUUUGGCCGAAAUUGGAGGUGGAGGAGUCCUACUCCAAUCAUACUUGGAGUAGGAUUCCACCUUCCCACUUGGAAACUCUUUCCACCUUGUGUUUUUUCCUUCUCAAACCUUAUGGGCCUUAGUGGGAACUUAUUCCAGCCCACUAGGGGAUGGUUUAUCUUUUCCCAUAGCCCAUGAGACCCCUUGGGGCGUGAUACCCCUCCUGAUGGUCCCCGGCACCCCUCCCGGCACUCCCAGUACACUACCGAUGAGCCAGAAACUUUUCCGGUAAUGCAUGAAAACCUUCCGGUAACCAAAUGAGGUCAUCCUAUAUAUCAAUCUUCGUUUCCGGACCAUUCCAGAAACCCUCGCGACGUCCGUGAUCUCAUCCAGGACUCCGAACAACAUUCGGUAACCAACCAUAUAACUCAAAUACGCAUAAAACAACAUCGAACCUUAAGUGUGCAGACCCUGCGGGUUCGAGAACUAUGUAGACAUGACCCGAGAGACUCCUCGGUCAAUAUCCAAUAGCGGGACCUGGAUGCCCAUAUUGGAUCCUACAUAUUCUACGAAGAUCUUAUCGUUUGAACCUCAGUGCCAAGGAGUCAUAUAAUCCCGUAUGUCAUUCCCUUUGUCCUUCGGUAUGUUACUUGCCUGAGAUUCGAUCGUCAGUAUCCGCAUACCUAUUUCAAUCUCGUUUAUCGUCAAGUAUCUUUACUCGUUCCGUAAUACAAGAUCCUGCAACUUACAUUAAGUCACAUUGCUUGCAAGGCUUGUGUGUGAUGUUGUAUUACCGAGUGGGCCCCGAGAUACCUCUCCGUCAUACGGAGUGACAAAUCCCAGUCUUGAUCCAUACUAACUCAACGAACACCUUCGGAGAUACCUGUAGAGCAUCUUUAUAGUCACCCAGUUACGUUGCGAUGUUUGAUACACACAAAGCAUUCCUCCGGUGUCAGUGAGUUAUAUGAUCUCAUGGUCAUAGGAACAAAUACUUGACACGCAGAAAACAGUAGCAACAAAAUGACACGAUCAACAUGCUACGUCUAUUAGUUUGGGUCUAGUCCAUCACAUGAUUCUCCUAAUGAUGUGAUCCCAUUAUCAAGUAACAACACUUGCCUAUGGCCAGGAAACCUUGACCAUCUUUGAUCAACGAGCUAGUCAACUAGAGGCUUACUAGGGACAGUGUUUUGUCUAUUAUCCACACAAGUAUUGUGUUUCCAAUCAAUACAAUUAUAGCAUGGAUAAUAAACGAUUAUCAUGAACAAAGAAAUAUAAUAAUAACUAAUUAUUAUUGCAUCUAGGGCAUAUUUCCAACAAUUACCUCUCGUUAUGUGGAGAUUGCUAUUGUCUCUUUCUUAUUCCUUGCAUAUGGCAACUAUUGGUUGUCUUGACAAUCCGUUUUCCUAUAAAAUGCCUAUGCAUAGGAAGUAUGUUAGACUUAGAUGUGAUUUUCACAUGCUUUAUGAUGCUCUCGUUGUGCUUCAAUUCUUGUCUUUUUUGUGAGCAUCAUUGAUUUAUCAAUGCCUAGCUAAGGGCGUUAAACAAUAGCCUUGUUGGUAGGCAACCCAAUGAAUUUAUCUUUUUUCUUUCUGUUUUGUUGCGUCCACACCAUCAUAAUUCUGUUGUGAUUGUCUUUUUUGUGUUUGAGCCAAGAAAAACCUUUAUGACUAGUCUUGCUAAUGGUUGUUUGAUCCUGCUGGAAAAAGGCAGAAACUUUUUGCUCACGAGAUGAUUUUUAUUUUUUACUUAGAAAGAGAUUUUGAGUUGAUUGUUUUUGCUGCUGGUUGAUAUGCCUUUUGCCCAGGCAGUCGUAAUUGUUCAGAAUUUUUGAGGUACCAGAAGUAUACGAAGUAUACAGAUUGCUACAGACUGGUCUGUUUUUGACAGAUUUUGUUUUUGUUGAGUUGGUUGCUUGUUUUGAUGAAACUAUGGUUAGUAUCGGGGGGUACUAGCCAUGGAAAAGUGAGAAUACAGUAGCCCAACACCAAUAUAUAUAGAAUUCAAGUUUGCUACAGUACCAACAGAGGUGGUAGUUUGUUUUCUUGUGCUAAUGAUAUCACGAGUUUCUGUUUAAGUUUUGUGUUGUGAAGUAUUCAAGUUUUGGGUGAUGUUCUCAUGGACAAAGAGAUAAGGAGUGGAAAGAGCUCAAGCUUGGGGAUGCCCAAGGCAUCCCAAGCCAAAUUCAAGGACACCAAAAAGCCUAAGCUUGGGGAAGCCCUGGCAAGGCAUGCCCUCUUUCGUCUUCAAUCCAUCGGUAACAUUACUUGGAGCUAUAUUUUUAUUCACCACAUGAUAUGUGUUUUGCUUGGAGCAUCGUGUAUCUUAGGAGUCUUUUCUUUAUGUUCUGUCAUAAUCAUCCUUGCUGCAUAGCUUUACAGAGAGACAUGCACUCAUCGUGAUUUUGCUAGAAUGCUCAUAGUGCUUCACUUAUAUCUUUUGAGCUAGAUAAUUUUGCUCUAUGUGCUUCACUUAGAUCUUUUAGAGCAUGGCAAUGCGUGACUUGGUAGUUGGCUUAUGCUAUGAAAGUAGUCCCAAAGGUGAUAGGUACCCAAAGAGGAUACAAAAACCUCCAUGUUCAUGUGCAUUGAGUAGAAAGAGAAUUUUUGAUUCCUCUCAGUUAGUUUUGAGACGUGGAUUUGGUAAUAUUAAGAGUGAUGUUAGUAAGGUGUUGUGAAUCUACAAAUACUUGUGUUGAAGUUAGUGAUUCCCGUAGCAUGCACAUAUGGUGAACCGCUAUGUUAGGAAGUCGGAGCAUAGUUGAUCUACUGAUUGUCAUCCUUUGUGUUGAGGUCGGGAUCGCGCGAUGGUUAACACCUACCAACCCUUCCCCUAGGAGUAUGCGUUUAGCACUUUGUUUCGAUUACUAAUAAAAACUUUCGCAACAAGUAUGUGAGUUCUUCAUGACUAAUGAGUCCAUGGUAUAGAUGCACUUUCACCUUCCAGCAUUGCUAGCCUCUCUAGUGCCGUGCAAUUCUCGCCGGUACACAAACCCACCAAAUGCCUCCCUCAAAACAGCCACCAUAUCUACCUACUAUGGCAUUUUCUUAGCCAUUCCGAGAUAUAUUGCCAUGCAACUCAUGACUUGUGACAUCACUCUCAUAUUGCCAUUGCAUGAUCGUAAGAUAGCUAGUGAGAUGUUUCAACGUCAUACGCCAAGCUAGAUCGUUGCACAUCCCGGUACACUGCCGGAGGCAUUUCCUAUAGAGUCAUUUCUAAGCUUUAGGCUGUGAGUAAAUAAAAGUGUGAUGAUCAUCAUUAUUAGAGCAUUGUCCCAUGUGAGGAAUCAAAAAAUAGUCCAAAGUGCCCAAUAAAAAAAGAGAGACAAGAAAAAAGAGGCCCAAGAGGCCAAAUAAAAAAAAGAGAGAAAAAGAGAGAAGGGACAAUGCUACUAUCUUUUUCCACACUUGUGCUUCAUAAUAGCACCAUGUUCUUCAUGAUUGAGAGCUUCUUGCUUUGUCACCACCAUAUGCUAGUGGGAAUCUUCAUUAUAUAACUUGGCUUGUAUAUUCCAAUGAUGGGCUUCCUCAAAAUUGCCCUAGGUCUUCGUGAGCAAGCAAGUUGGAUGCACACCCACUAGUUCUACUUUUGAGCUUUCACAUACUUAUAGCUCUAGUGUAUCCUUUGUAUGGCAAUCCCUACUCAUUCACAUUGAUAUUUAUUAAUGGGCAUCUCCAUAGCCCUUUGAUACACCAAGUCAAUGUGACCAUCUCCUCCUAUUUAUCUCACAACCACCACCACACUCUAUUCCACUUUUAGUGCUAUAUCCAUGGCCCAAGCUCAUGUAUUGCGUGAUAGUUAUAAAAAGUUUGAGAAACUAAGAGUGUGAAAACAAUUACUUGGCCAAUACCGGGGUUGUGCAUGAUUUACAUUCGUUGUGUGAGGAUGAUGGAGCAUAGCCAGACUAUAUGAUUUUGUAGGGAUAACUUUCAUUGGCCUUGUUAUUUUGAAAGUUCAUGAUUACCUUGCUAGUUUGCUUGAAGUAUUAUUGUUUUCAUGUCAAUAGCAAACUAUUGUUUUGAAUCUUACGGAUCUGAACAUUCAUGUCACGUGAAAGAAGUUGCAAAGGAAAACUAUGCUAGGUAGCAUUCCACAUCAAAAAUUCAUUCUUUAUCACUUCCCUACUCGAGGACGAGCAGGAGUUAAGCUUGGGGAUGCUUGACACGUCUCCAACGUAUCUAUAAUGUUUUAUGGUUUCAUGCUAUUGUCUUGUCAAACUUUGGAUGUUUUGCAUGCCUUUUAUAUAUUUUUUGGGACUAACUUAUUAACUCGGUGCCAAGUGCCAGUUCCUGUUUUUUCCAUGUUUUUGACCCCUUUCAGAGGAGGAUUUUGAACGGAGUCCAAACGGAAUGAAACUGCCAAAAAGAUUUUUUCCGAAACAGAAAAAGACCGGGAAACCGGAGAAUCACGGCACGGGCCCUGCAGGGACCCCACAAGCCCUCAUGGCGCGGCCAGGGGGGCCGCGCCUCCCUGGCUUGUGGGCUCCCUGGGCCACCUCUGCCCUAGGUUUUGCGCCUAUAUAUUCCCUAAAAUCCCAGAAAAAAUCAGGAGAUCAUCGAAAGUACUUUUCCGCCGCCGCAAGCUUCUGUCUCUGCAAGAUCCCAUUUGGGGCACGUUCUGGUGCCCUGCCGGAGGGGGGAUUCAGAUACAGAGGGCUUCUUCAUCAACACCAUGACCUCUCCAAUGAUGCAUGAGUAGUUCACCAUAGACCUACGAGUCCAUAUCUAGUAGCUAGAUGUCUUGUUCUCUCUCUUGGUCUUCAAUACAAAGUUCUCCAUGAUCUUCAUGGAGAUCCUCUCCCNNNNNNNNNNNNNNNNNNNNNNNNNNNNNNNNNNNNNNNNNNNNNNNNNNNNNNNNNNNNNNNNNNNNNNNNNNNNNNNNNNNNNNNNNNNNNNNNNNNNUAUCAAUCUUCGUUUCCAGACCAUUCCGGAAACCCUCGUGACGUCCGUGAUCUCAUCCGGGACUCCGAACAACAUUCGGUAACCAACCGUAUAACUCAAAUACGCAUAAAACAACGUCGAACCUUAAGUGUGCAGACCCUGCGGGUUCGAGAACUAUGUAGACAUGACCCGAGAGACUCCUCGGUCAAUAUCCAAUAGCGGGACCUGGAUGCCCAUAUUGGAUCCUACAUAUUCUACGAAGAUCUUAUCGUUUGAACCUCAGUGCCAAGGAUUCAUAUAAUCCCGUAUGUCAUUCCCUUUGUCCUUCGGUAUGUUACUUGCCCGAGAUUCGAUCGUCAGUAUCCGCAUACCUAUUUCAAUCUCGUUUACCGGCAAGUCUCUUUACUCGUUCCGUAAUACAAGAUCCCGCAACUUACACUAAGUUACACUGCUUGCAAGGCUUGUGUGUGAUGUUGUAUUACCGAGUGGGCCCCGAGAUACCUCUCCGUCACACGGAGUGACAAAUCCCAGUCUUGAUCCAUACUAACUCAACUAACACCUUCGGAGAUACCUGUAGAGCAUCUUUAUAGUCACCCAGUUACGUUGCGACGUUUGAUACACACAAGGCAUUCCUCCGGUGUCAGUGAGUUAUAUGAUCUCAUGGUCAUAGGAAUAAAUACUUGACACGCAGNNNNNNNNNNNNNNNNNNNNNNNNNNNNNNNNNNNNNNNNNNNNNNNNNNNNNNNNNNNNNNNNNNNNNNNNNNNNNNNNNNNNNNNNNNNNNNNNNNNNNNNNNNNNNNAGCUAAGGAAGAUACUGCAGAAGAAGCUGGGGAUGCUGAGUGUUUCAGGAGUUGGAUGGAUGAGAAAAACCCCCUCGCAAACCCCCUAGUUUAUAGGGUGGGGCGCGGGAGCUAGCUCUCCUCACUCCAGAAACCGCCGCUCCUCUCGCCCAAUCACCCCUGAUCAUGGGCGAACAGGGAGUCGCCCUGCUGCACCAAUGCAUGCGGGGGUAGGCCCUGCCACGACUACGACCUUUAAGGCCACGAUCGCCACUUGCUUGACCGUUACUGCACAUUCCUCGCGUGUGGCAGUAAUGCUCCGAGAGGUGGGACGGCCACUUUGCGCACGCCUCUCCACCUCACGCGCUCAAUGCACGACGUGGGGAAAGGCCACUUGCAACGGCUCCAAGCUGCCAAGCACCCUAUCACAGAAGCCCGUGCACCACUUUGGGCCUGGCCAAACGAUGCCUCGCGCGCGUGUGUGGCCCAGGCCCGGGGGUUCCUGCCGUGCACUGAAGACUCAGGUCUCCUGUGCCCCAGACUUGUGCAUCGGCACCAGCAACACACUUCGUGGCAAUACACGAAGAAGGACCUACGGGAAGAUAACCCAGGCUCGCCAAGGCCACACCCUACCGAAGGUGUGAAGAGCCAGCCCAGGCUACAAGGCCCCGGCAAGCCCUCCUUGCCGAGAAGAUCCACAAGGCCCCGGCAAGCCCUCCUCGCCGGGAAGACUCGCAGACCCCGGAAAGCCCUCCUUGCCGGGAAGAUGUCCAAGGCCAUGGCAAGCCCUCCUCGCCGGGAAGACGGGUUAGGCCGCCGACAAAGACGCCAUGCCGGCAGGCUCCCUUCGCCCGCCAGGUGUCCCUCCUGUCACAGUGCCGCCGAUUGCCACCGCUCCAGCGCAUCCCUCAUGCGCCAGCACAAAUCCCAGGUGUCAAUANNNNNNNNNNNNNNNNNNNNNNNNNNNNNNNNNNNNNNNNNNNNNNNNNNNNNNNNNNNNNNNNNNNNNNNNNNNNNNNNNNNNNNNNNNNNNNNNNNNNCUCCAAGAUCCCAUCUGGGGCACGUUCUGGUGCCCUGCCGGAGGGGGGAUUCGGAUACGGAAGGCUUCUUCAUCAACACAAUGACCUCUCCGAUGAUGCGUGAGUAGUUCACCAUAGACCUACGGCUCCAUAGCUAGUAAGUAUAUGGCUUCUUCUCUCUCUUGGAUCUUCAAUACAAAGUUCUCCCUGAUCUUCAUGGAGAUCUAUCCGAUGUAAUCUUCUUUUGCGGUGUGUUUGUCGAGAUCCGAUGAAUUGUGGAUUUAUGAUCAGAUUAUCUCUGAAUCUUAUUUGAGUUUCUUCUGAUCUCUCUUAUGCAGGAUUUCAUAUCAUUGUAAUUCUCUUCGAGUUGUGGGUUUUGUUUCGCCAACUAGAUCUAUGAUUCUUGCAAUGGGAGAAUUGCUUGGUUUUGGGUUCAUACCGUGCGGUGACCUCACCCAGUGACAGAAGGUGUAGCGAGGCACGCAUCAUGUUGUUGCCAUCAAGGGUAAAAAGAUGGGGUUUUCAUCAUUGGUUUGAGAUUAUCCCUCUACAUCAUGUCAUCUUGCUUAAGAAGUUACUCUGUUCGUCAUGAACUCAAUACACUAGAUGCANNNNNNNNNNNNNNNNNNNNNNNNNNNNNNNNNNNNNNNNNNNNNNNNNNNNNNNNNNNNNNNNNNNNNNNNNNNNNNNNNNNNNNNNNNNNNNNNNNNNACUCAUACAACCUCGCCGCAGCUAGGACUCUGCCCAUCUCAUUCGUACCCCACACAUCUACUGUCAGGCUUAUACCCACGACAUUUAUCAUGUAUCAGUUAUAACAUGGGAUGAUUUGUAACUAGCUCCAGUUCGUCAAUGUAAUGUAGGCAUGUAUUCCGUAUAUACUCAUACAUGCUUAUGGAAAAGAACUUGCAUGACAUCUAUUGUCCAUCCCUCCUGUGGCAGCGGGGUCCUAACGGAAACUAAGGGAUAUUAAGGUCUCCUUUUAAUAGAGAACCGGAACAAAGCAUUAUCACUUAGUGAAUACAUGAACUCCUCAUACUAUGGUCAUCUCAGGGAGUGGUUCCGGCUAUUGUCACUCCGGGGUUGCCAGGUCAUAGCACAUAGUAGGUGACUACAACAUGCAAGAUAGGAUCAAGAACACCCAUAUAUUGAUGAAAACAUAAUAGGUUCAGAUCUGAAAUCAUGGCACUCGGGCCCUAGUGACAAGCAUUAAGCAUAGCAAAGUAGUAGCAACAUCAAUAUCAGAACAUAGUGGAUACUAGGGAUCAAACCCCAUCAAAACUAACUCGAUUACAUGAUAGAUCUCAUCCAACCCAUCACCGUCCAGCAAGCCUACGAUGAGAUUACUCACGAACGGUGAAGAGCAUCAUGGAAUUGGCGAUGAAGGAUGGUUGAUGAUGACGACGACGUCAAUCUCCCCUCUGCGGAGCCGAGAACGGACUCUAGAUCUGCCCUCCGGAGGAAGAACAGGUGGUGGCGGCGGCUCCGUGUCGUGAAACGCGAUGAACUCUCCUCUCUUAAUUUUUUCUAGGCGAGAGAGACUAUAUAGAGCUGGAGUUGGAGGCGGCGGAGCCACGAGGUCCUCACAAGCGUGCCAGGCGCGGUCACGGGGGNNNNNNNNNNNNNNNNNNNNNNNNNNNNNNNNNNNNNNNNNNNNNNNNNNNNNNNNNNNNNNNNNNNNNNNNNNNNNNNNNNNNNNNNNNNNNNNNNNNNGUCUCGGACGUGAUGCCUAUAUGUAUGAUCAUUGCCUUAGAUAUCGUCUUGACUUUGCGUGGUUCUAUCAAUUCCUCGACAGUAAUUUGUUCACCCACCGUAAUAUUUGCUAUUUUGAGAGAAGCCUCUAGUGAACACUAUGGCCCUCGGGUCUACUUCACACCAUAUUUUCAGCCUUACACUUUUACUUCGUUGCACUUUCCGCCUUCAGAUCUCACUUUGCAAUCAAUCUUGAAGGGAUUGACAACCCCUUUAUAGCGUUGGNNNNNNNNNNUUUGUCUCGGACGUGAUGCCUAUAUGUAUGAUCAUUGCCUUAGAUAUCAUCAUGACUUUGCGCGGUUCUAUCAAUUGCUCGACAGUAAUUAGUUCACCCACCGUAAUAUUUGCUAUUUUGAGAGAAGCCUCUAGUGAACACUAUGGCCCCUGGGUCUACUUCACACCAUAUUUUCAGCCUGACACUUUUACUUUGUUGCACUUUCCACCUUCAGAUCUGACUUUGCAAUCAAUCUUGAAGGGAUUGACAACCCCUUUAUAGCGUUGGGUGCAAGCUCUUUUGUGUUUGCGCAGGUACUCUGGACUUGACGAGAUUCUCAUACUGGGUUGAUACCUUGGUUCUCAAACUGAGGGAAAUACUUACUGCUCCUGUGCUGCAUCACCCUUUCCUCUUCAAGGGAAAAACCAACGCAAGCCAAGUCUCCGUCAGCGUGCCAAUUUCUGGCACUGUUGUUUGAGAAGUAGCACCGAGUCACCGACACUAUACAGUAGGGCAUGACAAUAACUGGUUAGCGUUAGCGAGCGAUCUCAGAUGCUUAGGAAAUCAUAGACGCCGAACGAGCCCAGCAAGAAGAAAACUUAGGUCCAACAUACGUUCAGCCUGCGGGACAUGCCCAACUGAGCACUGCCGAGCAAGCCUCAUGGAGUGUCAGAUUAUCCAGCAGAACUAUUGGUACCCCUUGUCUACGAUCGACUCUACGCAACAAGCGCAUGCCUCCCAAUUUCAAGGGCCCUCACAAAGUCCCCAAUUAUACAACCAAUUUGGAACCAGACAAGUGGAUUGAGAGCUAUAAGUUAGCUAUGCAUAUGUUGGAAGUUAGCGAUGCAACCCAUGCGAGGUACCUAACUAUGAUGCUAGAAGGACCAUCACACACUUUGAUGAAAAAUCUGCCCGCUAAUUCAAUUGACACUUGGGAUGAACUAAAGGAGCGCUUCAGUAAGAAUUUCCAAGGAACCUUCAAGCGCCCUAUAAAGAUCCUUGACCUCGAUCACUGCAUCCAACACAACGAUGAGUCUACACAUCAUUUGUAACAUCCCAAAAUUAUAAAUUUUGGAAUGUUAAUAUAAUUAUUAGAUUGAUUGUUNNNNNNNNNNNNNNNNNNNNNNNNNNNNNNNNNNNNNNNNNNNNNNNNNNNNNNNNNNNNNNNNNNNNNNNNNNNNNNNNNNNNNNNNNNNNNNNNNNNNUAGGAUUGUAAGUGGACAGCUUACUGGGCAUUGUGGGACUGACCCACACUAACCACCAUUCCUUACACGGGAUUAUGCGGAAGUCCACUUAUUUUUAAGUGGUUAACGCGACGUCCACAUAUUACCAUUUAUACAGCGGUUCAUGUAUUUACUUAACACACCAGUUCAUCUAUUACAUGUAAAAACCAUCAAUUCAUCCACUAAAUAAAAUCAACGGGGUCAAAACUGAAGCCUCACACCGUCGUGCGCAUACAGAUGCACAGCUUCAAAGAUUUAGAGACAACACACACAGAGGUGAGCUUGAAACAUUCAUGGACAACGCAUACAAAAGCGGGCUUCAAGGAUCCGGUUCCUUUCAGCUCGUUCGGUGCGUGUGUGGGUGUGCGAGAGACAGAGUAGCCUGCCUGCCAUGGGCAAGAAGAAGAGCGGUGGCAGCGGCGGCGCAGAGAAGGUGGUGGAGGUGGCGGCGAGGCCGAGGGAGUUUGCGCUAAAGGUGGCGAUGCACUGCCAGUGCCACGGGUGCACGGACAGGGUGCGUUCGAUGGUGCGGGACCUCACGCUGGCGCCGGGGGUGGAGGCGGUGGACCAGUCGGCGGCCAAGGCCACCGGUGAGGCGCGGGUGCUAGCGACGUCCGACCCCGAGCGGCUCCGCAAGGGCCUCCGCAAGGCCACCAGGAAGAAGGUGGACCUCGUCUUCCCGCCCGCCAAGGAGCACAAGAAUGAGGAGAGGGAGCACGCCCGGGCCGUCGAAGCCGACGCGGUCCAGGCCCUGUUCGCCGACCUGCAGCUACACCACCAGUACGGAGGCCAGACGGGCGCGUCAGUAUGGCGUGCAGGGCGCGGCCGCGUGGGCGACGAGCGAGCAGCACCAGCACCAACUGCUCGGCCUCGGUGGCGGUGGCGGCNNNNNNNNNNNNNNNNNNNNNNNNNNNNNNNNNNNNNNNNNNNNNNNNNNNNNNNNNNNNNNNNNNNNNNNNNNNNNNNNNNNNNNNNNNNNNNNNNNNNNNNNNNNNNACCCGCGGCAGCCCUCCUCUGCGACGUCUUACUACUCCGGCGCGCCCGCCGGUGCUGCUGUUUGGGGCACGUACAAUGGGUACAGGAGAGGGGAGAGGCUGAUUAGCGGGAGGAAAAGCAGAGAACAUGCACCAUGAAAUCGCUUCCAAAAACCUCCCCCACCACCCCAGCUCCGCCUGCCGUCAAAACCUACGUCGCCGCCGCCGAAGUUGAAGAAAGUAUCGACGGGAUUGAAGAGAUAGUAGAGGAGGCGCCCGCAAGGCUCGACUUGGUCCCCAACGCUUCCCGACGACGGCCUCUUCCGGAAACAUGGCAGCGGCGGUGCCAUGAAACAAAGGGAGAACUAGAAUGAGGGAGGUGGUCCUGGCAGAGACAGCGGCGACGACGCGUGGCAUAGCGAUCAUGGUGCGUGGAAGGUCGUGGGCAUCGAGUCUUUGUGGUCAUGCCGCUGGCUUCAUGGCUUUUUCUGGGCUAUCCAUUUAUGUCAUUUAAAUUUCCUGGAUAUCCAUCAAAACCGUUUGAUUUAUUUUUGAUGGAUGGCAUAUAUGGGACUAGUGAGUCCUAUCGCCAUUUACAUCCUAGCCCACCACCAAUCAAUCACACUCCACGGCUAGCCGAAUCCUCGGGUACCGUCCAUACCAACAUCAAUCCUGGGGGAGUUUUGUUUGCAAUUAUCUUUUCGAUUUGAGUAUGGAACUGGGAAUUCCAAUUAUCGGCCCCUUUCUCAUGAAUGAUAGUGAAUAAACACAUAUCGAGGAUAACACGCCUAGCAUGGAAGAUACCAAUAGCCCCCUGUCACCACAUGAGCGGUUCAGGCAUGCAAAACAGAUUAUUUCUUGAAGGUUUAGAGAGUGGCACAUGCAAAUUUACUUGGAACGGCAGGUAGGUACCGCAAAUAGGUAGGUAUGGUGGACUCAUAUGGAACAACUUUGGGUUUAUGGAAGUGGAUGCACAAGCAGUAUUCCCGCUUAGUACAAGUGAAGGCUAGCAAAAGACUGGGAAGCGACCAACUAGAGAGCGACAAUAGUCAUCAAAAUGCAUUGAGAUUAACUAACAUUGAGUGCAAGCAUGAGUAGGACCUAAAUCACCAUGAACAUGAACUAUGUUGAUUUUGUUUCAACUACAUGCGUGAACAUGCGCUAAGUCAAACCACUUGAAACAUUCAAAGGAGGAUACCAUCCUAUCAUACUACAUCAUAGUCAUCUCAAAAUUCAUGUUGGCAACCAAGACAAACCAUUAUAAGCUCCUAGCUAAGGAAGCAUGGCAUAAGCAACUAUGAUCUCUAAGUUGUCAUUGCAAACAUGUUUCUCUCACAACAAAGACGAAUCAGGCAUGAUGAGCUAGUCACAAUUAUAAAAACAAAACAGAUCGAGUUCAUACCAGCUUUUCCAGGCUCAGUCACUUCAUCAUAGAUCGUCAUUAUUGCCUUUCACUUGCACGACCAAACAAUUGUGAACAAUAAUAAGCGUGCUCGUGCAUUGGACUAAAGCUGGAAUCUGCAGGCAAACACAAAGGAGAAGACAAAGUAAUUUUGCUCUUUGACAGCUAAACAGGUAUGCAUGCGAGAGCCACUAAACAUUGUAACCAUUAUCUUCUACCUUGACCCAAAGAAAAAGAAAACUAUUUACACGGGAAAGCUCCCAACAAGCAAAAGAAGAAAAAGAAAAUAUUUUUGGGUUUUCUCAAACUAGACACACACACGAAAAGAAAACGAGAAAAAUAAAAUAAACUAGCAUGGAUGAUACAGUGGCAAAGUGUGAACACUGGCUAACAAAGUGAAAGCAUAAGCAAGAAUGUAAAGUCGGUGAGAACACGUACUCCCCCAAGCUUAGGCUCUUGGCCUAAGUUGGUCUACUCCCAAGGAGGGAAAUAACCAGCUCCGGGGUACUUCGGAGUGGACUGAGGAUGCCACUGCUGUGUGAGCUCCUGUGGCUCCCACUGAUAAACUGGCGUCUUGUACUCGACUGGUGGCUCGGGCACGGGCACCUGUGGUGGGCUAAGCCCCAAUGUGCGUAGAUGUCCGAGGGCAUAAUAAUGUACCUGCCUGCAUGAAGAUUGAACAAAGAAGGAGCAGGCAAAUUAAUAGUCUCAGGAGUACCCUGACUAAACACCAUGUUAUAAAUCAUCCUUCUACUUAUAUCUCAAUCAAGAAAGUCAUGGCGAACCAUGCCAUCAUAAUCUAGAUAUCUCUCGGGAAGAAGAACCUCUUCUUCCUCCUCCAGUCUAAUGGGUAUCUCAAAGUGUCUGGCAAGAUGGGUAGCAUAGAUAGCUCCAUAGACAACACCUUUAGAACAGUUCAGGUUCAACCGUUGAGCUACUAUAGCGCUCAAGCUGUAAGUUUUAUCGUUAUAAAUGGCUUCGCGCAAGACCGCAAGAUCUGGGGAACUAAGUGACCCAGCUUUCCCACGGCCAAUCAAACAUUUUCCCACAAAUAAUGAGAAGUAUCAAAGCAUGGGAAAAUGAAUGCUAGCAGCUCUAGCGCAAGACACUCCUCUCUCCUCUCCUACAACAAUUGUACCGAUGAAAGCUUCCAAGUCCCGUGGACGAGGUUCAUGAAUAUCCCCAACGUAAGGUAAUUUACAAACAUUGCAAAAAUCUUGGAGUGACAUGCGCUGGGGGAUAUCAUAAAGUUUGAACUCAACCAUAGGAGGAUUCUUCUUCGGAUAGAAGUUAAAGCUUUGUACGAAGAUAUUAGUGAGGAGGAGGUAUUGCAGGCACUUAUCUUCAACGAAGGCGGUAAGGCCUGCAUUCUCCACCAAGUGAUAAAAUUCCUCAUAAAUUCCAGCGGCGCGUAAGAACACAUCGCUUGGCCACUCGCAUGCUCGAACUUAUGCGACUCGAGGGACCGGAUACUUGGGCUUCUUCUCACUCCCAUCAUCCUUGGGGUCACGGCUUGACGAGCCUCUUAAGAACCUCCUCAUCUUUUCCUUUUUCUAUCUCUGAAAAUUUCUGAAAUUUUUAGUUAUUCUAAGGAAAAGUGAAUAAGGCUCAACUAAACUCGUAGCAACUAUUCCAACAAGUGCCUCGAGGCCAUAUUACGCAUCAAAACUACUUGGGACCAGCUAAAAUCAGCAUGCAAAGCUCAAGAACAUGGUCACCAAGGCAGCAAAAAUACGCGGAGUAUAAGGCACUAGAGCAAAAACUAAUUGGACCAAUGGAGGAGUCACUUACCAAGGAGUAAUUUCCCCAAAAUAGUUCACAGAAUGGUGAUUUGAGCCAAGAGAUCAAAAAUCCCAGCAAGAGGAGCAAGAACAUGAGUUUGAGCUGCGAAACGAUUUUUUUUGGAGGUAGGAGAACCAUAUGAGAGCAAGAAUGAGUGGAGGGGGUGCCUGUGGGCCCCACAAGCCUGGGUGGCGCAGCCAGGGGGGUGCCUGUGCCCCAAGGGCUUGUGGCCCACUGGUGAAGCCCCCAGACAAGCUCUUCGUCUCAGAAUUUUUGAAAAAUUCCAGAAAAAAUCAUACUUGAUUUUGAGGACGUUCGGAGAACUUUUAUUUUCGGGGUACUUUUCUACCGGACGCUAAAAUAGAAAACAGGGAAAACUAAACUAAACCUAUCAUUUUUGUUCUAAGCAACCUAAAGUGAAAUCUUGGAAUAGAGGUUUGUGACUCCUCGAUUCAUCCAUCUCAUGGUCAUCGAAAGAAAAUCCGUCAAUGAGGUUGAUCAAGUCUCUUCGACAAACCUUUUCGAAUCGCAAAAGAGAAUGGAGAAUUUUCGAAUAGUUACUAGGUCACCUCAAUGGGGAUGUGAAUCUCCCCAACAAGCAAAUAAUACUUCAUCUUGACACGAGGAAUAGGGCAUUCAAAGCUCCCAAUAAGAAUCGAUGAAGUUUUUUCGAUAGCAUUGAUGCAAUGUACUCGAUAUUGUUUCUUCGGAAAGUGCACCGUAUGCUCAUUACUGUUGACAUGGAAAGUGACAUUGCCUUUGUUGCAAUCUAUAACAGCCCCUGCAGUAUUUAAAAAGGGUCUUCCGAGGAUGAUAGCCAUGGCAUCAUCCUCAGGAAUAUCCAAGAUAACAAAGUCUGUUAAGAUGGUGACGUUUGCAACCACAACAGGCACAUCCUCGCAAAUGCCGAUAGGGAAAGCAGUUGAUUUGUCGGCCAUUUGCAGAGAGAUUUCAGUGGGUGUCAACUUAUCCAGUUCAAGUCUACGAUAAAGAGAGAGGGGCAUAACACUAACACCGGCUCCAAGGUCGGAUAAAGCAAUUCUGAUGUAGAUACCUUAAAUGGAGCAAGGUAUAGUGGGCACUCCGGGAUCACCUAGUUUCUUAGGNNNNNNNNNNUCCACCCUUGAUGGUAUAGCUAGCAAGCAUGGUGGAAAUCUCAACCUCAGGUAUCCUCCUCUUAUUAGUCACAAUAUCUUUCAUGUACUUAGCAUACAGAGACAUUUUGAGCAUAUCUGUCAAACGCAUUUGCAGAAAGAUAGGUCUGAUCAUUUCAACGAAUCGCUCAAAAUCCUCAUCAUCCUUUUUCUUGGAUGGUUUGGGAGGAAAGGGCAUGGGUUUUUGAACCCAUGGUUCCCUUUCUUUACCAUGCUUCCUAGCAGCGAAGUCAUUCUUAUCGUAUCUCUUAUUCUUAGGUUGUGGGUUACCAAGAUCAACAGGUUCAAUCUCCACAUCCUUAUCAUUGCUAGAUUGAGCAUCUUCAUGAACAUCACUAUUGAUAUUAUCAUCAGGCUCAUGUUCAUCACGAGAUUGUGUUUCAACAUCAGAAACAGAUGCAUCGUUUGGACUCUCAGGGGUAGCAGGGUUGCUAGCAUGUAGGUUCCUAUCAUCUUUCUUCUUCUUUCUAGGAUGACUAGGUGAAUGAGUGCUAACUCCUUGAGAAUCUUGUUCAAUUCUCUUUGGAUGACCCUCAGGAUACAAAGGUUCCUGGGUCAUUCUACCGCCUCUAGUAACGACUCUAACGGAAUUGUCAUUCAACUCAUUGAGCAAGUCAUUCUGAGCUUUAAGUACUUGUUCUACGUGAGUAGUAACCAUAGAUGCAUGUUUACUCAGAAGCUUAAGAUCGUUGACGUUUCUGUCCACACAAGCACUUAAAUGACUAAGCAUACGAGCAUUCUGUUCCAAUUGUCUGCUAACAUAAUCAUUGAAACUCUGUUGUUUUGCAACAAGGUUAUAAAAAUCAUCCAUGCAUAAGCUAGCAGGUUUAUCAAAAGGAAUAUCACUCUCAUCAAACCUACACAGAGAAUUUACUUCUACUACCUAUAUCGGGUUAUGGAGACCAUGGAUCUCUUUCUCUCGCAUAGAUUUCUUGGCUUCUUGCAUAUCUUCAGGACUGAGGAAUAGAAUACCUCUUUUCUUCGGAGUUGGCUUAGGAUGUGGUUCAGGAAUAGUCCAAGCAUUCUCAUUGCACAAGAUGUUAUUCAAUAGAAUCUCAGCUUGUUCUACAGUUCGUUCCCUAAAAAUACUACCGGCACAACUAUCUAGGUGGUCUUUGGAAGCAUCGUAAGUCCAUCAUAGAAGAUAUCAAGUAUUUCAUUCUUCUCAAGAGGGUGAUCAGGCAAAGCAUUCAGUAGCUGGAUGAGCCUCCCCAAGCUUGUGGGAGGCUCUCUUCUUCACCUUGAGCAAAGUUGGAUAUUUCCCGCAAGGCAUCUUGCUUCUUAUGGGCAGGGUAAUAUCUUUCAUAGAAGUAGUAGACCAUAUCCUGGGGGCUACGCACACAACCAGGAGCAAGAGAAGUGCACCAGGUCUUAGCAUCAUCCUUUAGCGAGAAAGGAAACAGCUUGAGCAUGUAGUAGUGGCAGAUCUUUUCCUCACUAGUAAAUAGGGUGGCUAUAUUGUGCAGUUUGGUAAGAUGGGCUACAACCGUUUCAGACUCAUAACCAUGAAAAGGAUCAGAUUCGACCAGGGUGAUCAACUCAGGGUCGACAGAGAAUUCAUAAUCCUUAUCGGUCACAAAGAUAGGCGAAGUAGCAAACUUCGGGUCGUAUUUCAUCCUAGCGUUCAGAGAUUUUUCUUUCGAGUUGCGCAGUAGUUUCUCAACAUCAUAGCUAUCCUUACACGCAAGAAAAUCCUCAGCUAUCUCUCCCUCCAUAACAUAGCGCGUAUCAGGCAUAACAGGCAAUUCAGGCAUAGUAGCAGGUUCUACUUCGAUAGUAUCAGCAAUUGCAGAAGUAUCAUCACGUCUAGCAGCAACUCUAGCAAUUUGUGCAUCAAGGGAACCUAGUGGCAUAGCAGUAUCAGGCAUAGCAUCAUUAGGCAUAGCAUCAAGCAUAGCAUCCUUAGGCAUAGUAUCAAGCAUAGCAUCAAGCAUAGCAUCAUCAAGCACAGGCGACAUAUCAAGAUUUCUAGCAGGAGGCGAAGUCGCAAACUUACUCAAAACUGAAGGUGAAUCAAGUGCAAAGCCAGAUGGCAGUUCCUUACCUCUCGUCGUAGUGGAAGGCAAUAUUUUAGUUCUUGGAUCUUUCGGAUUCCUCAUAGUGACCAUCAGAUGAAAAUCCCAAGUGACUCAGAGAAUAUAGUCGUGCUUCCCCGGCAACGGCGCCAGAAAAAGGUCUUGAUAACCCACAAGUGUAGGGGAUCGCAACAGUUUUCGAGGGUAGAGUAUUCGACCCAAAUUUAUUGAUUUUCUCGGAAGGGGAAGCUAAAGAAUAUUCUCAAGUAUUAGCAGCUGAGUUUAUCAGAUUCAACCACACCUGAAAGAUUAGUGUCUGGAAGCAAAGUAUCAGUAGCAAAGUAGUAUGAUAGCAACUGUGCCAGAAAUAGAUCUGUUGACGGCAAACUAUUCCUAACUUGUUGUAUCAAUGGCGCUAGUAAGUUGCACGUGGACGGGGAACUAUUCUUCCCCAUCAACAGUGACGAAAAAGGAUCUUGCAACAAUUAACAACGAAGUAGCAAGGAACAUCAGUAGCAACAACAACAGAGUAACAACAGUAGCAACAGUAGUAGCAAAGUGGCCCAAUCCCUUUUGUAGCAAGGGAUAAGCCUAGACAAAGUAACGUAGCAAGGACCAGUAGUAAAAGACUCGUAGGUAGUGGAUCGGUGAUGGAUGAGUAUGACAUAUGUGAUUCAUCAUGUAACAGCUAUAACACGGAGAGAUAAGUAACUAGCUCCCGUUCAUCAAUCUAAUGUAGGCAUGUAUUCCGUAUGUAGUCAUACGUGCUUAGGNNNNNNNNNNNNNNNNNNNNNNNNNNNNNNNNNNNNNNNNNNNNNNNNNNNNNNNNNNNNNNNNNNNNNNNNNNNNNNNNNNNNNNNNNNNNNNNNNNNNUGUAUAUAUCAAAGUGCAAUCACAUGUAAAUAGCGUAAAACUGAUAUAUACCUUAAAUAUUUCAGCGGAAGCAGUCAAGGGAGUGGAGUCCCAAUAAAGACCAACGGCAAGUUGAGUGUAGACCGUAACCCUGAAUCGUACUCUUACUCGUCGAAGAAAAAUAUCUGCAACAUAAGACGUUGCAGCCGUGUAGGUCAGCAUAUUGAAUAUGCCGGCAAGUCACAUAUGAGAGGGGGUAAAAUAUCAUCUAUACUAUAUGCAUAUAUGGCAGGUGGGGCUAUAAGUUUUUAGCGAAAAGCAAGUUUUCUCCUACAUCAAGAGAGGGCUAAAAGCAAAAUGUUACUACUUUGUUGGUUGUUAACGAGAUGGUUCCACCAACCAAUUCUCGUACCCAUGUUGUCAAUAAUACCCACAUCAAUAUUAUUAUUUGUGUUGAGAAUUUCAGAUAACUUCAGUUCCUUUGGCUCAAGUUGUCCAUGACCGUGGACACGGCUAAUCGAUUAGGUUUGAGUACUCUGCAGAGUUUUGCACACGUUCCCCACCAGAUUUGAUCGCCUCCGUGUAUGUCCUCGCACUUCAGGGUGUUUGAAGACCGGAUGAUCAAAACAUGGUCUUUCAACGGGUCCCUCUGAAUCCCUGUCGGUGCCCAUCCAAUCCUACCGUUCUUCUACAUCUGCUAGCACCGCCUGUCCAGAGUCGCCGCAUUGUCCAACCAAGCCAGAGCCCAUAAUGACUUGUGGCUGUGCAGGUAAGCCUUGGGUCUUGAAUAUAUCAGUCCGUCUCUUUGAGCCUGGGUGAAGCUUUCCGCAAGAUGUCAUGGCCGUCUCCAGCAUCUCGGGUCAUCCACUGGUUUCUCCAGGGAGCCGAUCAACCGUCCUUCACCCAGAGUUGCAUUGCAUCAUGAGGUCUUGAAAAGUCUUGACUUAACCGGUCUUGGUUAUUUAUUUAUCCUCGCAUCACUCGUGUUAUGCACUCAACCAGAAUCCCGUCUACUCAAGCAUAGCAAUAUGAAAUUUGUCAUCCUGGGCCAAGUAACGGGGUUGUUGGGUGCCUACCACAUGAUACUACAAUAUGUAACCAUAAUUUCCAAGUACCUACUCAGCACGCAAUUGGGCAUAGGAUGGUAGAACUACAAUGCAUAAAACAUAGGUGAUACAUGAUCAAAUGACUUGCCUGGUAUUACUUGAUGAAGAUAGUUGCUCUCAUAAUCCUGAUAACUCUAGUCGCCACACUCCCAGCAAUCUAUUGUAAACAAAUAGCAUUCAAUAAACAUUCAUGCCAAAGAGGAAGAACCAAGAGAACAUAAGUACAAAGCAUGUCUUGGUGCAAAAUAACAACGUACUAAGGUUUAAUAAAAAGGUCCUAAGUGUGUUGUAAAGUGAAGGUGCAUGAAUGAGAUCAAAAGAGNNNNNNNNNNUUCUACUCGCCACACUCCGAGCAAUCUAUCGUAAACAAAUAGCAUUCAAUAAACAUUCAUGCCAAAGAGGAAGCACCAAGAGAACAUAAGUACAAAGCAUGUCUUGGUGCAAAAUAAUAACGUACUAAGGUUUAAUAAAAAUGUCCUAAGUGUGUUGUAAAGUGAAGGUGCAUGAAUGAGAUCAAAAGAGUUAAUGGACGAGGAACCAUUGCUAUAUAAGCUCGACUUGCAUACACUAUGGGAGAUGAUCAAAAAUAUUGGGAGAACAAUAUGAAUGUUGUUUGACAAAUAGUAUAAGACAUAGGAAUUUAUUUGUAGAAAGAAUUUCUUGAAAUGGAGCACUACAACGCAAGUUAUAGCGAAUUGAAGUAUGAAUUAAAUUUGCAUUCAAAAGGUCAAGAGAAGUUGAACUGAAGUACGAUGGUUAUGUACAAAAAUAUAUGACAUGUGUGUUUAGGGGUGAAAUGAAUCAAUUGAAAAGGUGGUACGAUUUGCAAGAUAAGAUCAAAUGAAUGUUCGAAUACAAAUUUGAAUCGCUCAAAUUUGUAAGGUUCAAAGGUCGAAACUAAUGAUGCUAUUGGAUAUAGUAGAUCAAUAUGAGCGUGUAGAAAAAAGAAUUACUAGAUUUGAAAUAGCGGAUCAAAAGAUAGAAAUACUUCAAUAUAACAAUGAAUCGGCUUAGAACGAUGUGAACACUUUUGGGCACUAAUAGAUAAAUCUGAUUUGAUCAAAAUUAUAAGUUGAAAAGUUAAAACUAAUGAUACAAACGGGAAGAGUACUUUGAUACGAAUCCGACGCAAUUGAAUUCAUCUAAAACGGAGCUACGGAUAAAAAGAUAUGAUCAAAAGAAGUUUGAAUAUGAAUAUGAACAAAUUUCGAAAUUUGAAAAAUUCAAAAUUUUGAUAUGAUAGGUUCACAGGAUAGAUGGGAUCAAGACGAAACUCUAGGCUUUGGUUUCAUCUAAUUCGGAUAUACGAGUAAAAAGUUAUGGCUAUUUGAAAAAUCAGGGUCAAGCUGUUUUACGGAAUAAAAGUGCUACGUCUAAAAGAAUUGUAGUACUAAUAUGGAAAUACGAAGACUAAUUAAUAUAUCUAAUUACUCUACCGUAUACUAGUGUAGGAAUACUAGUCUAGAAAUAAUAAACUACGGAAGUAUAAAAAAAUACGAAGAGAAAUAACUUUAGAAUGCAGAGUAAUAAUUAAUUCNNNNNNNNNNCCAAGCUGUUUUACGGAAUAAAAGUGCUACGUCUAAAAGAAUUCUAGUACUAAUGUGGAAAUACGAAGACUAAUUAAUAUAUCUAAUUACUCUACCGUGUACUAGUGUAGGAAUAUUAGUCUAGAAAUAAUAAACUACGGAAGUAUAAUAAAAAUACGAAGAGAAAUAACUUUAGAAUGCAGAGUAAUAAUUAAUUCCAGUGAGGAGACGACUUCGAGAAAUCCCGCCGAAGAGAAGAAAAAAUAUUUUUAUUUAAUAAAUCUAGUUAAACCAAAAGAUUGAUUUAACCCGAAAUAGAUGAUUUGUGGAUGCUCAUAUGGAUCUAUAUUUAUAGGUGGAAGGGAGGUCUAAUGGUCCAUAGAUAGGCAAUGUGGGACUAAACAUAUACGUAAACAGGAGAAAAUAGAAAAAAGAGAGAAGAAGUGCCGCAUGGGCUGAAAGACUUUGGCCACCCACAUGAGCCGUUACGGCCAGCCGUGGCCUUUGUUUCUUUUUUCUUUUUCUUUUUUUUGCGAACGAACAAAAUUUUUUUAAAACAAAGAAGAAAAACGUAUAAAUGAAAAAGAGAGAACAUUUUAUAUAGACAUAUUAUAUAUCAAAUUUUUCAGAAUAAAAUUUUCUAAAACAUGAACAUAUUUUCAAAACCAAAAAAUACUUUUUAAAAAAAAUCAAUAACUUUAAAAUGAAAAGGAAUUUGAAUUUCAAAUAAAUUGCAAAUACUUAAAAUUUGAAUCAAGACAUAGUCUCUGAUUUUGGAGGGUCAUUUUCCUCCUCUCGUUUGAUUUUUUUUUAAUCAAAGGGUUUUGAAAAUAUUCAAACUCAAAAUUGAAGGCAUUCAAAAUAGAAAAUUUUGGGAAAGUCAUUUUAUUCCCUCUCAUUUUNNNNNNNNNNNNNNNNNNNNNNNNNNNNNNNNNNNNNNNNNNNNNNNNNNNNNNNNNNNNNNNNNNNNNNNNNNNNNNNNNNNNNNNNNNNNNNNNNNNNAUUUACAUGUGAUUGCACUUUGAUAUAUACAUUGAUGUACUGUGUGUGCCAGCAUACCGAUCCAAGGAUGGCACAGAAACAUAGAGGCUUGACUCGUUUUGAGUCGGGUCGCUACAUCAUUGGCCACGACAUGUUGCAUAUAUUAUUUACUCUUCAGAUAGCAUUACAGCUGUUCAAGCAAUUCUUGUCUUAGAAACAACUAUCACUUCUAGCCUUUGGUUCAAAAGUCAGGGCGCUUGAAGAGGAAUGUUAAAGACAUGGGGGCCCUCAUGGGUGUCCUUACCAGAUAUACGGAGUCAGACAACACAAAAUAUCCAUCUUCAGAUGACGAGCGAUCUAGCAAGGGCAUGAAAAACGGCGGCAGCAAAGGCCAUCAGCAGAAUGGUCAUACGAGCAACGACAAUGGAAAUCAUGGUAAUAACAUUGGCAAACGCAAGAAUUAUGAUGGGACUUGGUCGCCAACACCAACACCAACUCCAAGAAUGAGUGCCAGAACAAUAAUACGGGUCAUCCCUAUACUGCACCCAUCCUCGGAAUUAUGAGGAGGCUAUCAAAGGAGCGUGUCCAAAACGCAACAUGGAUGGCAAGCCAGAAAAACACUCAUGGGAAAACUGCUACCUUAUGCAGAAAUUUUGUAACCAAGCCUUCCAGAGCGGCAACAACAACGACGACAACAACCCUCUCGCAGUUCCUCUAGUUGGCAGCUCAGGAGAUGGCUUUCCUAGUGCCAGCUUCUAGGGAAAUUACACCGGAGUUGGGUUUUCCAGUGUAGGUGGCUCAGGGUCUGGGUUUUCGGAGGCUGGUCUUAAUGGAGGUGGUAACCAGCGUUCUAGUUAGGGAAAUGAGAUCAGGACAAAUAGAACCGCGAGAUACAUUUUGGUUUCCAUUGUAAUUCGAAGCAGUUAAACAGUGGGUAGUACCAUGUGUUCACCACUAGCACGCGCAAACGUGACUGUAAGGUGCAAAAAUGGGUGGUCAACGUGGUUGAGUCGGCAGUCCUGAAAUACUUACACUAGUCUGAACAGCCAGUGGUCUGGAGUUGUGAGGAUCACCGUGUGUGAAUUGAUAAUCCGGUGAGUUUUGCUUUAGUGGUGCCGCCUCAAGUUUAUAGAUACAAGCUGACAAGGUUCUCAUGGACGGUGGCAGCAACAUCAAUAGCAUUUACUAUUAUACUUUUCGGCACAUGAAUUUGCGUGAAAAUCAGCUCAAGCCAUCUUCUACUAUCCUUCAUGGGAUCGUUCCUCGCAAGUGAUCCUAUCCCAUUGGCAGGAUCUCUCUCGGAGUAGCCUUUGGUAACGAGAUCAAUUACCGGACCAAGCUCCUCACUUUUGAGGUGGUCAAGAUAAAAAUUCCUUAUCACACCCUAUUUGGACGGUGAAAGUGCGUUAUAUCGACUAGAGGGGGGGGGGUGAAUAGGAGAUUUUUAGAAUUUCAUCACUGAGGAAAUUCCUUNNNNNNNNNNNNNNNNNNNNNNNNNNNNNNNNNNNNNNNNNNNNNNNNNNNNNNNNNNNNNNNNNNNNNNNNNNNNNNNNNNNNNNNNNNNNNNNNNNNNGGAGGUAUGUGGUCGGGCUGCCGUGGAAAAGUCGUCUCAAAUCAGCCCUAAAACCUCCGUAUAUAUAGGUGGGAGGGAGGGGACCUUACCUUGGGGCUCAAGGAGCCCCAAGGGGGUCGGCCGAACCAAGGGGGGAAGGCUCCCCCCCCCCAAAACCGAGUUGGACUUGGUUUGGUGGGUGGGAGUCCUUCCCUUCCUUCCCACCUCCCUUUUUUUUCUUUCUCUUUGAUUUUUAUCUCUAUAGCGCAUAGGGCCCUUUUGGGCUGUCCCACCAGCCCACUAAGGGCUGGUGCGCCACCCUUAUGGCCUAUGGUCUUCCCCGGGGUGGGUUGCCCCCCCCCCCCCCNNNNNNNNNNNNNNNNNNNNNNNNNNNNNNNNNNNNNNNNNNNNNNNNNNNNNNNNNNNNNNNNNNNNNNNNNNNNNNNNNNNNNNNNNNNNNNNNNNNNNNNNNNNNNNNNNNNNNNNNNNNNNNNNNNNNNNNNNNNACAUUACCGGUAACUCCGAAAACCUUCCGGUAAUCAAAUGAGGUCAUCCUAUAUAUCAAUCUUCGUUUCCAGACCAUUCCGGAAACCCUCGUGACGUCCGUGAUCUCAUCCGAGACUCCGAACAACAUUCGGUAACCAACCGUAUAACUCAAAUACGCAUAAAACAACGUCGAACCUUAAGUGUGCAGACCCUCGGGUUCGAGAACUACGUAGACAUGAUCCGAGAGAAUCCUCGGUCAAUAUCCAAUAGCGGGACCUGGAUGCCCAUAUUGGAUCCUACAUAUUCUACGAAGAUCUUAUCGUUUGAACCUCAGUGCCAAGGAUUCAUAUAAUCCCGUAUGUCAUUCCCUUUGUCCUUCGGUAUGUUACUUGCCCGAGAUUCGAUCGUCAGUAUCCGCAUACCUAUUUCAAUCUCGUUUACCGGCAAGUCUCUUUACUCGUUCCGUAAUACAAGAUCCCGCAACUUACACUAAGUUACACUGCUUGCAAGGCUUGUGUGUGAUGUUGUAAUACCGAGUGGGCCCCGAGAUACCUCUCCGUCACACGGAGUGACAAAUCCCAGUCUUGAUCCAUACUAACUCAACUAACACCUUCGGAGAUACCUGUAGAGCAUCUUUAUAGUCACCCAGUUACGUUGCGACGUUUGAUACACACAAGGCAUUCCUCCGGUGUCAGUGAGUUAUAUGAUCUCAUGGUCAUNNNNNNNNNNNNNNNNNNNNNNNNNNNNNNNNNNNNNNNNNNNNNNNNNNNNNNNNNNNNNNNNNNNNNNNNNNNNNNNNNNNNNNNNNNNNNNNNNNNNCUCCAAGAUCCCAUCUGGGGCACGUUCUGGUGCCCUGCCGGAGGGGGGAUUCGGAUACGGAAGGCUUCUUCAUCAACACAAUGACCUCUCCGAUGAUGCGUGAGUAGUUCACCAUAGACCUACGGCUCCAUAGCUAGUAAGUAUAUGGCUUCUUCUCUCUCUUGGAUCUUCAAUACAAAGUUCUCCCUGAUCUUCAUGGAGAUCUAUCCGAUGUAAUCUUCUUUUGCGGUGUGUUUGUCGAGAUCCGAUGAAUUGUGGAUUUAUGAUCAGAUUAUCUCUGAAUCUUAUUUGAGUUUCUUCUGAUCUCUCUUAUGCAGGAUUUCAUAUCAUUGUAAUUCUCUUCGAGUUGUGGGUUUUGUUUCGCCAACUAGAUCUAUGAUUCUUGCAAUGGGAGAAUUGCUUGGUUUUGGGUUCAUACCGUGCGGUGACCUCACCCAGUGACAGAAGGGGUAGCGAGGCACGCAUCAUGUUGUUGCCAUCAAGGGUAAAAAGAUGGGGUUUUCAUCAUUGGUUUGAGAUUAUCCCUCUACAUCAUGUCAUCUUGCUUAAGGCGUUACUCUGUUUGUCAUGAACUCAAUACACUAGAUGCAUUCUGGAUAGCGGUCGAUGUGUGGAGUAAUAGUAGUAGAUGCAGAAAGUAUCGGUCUACUUUUCUCGGACGUGAUGCCUAUAUGUAUGAUCAUUGCCUUAGAUAUCGUCAUGACUUUGCGCGGUUCUAUCAAUUGCUCGACAGUAAUUUUUUUACCCACCGUGAUAUUUGCUAUUUUGAGAUAAGCCUCUAGUGAACACUAUGGCCCCCGGGUCUACUCCACACCAUAUUUUCAGACUUACACUUUUUACUUCGUUGCACUUUCCGCCUUCAGAUCUCACUUUGCAAACAAUCUUGAAGGGAUUGACAACCCCUUUGAAGCGUUGGGCGCAAGCUCGUUUGUGUUUGCGCAGGUACUCUGGACUUGACGAGACCCUCCUACUGGAUCGAUACCUUGGUUCUCAAACUGAGAGAAAUACUUAUUGCUCCUGUGCUGCAUCACCCUUUCCUCUUCAAGGGAAAAACCAACGCAAGCUCGGGAGACGACAGAAGGAUCUCUGGCACCACUGUCGGGGAACGACUUUUGUUGAGUAGCAGAGGGUCAUUUUGUCAUGAGUAAGAAUCUCAAUAAUGGUUCAUAUUACCUGGUGGACCUCCGGUCCAAAUCAUACACCUCCCAGGAAGAGACGACCCGACCUUGGAACAUUGCCCACCUUCGGCCUUAUUAUACCUAGCGCCAGUGGCUCAUCGAUAAUGUACCUCUUGCAACGUUUGUACAUACCCUUUAUGUUCAAUAUAAUAAAGCUGGUACCCAGGAAAUUUGGGGUUUAUGCCGUUUAAGCCUAUACAAUGAGCAUAAGUCGCCGUGAGAUGGUCAUUCAAACAUGGAUGCUAUUAGUAUCAAAGAGGAUGAGCCGCCAUGUUACGACCGUUCAAACAUAGGUGCUAAUAAGCCAAAGAGGGCUAGUUGCUACGACACAUGGUUCAAACUUAGGCGCCAAUUGUGAUCAAGAGAAUCAAGCCGGCUUAUCUGGGGGCUAUUAGUCCCCAUAUUGUUUGGCAGUAAUAGCAUUGUCUUCUGCAAUCGUAUGUUGGGCUUUUCCCUGAUCAUGGGUCACUUGGGGGCUUCCAGCUCACUGAGUUGAGCUUUCUCACCCUCUUGGUCUGUGAAAAACUACCGCUUUAUGAUGGUUAGACCUGACUGUAUGUUUGUGCGACUCCCCUUAUUGGCCCGUGUACUCAUGGCGAGUCAAUCCAUUGUGGACCCUGAACUUUUCAAGGUUAAAAUAUUGAGUGUGUCGUGUGAGAGCCGGCAUAUGGAAAAUGGCGAAACCAUGGGUUCAUGUAACCCACUUCAUUGAAGCAUGACUUGAGCCUGAUCAGUCAGUCUGAGUCUCAUUGAGACGGCUUAUCAUAAUUUUUGUCAGUUAUUACACGGGUAAGACUAGAGCCUUGCAAGCCUGUCUCCCUGUCGAGUCUCACUGAGACAGCUUAUUAAUAUUGUUAAGUUUUACCUAAACUUAUUUCACGGAAAAUCCAAUAUUUAUUACCGGCUCAUACAAAGCGUCCAGGUUAUGAUGUUAUUUAUUUGCAAUGACAAGGUCAAUCAUUUUACGGCUUUCGAACAUUUCAGAAGGGUGGCUCACAUGAACUCAAUCGUCUUGGCUUCAAUUCAAGCAUAGGUAUUGUUGGGGAACGUCGCAUGGGAAACAAAAAUUUUCCUACGCGCACGAAGACCUAUCAUGGUGAUGUCCAUCUACGAGAGGGGAUGAGUGAUCUACGUACCCUUGUAGAUCGUACAGCAGCAGCGUUAGAGAACGCGGUUGAUGUAGUGGAACAUCCUCACGUCCCUCGAUCCGCCCCGCGAACAAUCCCGCGAUCAGUCCCACGAUCUAGUACCGAACGGACGGCACCUCCGUGUUCAGCACACGUACAGCUCGACGAUGAUCUCGGCCUUCUUGAUCCAGCAAGAGAGAUGGAGAGGUAGAAGAGUUCUCCAGCAGCGUGACGGCGCUCCGNNNNNNNNNNNNNNNNNNNNNNNNNNNNNNNNNNNNNNNNNNNNNNNNNNNNNNNNNNNNNNNNNNNNNNNNNNNNNNNNNNNNNNNNNNNNNNNNNNNNACAGCUUAGGGGCUCAAUCACUCGCUGACAGUGGGCCCAAGGCCAAGCCAACGUAGUUAAGAGACUGGUCAGCGCGGGAUUAGUCCCAGAGAGGCUGACCAGUGGGUCCCCCCUGUCAGGUUUGACCUGAACAGGUCGGCCGACCUGCUGACGCCAGGCUGAUGCAAUAAAGAGAAUUUCCAGUAUAGAAAUAAUUCCAGGAAAUUGCUAAAACUUGUAAAAAUCAUAGAAAUUAAUCUGUAACUCCAAUGGAAAUAAUUUAUAUACGAAAAAGUAUCAGAAAAAUUCAAGGAUUCUGAAUAUGCUAUUUUCAACCAUGUUUGAAAAAGUUACAGGACCCUAACAUGUAGAAUAAGGAAUAAUUCAAUUCUUAUAAUUACUUUUUAAAUGGAAUUUGGAAAAUAUUCAAAUUUCAUUAUGAAUGCCAUGAUCACACACUGUCCUAAUUACAAAUCAGUACCUUAACAUGACAUCUCAUGCAUGCUAAUAUCAAGUUGAUCUGAGCAUCAGGUCGAAUCAAUUAAACCGGUAUCCGAGACUACCUCGUUUGAAUUGAUAUUCGAAUGUGAUUCAAAUCAACUCUAAACCUAAUAUAUAUUGAUUAUAAUAACUUAUCACCUUGCAUUCUCAUGCCAUGCUCAUGCAUCAUUUUGAUUGCAUAUGAUUGUUAUUGAAUGUUGCCAUUCAUUUCGGUAGGCUCCGCACCCUCGGAUUCCACCGAAUAUCCGUCUGACGGAUAUCGUUCCUCCUCUGAGCAACAAGGCAAGCAACCCUUUUGAUCAUCCCGAUAAUUCCCAUGUUCUUGCUCCUGCACUUAUUUAUUACAUUAGGAUCAAAUGCUACAACUGCUUUUGCCACGUUAGUUGAACCCACUUCCUUUGCAUGACCUAACCUUGUCACAGUAAAUAGCCGAACCUUGCAACCUAGCAUACCUGGUAGUUGCUUGAGCUAUGAUGUGCCUUAUCCUUCUAUGCAUGCUAUGCUUACAGUUGUGUAUGGUCUGUCAUCUCGGAGAUGAACAGAAUUGUGGAAAUGUGUUCGGUGAGCAAAGGUUGUGUGUUGAACNNNNNNNNNNGCUAUGCAUGCUAUGCUUAGAGUUGUGUAUGGUCUAUCAUCUGGGAGAUCAACAGAAUUGUGGAAAUGUGUUCGGUGAGCAAAGGUUGUGUGUUGAACUUGAUUUGGUAAAGGUACCGGUGAAAGGCUGUGUAGGAGUACAUGGCGGGUUGUUUCAUUGAAACCGUCCAUAGGAACUGAGUUCCAUGUAUGUAAUCCAAGACUAGAUACUACCACAUGCUGGGCCCUGAAAUAUGACCCCGCUCGGCCUAUUAAUCGCGUAGUACUCGGUCCAGGAGUUGCAAGUAGUUUCUGGUGUUUAUAGUAAUGCUGGAGGCCGUGCAUGGUGCUGACCUGAGAGGUGGGCUGUGAUGCGGUAGGCAGUGGCACGGUGUACCAAGUGGCACCCGGAUGGUGGGCUUGGGAACCCUGCACANNNNNNNNNNNNNNNNNNNNNNNNNNNNNNNNNNNNNNNNNNNNNNNNNNNNNNNNNNNNNNNNNNNNNNNNNNNNNNNNNNNNNNNNNNNNNNNNNNNNCAGGUUACCGCACAUCUUCUUGGAUAAUGAGAUUCAACGAACUAUUUCUUUAGUGUUCCUCUGACCAUAUCAUUUUGAUGUUCUUGAUUUUUAGACAGCGUACUCCCUUUGUCUCAUAAAAUAAGACUUUUUAUAUGCUACACCGCUGAAAAAAAACCGACAAAAAUAAUAGUCGUUUCUCUGACCAUAUAUCAUUUUAAAGUCCUUAAAAAUUUUAGAAAGAAAAGGAAAUUUAGAAGACAUGGAUUUCAGGUUACCGCAGAUUUUCUUGGAUAUUCAGAUUCAGCAAAAAAAAAAGGUCCUACCGAGACUUGAACUCGGGUUACUGGAUUCAGNNNNNNNNNNAUGCUACAUAUUCAGAUUGAAACCCUUUGAGCUAUAUCCGUAAAAUAUGUUCCUUUUCAAAAGCUUAUAUUAAUUAAUAACCUGACAACAAUGCGAACAAUUUGAACUGGACCAUCAUGCAAAAUACUCCGGUUUAGGACCGACGUGGAUGAGAAAAACUUGCAGGAUGCAUAUUUCAAUUUUACAAGAACCGAUUCUGAAGAGGGAUGCACACAUGUGUCGUUGACUUUGUUGUGAUCAUCGACCAGGUGGGCGACCCUGAAGUGGACCAGUUCAAAUUGUUCGCAUUGUUGUCAGGUUAUUAAUUAAUAUAAGCNNNNNNNNNNNNNNNNNNNNNNNNNNNNNNNNNNNNNNNNNNNNNNNNNNNNNNNNNNNNNNNNNNNNNNNNNNNNNNNNNNNNNNNNNNNNNNNNNNNNNNNNNNNCCGAGACGGCGGCGGCGAUGGCCGCGGCGUCGCUGGUCUACAAGCCCAUCGACGCCUCCUACUCGUCGUCCCUCCUGGGCCACGCGGAGCAGCUCUUCGCGUUCGCGGACCGGCACAGAGGCGCCUACACGCGCACCUUCCCGGAGCUCGCCAAGUACUACAACUCCACCACGUACCAGGACGAGCUGCUGUGGGCGAGCGGCUGGNNNNNNNNNNNNNNNNNNNNNNNNNNNNNNNNNNNNNNNNNNNNNNNNNNNNNNNNNNNNNNNNNNNNNNNNNNNNNNNNNNNNNNNNNNNNNNNNNNNNGCUCGAGCUCGUGGUAAUGGCGGCAGCAAGAAGGAGGAAGAGAUCCGAGAGGUGGGAGAGAGCUAGCGCUGGGAAUGGAUAGAGGAGGCCUCGGGGAGCUUAUCCCCGGCCUUGCCAGCGCGAGGCGGCGGCCAGGCAGGCGCACAGGUGCGUGGCCACGCUGGAGAAGGUGGCGACCACCUCCUGCUCCUACUGGCGCGAGGGAGGAGACGACUCAGGGACAUGGGCCAGGCCAGGCUAGGCGACAGGUAACCUCUUUUCCAUUUCCUUCUGUUUUAUUUUNNNNNNNNNNGCGGCGGCCACCUCCUGCUCCUACUGGCGCGAUGGAGGAGACGACUCAGGGAGAUGGGUCGGGCGAGGCUAGGCGACAGGUAACCUCUUUUCCAUUUCCUUCUGUUUUAUUUCUGUUUUAAUUUCUGACAUUGAUUUGCUAUUUAUUUCAGCUCCAAAAAGGUUGUAAAAACUAUUUUGAACUCACGUGAAUAUUUUUUAUAAUAUUCCCAACCAUUUCCAAAGUUUUCAACAUUUUUGAAAAUUUAUAGUUUCUGAUUUCAAAUUUAAAAUUUGAAACCAGUGGCUUUUUGCAUUAAUUUAAAAUGCUUAAAGUGUCAAGAAAAUAGUUUUCUCCAAUGCUCAUUUACUUUCAUGAUUUAUCAGAANNNNNNNNNNAAACACACAUGAAUAUUUGUUAUAAUAUUCCCAACCAUUUCCAAAGUUUUCAACAUUUUUGAAAAUUUAUAGUUUCUGAUUUCAAAUUUAAAAUUUGAAACCAGUGGCUUUUUGCGUUAAUUUAAAAUGCUUAAAGUGUCUAGAAAAUAGUUUUCUCCAAUGCUCAUUUACUUUCAUGAUUUAUCAGAAAGUUUGAACAUUUCNNNNNNNNNNNNNNNNNNNNNNNNNNNNNNNNNNNNNNNNNNNNNNNNNNNNNNNNNNNNNNNNNNNNNNNNNNNNNNNNNNNNNNNNNNNNNNNNNNNNCACUUUGUUCUCAUACAUGGAUCCUAUCUCGGAUUUCAUGGCUUCUAGCCAUUUGUUGGAAUCUGGGCCCACCAUUGCUUCUUCAUAAUUCGCAGGUUCAUUGUUGUCUAACAACAUGAUUGAUAAGACGGGAUUACCGUACCACUCUGGAGCAGCGCGUGAUCUCGUCGACCUGNNNNNNNNNNNNNNNNNNNNNNNNNNNNNNNNNNNNNNNNNNNNNNNNNNNNNNNNNNNNNNNNNNNNNNNNNNNNNNNNNNNNNNNNNNNNNNNNNNNNNNNNNNNAGAAACUUGAACUGGAGUUUCAUGAUCAUCAUCAUUAACUUCUCCUCAACCGGCGUCGCAAUGACAGAGGUUUCCCCUUGCCCUGCGCCACCAUCCAGAGGGAUGAGAGGUUCGACAACCUCGUCAAGUUCUAUCUUCCUCCCACUCAAUUCUCUCGAGAGAAACUCCUUCUCGAGAAAAGUUCCGUUCUUAGCAACAAACACUUUGCCCUCGGAUUUGAGAUAGAAGGUGUACCCAACUGUCUCUUUUGGGUAACCUAUGAAGACGCACUUUUCCGCUUUGGGUUCCAGCUUGAAGCUUUUUGACAUAAGCAUCACAUCCCCAAACUUUAAGAAACGACAACUUUGGCCUUUUGCCAUACCACAGUUCGUAUGGUGUCNNNNNNNNNNNNNNNNNNNNNNNNNNNNNNNNNNNNNNNNNNNNNNNNNNNNNNNNNNNNNNNNNNNNNNNNNNNNNNNNNNNNNNNNNNNNNGGAUUUCGAUGGUGCCCUAUUUAAAGUGAAUGCAGCUGUUUCUAAUGCAUAACCCCAAAAUGAUAACGGCAAAUCAGUAAGAGACAUCAUAGAUCGCACCAUCUCUAACAAAGUACGAUUUCGACGUUCGGACACACCAUUACGCUGUGGUGUUCCAGGCGGUGUUAACUGCGAAANNNNNNNNNNNNNNNNNNNNNNNNNNNNNNNNNNNNNNNNNNNNNNNNNNNNNNNNNNNNNNNNNNNNNNNNNNNNNNNNNNNNNNNNNNNNNNNNNNNNAUGCCUAGCUAAGGGCGUUAAACAAAAGCGCUUGUUGGGAGGCAACCCAACAAAUCUAUCCUUUUUCUUUCUGUUUUGUGUUUUCCACACUUUCAUAAUUCUGUUAUGAUUGUGUUUUUUGUGUUUAUUUUUGCGUUUGUGCCAAGCAAAACCGUUAUGAUUAGUCUUGGGGAUGAUUGUUUGGUCAUGCUGGAAAAGACAGAAACUUUCUGCCCACUAAAAGAAUUUUCUUUUUUUUAUGUAAGAACUUUUGAGUUGAUUCUUUUUGCUGCUGAUUGCUAUGCAAAUUCUUCAGACUUUCAUAAUUUUUCAGAAUUUUUGAAGUACCAGAGGAAUACGAAAUAUACAGAUUGCUACAGACUGGUCUGCUGUUAACAGAUUCUGUUUUUGUUGUGUUGGUUGCUUAUUUUGAUGAAACUAUGGAUAGUAUCGGGGGGUAUUAGCCAUGAAAUAUUGAAAGUACAGUAACCCAACAUCAGCACAAGUAGAAUUUAAGUUUGCUACAGUACCUAAGGAAGUGGUGGUUUGCUUUCUUGUACUAAUGUUAUCACGAGUUUCUGUUUAAGUUUCGUGUUGUGAAGUUUUCAAGUUUUGGGUGAAGUUCUUAUGGACAAAGAGAUAAAGAGUGGCAAGAGCUCAAGCUUGGCGAUCCCCAAGGCACCCCAAGAGAUUCAAGGAUGCCUUAAAAGCCUAAGCUUGGGGAUGCCCCGGGAAGGCAUCCCCUCUCUCGUCUUCAAUCCAUCGGUAACGCUACUUGGGGCUAUAUUUUUAUUCACCACAUGUUAUGUGUUUUUGCUUGGAGCGUUUUGUAUUGUAGCAGUCUUUUAUUUUGUUGUGUCACAAUCAUCCUAGCUGCACGCCUAGAGAGAGAGACAUGCACACACCGUGAUUUUGUCGAGCUUCACUUAUAUCUUUUGGUAGACAAUUCAGCUCACAUGUGCUUCACUUAUAUCUUUUGAGCUAGAUACUUUUGCUCUAUGUGCUUCACUUAUAUCUUUUAGAGUGCAGCGGUGCGUGGCUUGGUAGUUGAUCUAUGCUUUGAAAGUAGUCUCAAAAGGGGUAGUUAUCCAAAGGGAUACGAAAACUUCCACCUUCAUGUGCAUUGAAUAGCUAGAGAAGUUUGAUUCAUCUCAAUUAGUUUUGAGUUGUGGUUAUGGUAAUAUUGAAGUCAUGCUAGUAAGGUGUUGUGGAUCUAGAAAUACUUGUGUUGAAGUUAGUGAUUCCCGUAGCAUGCACGUAUGGUGAACCGCUAUGUGAUGAAAUCUGAGCAUGAUUAGUAUAUUGAUUGUCAUCCUUUGCGUGGCGGUCGGGAUCGCGCAAUGGUUUAUACCUACAAACCCUCCCCCUAGGAGUAUGCGUUGAAUGCUUUGUUUCGAUUACUAAUAAAACUUUUGCAACAAGUAUGUGAGUUCUUCAUGACUAAUGUUGAGUCCAUGGUUUAGAUGCACUUUCACCUUCCACCAUCACUAUCUUCUUAGUGUCGUGCAACUUUCGCCGGUGCACAAAACCCACCAUUAGCAUCCCUCAAAACAGCCACCAUACCUACCUACUAUGGCUUUUUCAAAGUCAUUCCAAGAUAUAUUGCCAUGCAACUACCACCAUGACAUGUGCCACCACGUCUACUUUGCCUUUGCACGAUCGUAAGAUAGCUAGCAUGAUGUUUCCAUUGAUGUCUAUGCCAUGCUCGAUCAUUGCCACGGUACACUACCGAAGGCAUUCCAUAUAGAGUCAUCGUUACUCUAAGUUUUGAGUUGAAAGUGUGAUGAUCAUCAUUAAUGGAGCAUUGUCACAUGUGAGGAAAUAAAAGAGGCCAAAGAAGCCCAAAAAAAAGAGGCCAAAGAGCCCACCAAAUAAAAA